This 105117-nucleotide long non-coding RNA is filed under the name Lactuca sativa (garden lettuce). RNAcentral describes it as "long non-coding RNA (LSAT_LNC003408)". Lineage: Eukaryota; Viridiplantae; Streptophyta; Magnoliopsida; Asterales; Asteraceae. The record is from RNAcentral.
ACAAAUGAAAAAGUAAAUUUUAACCUAUGAAAUUGAUUUAAACAACUGAAGAUUAAAACCUAGUAUUAGAAAGGAAAACUAAAUUAACACCAAUUUGCCCAAAAUUAAACCAUGUAUUAUACUAAAUUAAUUCACAAGAGAGUUCCACAUCACUCAAAUAUUAUCUCGCACUCAAAUUCACAAAACUCACUUUCCAGGUACAAAGUUUGUAGCAUAUGACCAUGCAUUGUUUGCAACCGGGUCCGCAAGAUGGUCAGCGAGGUUCUCCAAUGGUCCCUUUCCGGUAACAAUGGCUUGAACAAAGAAUCCAAACAUAGAGAACAUGGCUAGUCUGCCGUUCUUGAGCUCCUUCACUUUCAGCUCAGCAAAUGCCUCUGGGUCAUCAGCCAGACCCAAUGGGUCGAAGCUACCACCAGGGUAAAGUGGGUCAACUACCUCACCAAGAGGUCCACCAGCAAUUCUGUAACCUUCAACUGCACCCAUCAAGAUCACUUGGGUAGCCCAGAUGGCUAAAAUGCUUUGUGCAUGGAUCAAACUUGGGUUCCCCAAGUAGUCAAGACCACCCUCACUAAAGAUCUGGGAUCCAGCCUUGAACCAGACAGCCUCACCAAACUUGACACCAUUACGCGCCAAGAGUUCGGGGAAGACGCACCCAAGAGCUCCGAGCAUGGCCCAUCUGCUGUGGAUGACCUCAAGCUCACGGUUCUUGGCGAAUGUUUCAGGAUCAGCAGAGAGCCCAGCAGUGUCCCAACCGUAGUCACCGGGGAACUCACCGGUCAGGUAAGAUGGGGCUUCGCCGGAGAAUGGGCCAAGGUACUUAACACGGUCGGGGCCGUACCAUGGACUUCCUGAUGGUGCGACUUUCUUGACUGCUGUCUUCCUCAUGGAAACCCUUCCAUUUCCGGUAAUUUCAGAACCAGAUGGUGCUACUUUCACCGCCUGUCCGACGAAAGAAGAGGAUAGUGCCAUGGUGGAAGCUGCCAUUUUUGUGAGAUUUGUUUUGAAGAUGUUUUGAUGAUAUGAUAGUAUUAUGAGUGAUGAAGAUGUGUGGAUCUGGAACGUAGAUUUAUAGGGUGGUUUUUGGGCCAGGUAGUUGAUCAAUGCUUAUCUUGAUACACUCUUUAACUUCAUUUUGAUUGGCUACCAAGAUUUUAGUUCUAUCAGAGGGUAUAUAAUUUGUGUGGUUCAAGUUCUCUGGUCCACGGGAGAUAUUUGAAGGGGCAGCGAUAUUCAUGGCUCUGGCUUAUUGAGCGAAUAUAAUGGCUCGCAUUCUCAGCCACUAGCUAGUCUUGGUGGGGUUUUAGCCAGUCUUUGUGCGGUUUUUCAUGUUUAACCAUUACCAUAGUAUCGACUAAGUUUAGUCCAAACAUGCAUUGAAGUUCAGUAGAUUUGUAUUAUCAUUUUGUUUUUUAUACAAAUUUAUCAUUUUCGUACAUAAUAUAAACUCUAGGAAAAUUAAAUAGAAUAUAUUUUGAGAUAUUGACAACAUUGACCAAAUAAUAAAAAAACGUAACACACCAUUCUAAAAAAUAACAUAUAACCAUGAUGUCCGAAAAAAAUAUAACAUAUAACCAUGAUUUUCGAAAAACAAAAUUCUUGAAGAUGUACAAUUUUCGAAGGUACUAUUUGGUGACUAAUUUUAAAAGAAGCCAUUUUCAAAAUGUAAUAUUCUCGAAGUGAUUAUUUCAGCUACUUAAGGUGAUGUUGAUUUCAAAUCUCUAACAUGACAAAAAGCUUCCCCAACAAAUCUGAAGCAUGGACAUUUCAACCUAAAGAUGGGUGAGGGAAGUUCUUUUAUUGAUCAUCUUUUGUUUUCUAACAGCUUGUAGAACAUCUAGAAAUAUUGGAUGCCACAUAUGAAAAAGAAGACUUGCCGUUGUUCCUAUUGUCAUCUUUAACAAAUUCAUAUGAUGACUUUUGUGAUAAUAUUAUCUAUAGCUGAGACACCAUUGUCUUGGAUGAGAUCAUGACCACUUUAGACUUGAACGAAAGGAUGAAACUUAUCAUUAGUGAUAGUAAUGGUGAUAUAAAGGACGAAGGUCUCCAAGUAAGAGGAAGAUAUAUGUAGGGAAGUAACGAUUCCAAAUCCCUUAACAAGUCAAGAUCCAAGUCCAAAGAGAAACGUAUAUAGUGCAAAUAUUGUGUGUCUGUUGAAGCUGAUGUGGCCGAGAUCGUCUUUGAUGGCGAGCUUCUAGAAUUAUUUCUGACGAUGGUUAUUUGAUUACCACGAACGGUGGGUUCUUGAAUUUGUGCGUGCUUUUCACAUGAGUCCAAACAAAUACUAUUGUCACACCACAUUGAAAAGGAUAGUUGAUGCCAAGUUUUAAUAGGCAACGUCGACACUUCCUCCCUUAUUUUAGGACAAGCCACAAUUAGAUUUUGAAUGUUCGAUGGUGUAGUAAGUGUUGGGUUUCUAUAACAUCAAGUACACACAAACAAGGUAGUGGAAACAAUGAAAUGAUAUACCUAAGUGCAUAUGCUCUUUAGAUCUAGGUUUUACUAGUUUUAGCAAAAUACUUAAAAAUCAACAUAAAAUAAAGAUAAAACACUUACUUUUUGUUCAUUUGUAACGUCAUAAUAAAUACUCUCUCCGUCCCAAAAUUAUUGUUCACAGACAAAAAAAAAACACACAGAUUAAGAAAACAUUAAUUACUACUAACUUUAUUCAAUAAAAUGACAGUUAUGUCCUUAUUUUGCAUUUAAUGUUCGAUUAAAUGCUUAGUUGGUUAAGUAAUAAUAAUAAAGUGUAUUUUGGUAAAAAAGUUAUUUAUUUUUAUAAGUGGACUAUAAUUUUAGGACAAACCAAAAAGGAAAGAUGGACUAUAAUUUUGGGACGGAGAGAGUAAUAAUUACUAAAAUAAAAUCCUAAAAUAGGAUAAUCUAUAGCCGUGCGCGCUGCGGACUAUAUAAUACAAGUUUCUUAUUAAGGAAAAAUAGGAAAAAUCACCCGAGUCGUCCGUAAGUCAUAAAAAUAAGUGUGCCAAAAUGUAUAUAUUAUUAUAUAUUCAAAAAGUACAUGUCGUCCUGAUCCCGAAAAUAUAAAUUUCGUAGAAAUCUUAGUUCAUAUGAAGACGAUAUGAAUUUUAUAAGACAUAAAAAUCAACAGCCUAACUAAAAAUUAUUAACGUCAAAAUGUACAAAGAGAAUGGUUGACCUUUGGGUAAAGUCACCAAAAUGAAAAUCAUAAUGCUCUUUAAUGUAAGAAUUUUGGUAAAAGAAACACAAAAACUCGGAGUCCGUAUGGGAAAGUUAUGAUUUUUGCAAAAUCAUUAAAUCAUAUAAAAAUAAGGGCUAAAAACAAAUUCAGAAUUAGCCGAUGGAGCCUAAAGGAAAGUUGUAGUAUUGUCGAGAGCUACAUGUGGAAAAAAAGAACGUCAAAAGCAGAGUCCGUAUGAAGAAGGUGAAAAUGCGACCCAAUGAGAGCUUGACACGUGACACAAUGUGGCUAGGGAGAAGUCACCUUAAAAUGCACGACGUACACCCCCAUUGCACACUGUGCACCCAAAAUCGGCUAUAAAUAGGAGGUCAAGCCUCAUUCACUCCUCAACACCGCUUCUAUCAUUCUCUUUCGAUUUCCUUUGGUUCUGGCCCAUUUUAUCUUAGUUUUAGCAUUCGGCGAAGCCCUGCGAUCCCUAAAGUAGUAGUAGUUAGCGAGUAGAAGCUUUGCCAAUGCAAUUUCCUAACUUUGUUAGGAAGAACCUUUGUAAGUUAAGCUAUACUCUAGUCUUUUCAAUGUAAGUUAUAUUUAUAGUCAUAAGUCAUUAUUAUGAACCUAUAAAUAAGAUUUAUCAAUAAUUCUAUGUCGUUAUACUGAUUGAUCUACUUACGGGAGAUGUGCCUAGAAUGGUCACGUUGGCUUGGUUGUUGGAUUUCAAAAAAGAUAAUGAUUCUGCCUCCCAACUGUCCUGCUUGGAUGAUCCUUAAUUGAUAGAUCUUGAUUUAGACAUCAAAAUUAAUGAGGAAUCUAGUCAUCAGGACCAUUAGACUAGAACUUUAUAUAAAUUAUACUUAGGUAUCGGAAAUAUCUGAGGUGUUAGGCAAAGCUCUGCCCAGAUCACCAGCCACCCACCUAAGUCAAGUGAGUACAUAGUCCCCUUCAUGAACACGAUUUAAUACAAGUAUUAAUUGAAAUAUUAAAAAUCUGCUGGAAGUCGUAUGUGAAUUAUAUACUUAUUGCCUGGAUUGUAUGUUAGGAUAUAUGGUGCUAUGUGCGAACUAGAUAUGGUUCUAUUUUAUGUUAAGAUAAAUAGAUAAUAUUACAUAAUAAUAUUCAAAGCAAAAUUGUUGAGAAGAUAAAUGAUUAAUAACACCUAAUACUCUUAUGGAAUAUAUAUAUAUAUAUAUACUAAGAUAGGUUAGUGUCGCCCAAGAAUAGAGUUGGUAUUAAAAAUUUAGUUUCAGGCACGGUAUUCUAUUCUAGGAAUAAACUUAGACUUAUGGAAGAUACCUAGUUCAAUUAAGUUGAUAUUAGAUAGUCUCAUUAGGAGAAUGUGCGUAACCUAGGAAUGGAGAGUAAAGUUUUGUUCCAUGACACUAUUAGGUGUCGAUUUGUUAUAGCUUCGUACUAGAUGACCAGAAAUGGUGGGUCCUGAUCAGGCAACUGUUAGCAGUAUGUCUAGUCACGCCACAUAGUAUUUUUGGAUUAGAUGUCCAAACCCAUAACUAUAAUUGGUAUAUACUUGACCCGAGAGUAGCAUGGUCCAUUUCAGGUUGCCUUCAUCAAAGCAAUUUGACAAGAUAGAUAUUUGAGAAAGAGGUUAUUUGUGAUUUACUAAUAUUAUAAGAAUAAUAUAUUAAUUAAGAAAUCAUAUUAUUUAAGUAGUAUUGUUCAAAAAUUAAUUUGGAAUUAAUUUAGUAAUCAAAAGAGACUAAUUAAAUUUGCAGGGACUGAUUAGGUAAAUCAGUGAUAUUUAUAGUUUGGGGCCUUUGGGCUAAUGAUCAAUGUUGAUUAGGAUUGGACUAAUUCUUUGUGAGAGUCCAUGAAGAGUUAGUCCAAAACGCUAAUGAGUUAUUGGAUUAAAAGCCCAAGUGAGUUAGGGUUUACAAGUUGAAUCCCUAGGAAUUCAUAACAUUAUUGAAGCAACAUACUAUUGAAUAAAAAAACUUCUAAACCCUAAUGGAAAUCACAAUUUUCAGAAGAAUUACAUACCUCUAAUUUGUUAUUGUAAGCAAACCUUUGAAUCCAACAAGAUCAAUCCAAAAGUCUCUUUGAAAACAAACUUCAAUUGUGAGCGAGCCUCUAAUGGUUCGCACUCACAAGACAAGAACCCUAGAAAGAUUAGGAGAGAGGUUCAAAUUUUUGGAUCUACUAUCUCAAUAGAAGUGGCCAAAAAUUUCAAGGUACAAGACCCUAUUUAUAGCUUAUUAGGAAACAUCUAGAAACCCUAAUUUGAACAUAAAAUAAAAUUAUCUCAAAUAAGUCAAUUAUUUAGUUUCUUGAUUAUCUGCAUGGAGGCUUCCUGAAACCUUAGUGGGUCUAAAAAAAAGGUCCACUGGAGGAAGGUUCUGGAAUCUCUCCUCUGCUCAACUCUUAAAACAAGUUUCGCUUUAGUCCUUCAACCUUUAAUUAAUUUUAAUUAACCAUAAAUUAAUUCCAAACCAAUUCUAAAUUAAUCAUAACUAUUUAUAAUUAAUAUAUUAAUCAUAUAAUAUAUUAAUAAAUCAUUUCUCUCUCUUCUAAAAUCAAUCUAAGCAAUUUCUUGGUUAUGAGGGCAACCCAAAAAGGACUUUGCUUUUAUUUAUCAACAUUAUAUCAAUUUAGUUUGGAUCUUAGACACCUUAAUCCAACAUAAGGUUCGUAAUACAUAUACAUGUUGUGUAUGUCCAUUAGCAAAACAAAAAUGAUUACCAUUUGUUUCUGCAAACAAUGUAUCUCAUACACCUUUUCAAUUGAUUCAUUGUGACAUUUGGGGUCCUUAUCAAAUCAAUUCACAUCGGGGUUAUAGGUUUAUCAUUACUAUUGUGGAUGAUUACACUAGAUUCACUAGGAACUAUUUGAUAAGACACAAAUCUGAGGCACAAUUUGUUAUUCCCCAUUUUUUUUUUUUAAAAAUGGUGCUCAAAUAAUAUCAUACUCAUAUAAAUAUUUUCAGAUCGGAUAAUGCAAAAGAACUUCAACUCAACGUGUUUUUUAAACUAAAUGGAGUAUUACAUCAGUUCUCGUGUGUUGAUAGACCACAACAAAACUUUGUUGUUGAGAGAAAACUUCAACAUCUCUUAAAUGUGGCAAUGACAUUGUUCUAUCAAGCUCACAUUCCUUUUAUAUGUUGGCUUGAAUGUGUUUCAACAAGUGCCUACAUGAUAAAUAGAACUCCCUCAAAAGUUCUUGGAAAUAUUUCUGCUUAUAAAAAUCUCUAUAAAGAAUAGCCUCAUUACUCAUAGCUUUGAAAUUUUGGUUGUUUACCUUUUGCAUCCACACUUCAUUCUCAAAGACAUAAGUUUGAUCAUUGAGCAAGAGCAUGUGUUUUCAUUAGAUAACCACAAGGAAUGAAAGCAUAUAGAUUUCUUGAUAUAGAAACAAAUCAAAGUUUUGUUUCUAGAGAUGUCAUAUUUCAUGAGGGGAUAUUUCCUUUUAAAUAAUGCUCGCCAUCUUCUCAUACAAAUCCAUUUAUCUUUCAUGUUUUGCCUAUACUUUUACCUAGAAUCACUCAUUCUUUUACUCCUUCAGAAAAUCUCAAUCAAUUUGAUUCCCAAAUUGAUACCUUACAAAUGAAAUUCCAAAUUCACAACCAAUAUUUCUAGACCACGAAGACAAAGAGCUCCUCCUUCAUAUCUUCAGGAUUUUCAGUAAUUUGAUAAAUCCAAUUCCAGAAGAAACAUCUAUCAAAUACCCAUUAUUUGUUGUAUUAUCUUAUUUACAUCUUUCUCCUUCUUACCAAGCAUAUACUUAUGCCUUAUCUACUCAAACUAAACCCACUUCUUUUAAAGAAGCCAUUCAACAACCUAAAUGAAAGCAAGCAAUUGAUGAAGAACGUCAUGCUUUAGAGUUAAAUAAUAGUUGAACCAUUGUAACCCUAUCUCUUGAUAGAAAACCUUUGGGCUGAAAACGGGAUUUUAAACUUAAAAAGAAGGUUGAUGGAUCCAUUGAAAUCCAUAAGGAUAUAAUGGUAGCAAUGGGCUAUAGUCAAUAAGGAGUGGAUUUUUUUGGAUACUUUCUCACUUGUGUAAAAUUUAGUCAUAGUCAAACAUUUGCUGCUAACAAAGCUUGGCCACUAAUCCAAUUAGAUGUUAAUAAGCUUUCCCAAAUGGGGAUUUAAAUGAAGAGGUUUAUAUGCACUUACCACAAGGAUAUACUCCAUCUUUGUUUCUAAUUCCAGUGGAAAAUUAGUCUGCAAUUUUGAAAAAUAUUUAUAUGGUUUACAACAAGCUUCAAGGCAAUGGUAUGAUAAAUUUUCAAAAUUUUCUUAUUUCUAAAUAUUUCAAGCAAUAUCAAUAAAAAAAUUCCUUAUUUUUCAAAGGAAAAGAUGAUAAUUUUAUGGCCUUAUUAGUAUAUGUAGACGAUAUUGUCCUUACGGCUUAUUCUCUCACAACCAUUAAUAACAUCAAACAACGUUCAAGUGAUGCCUUUUAUCUCAAAGAUUUGGGUAAACUCAAACAUUUUUUGGGUUUGGAAAUUGGAAGAUCCCCAAAUGGAAUUGUCAUUUCUCAAAGGAAAUGUGUUAGAUCUAUUUGAAGAUGUUAGCAUGUUGGUAUCCAAACCAACCUCUCAAUUAAUGGAUCCUUGUCAUAAAAAAUUAAUUUUUUAUGGAUAACCUGUAUAAGAUCCAUCUCAUUAUCGCCAUUUAGUUGGUCGUCUUCUUUAUCUCACAAUCACACCUCCCGAAAUAGCUUAUGUAGUACACAGAUUAAGCCAAUAUAUUUCUGAUCUAAAAAUACCACAUCUUCAGGUAGCUCAUCAUGUGUUAUGAUUUUUAAAGGAUAACCCUAGACAAGGUUUGUUUAUUUCAUCCAAACCAUCUUUGCAAGUCAAAGCAUUCAAUGAUUCUGAUUGGGUUGGAUGUAUUAACACUAGAAGAUCUUUUACAGGUUUUUGUGUUUUUCUUGGAGAUUUCUUAAUCUUGUGGAAAUCCAAGAAAAAAACCACUUUUCCAAGAAGAUCAAUAGAAGUAGAGUACAGGGCACUGGAUCUGUCAUAAAUGAUGUGAUCUGGUUAAGAUAACUUAUGCGUGAUUUUUUUUAUUAAUUUGGAUCCACCAACAUUUGUUUUUUGUGAUAAUAAUUUUGCAAUGCAAUUAGCUGUCAAUCCUAUAUUUCACUAGAGGACUAAGCAUAUCUAAAUCGAUUUCCAUUUCAUAAGGGAAAUGAUUGUGGAUCACACCAUCAAACUCAUGCCCAUUCAUACUUCAAAUUAACUAGCGGAUAUAUUUACAAAACCCCUUGCUUAUUCUAGAAUUGCUUUGAUUUUAUCCAAGAUGGCACUUAAAAGUAUUUUUUAGUGUACAUCUUGAGGGAGGUAUUAGAGCAUAUUGACCGCUUAGUUGAUUAAAUAUCUAUUACGAUGCCGUUUUAUAUUUGUCAUUAGAAAUAAAGGUAGUGAAACUAUGUCAUUUACUUGUGUAAAUAAGUUGUUAAGUUAGUUAGGUGCAUGUUAGCUAAUGUUGUGCAAGAUAAUAGUUAUAUAUAAUCUCAUUUUAUAUUUAUUGAUGAAUAAGAGAAGAUUAUAUUCCCUUUUCAAUUCUUUUUCUUCUUGAUUGUAAAUCUUUCCUCUACCCAUACCUUUCAUAACCCCCUAAAACUAUUUAAUCAAAUCGGUCACUGAAUUCUUGUUUCCAAUUUUGAUUCGAACGACGGUACCUCAAGCCAUUGUUUCAGAUCUUGAGGUAAAUACAAUUGCUCUAUUUCCCUUAAUUAUAAAUUGCAUUCAUGAUUUAUUGUUGAUUGAUGGUGCUAAAUGUUCAGAUGUAAAUCAUACACAUUGUGAACUUAUAGAAACAAUAUGUUGUUCCUAAAAUUGGUAAAAUCCAAAAUCCAAGAUGAUGCAAAUAUCGAUGCUCUACUAAAACUCAUAUAUGUCAAUGGCGCUACAUGAUGGAAAAAGAGCCACUUUUAGUUUGUUGUCAAAAGGCAAAGUGAAGUUAAGACAGUCUUCUCUCAAAUACGACCUCUAGCCUUAGGCUUCAAGUUGUUUCUCGUGUGAGUUUGGGUCUUUCAAAAUUCAACAAAUUUGCUACAAUGGAUACAAAUGUUCUUUAUGGAUACAUCACUAGACUGUAAAAUGAGAUUGAUAACAUUCACGAUGUUGUUAGAUUGCUUACAUUCAUGAUGUUGUUACAUUGGUAAAAGUCCGAGAUGACAUCAUGGUGGACGUUGGUAGAACGAGACAUGACAUUGUGUUCCUGCUCAGUACUACGCUUCCACCAUACUUAGUGUCACUUAUAUGUAGAAAGGUGUUAUCUAUAUCAAUUUUAUAUAUUAUGUAUAGUGUAGGGAGACAAUUUUAACAAUGUAUUGUAUAAAUAUAUUCUGCAAUAUACGCCUCCAAAUGAUGAGGUUUUUCCCACUUUAAUAUGGUAUCAAGCUACGGUUUCUACCCUCUUUAAUCAUACGUAUGGAUCAAACCUUUUACCGCCUCACAUUUUUUUUUCUGGCCAUUAAUCACGUUGUCGCUGCUCUUAUAUGCCACUAUAAUUGUCGACUGCUUCUCAAUUUUUCUCGACGUGCUCUCCUCCGUGCAUUAGGGUCUUCCUAAAAUAUGGUUGUGGUUGAUUCUUUUAUGUUUCCAACAAUAUUUUACAAUCUCCUGCUGUGAUCACAUAAUUUUGCCCUCAUCAUUAUUGUGUGCGUUUCUUGCUCCUUAAGGUAUUGCCUCCAUGACCACUCCUGGUUCAUCCUCUACCACCACUCCCAUGAAGUUAAGUCUCGUUUGUACUCUCACCAACGUUUACAAUCAUUUUAGUUUCAAAUUAAAUGUUGAUGAGCCAAACUGUAAACUAUGGAAUCAGAUUUUUUCAAACAUGUGUCGAGGCACAUUGUCCUAUGGUAAUAUUUCAUAGAAAUCGGUUCCAACCAGAGAUGAUGAGGAAUGAUAUUCGGUUGAUGCAAGGCAUCAAUUCUUAUUUUUAUAGUAUUGUGAUCCCGAGUUUCUUCAAUUCAUCUUGAGCGAUGAUUACACCACCACAAAUCUUUCGAAAAAAUUAGAUGAAUUUUUCGGAACAACAAAAUAUCUCGAAUGUUGCAAUUACAGGAUUAAUUUCGCAAUACGAAGAAGGGUUCAAGCUCCAUUACCGAAUUUUAUCACAUUCUCAAGAACCGUGCCAAUGAUCUCAAAGAUGUUGGUUCCACCAUCAUCGAAAUUGAGCUAGUAAUGCCAAUCUUGAGACAAUUACCAUCUCAUACCAUAGUAUUACGGAUGUCAUCACCAACAUCAAGCCUUUUCACUCUUUCCUUGAGGCCAAGAAUAUGCUUUUACUUCAUGAGUCUCGAGAAACGGCUUAAGAUUCCUUCACAAAUUCAUCCAUGUCUCAUAGUGUGGCUCUAUUUUCCUCAUCCAACAAUUUGGGAAAUCCAAAUACCGAUGGUCGAAAAACUGGAACAAUUCCCGAAAAAUUGAAAAACAAUGCACAUGGAAAUCAUUUUGAUUCGCAACCGCAAUUUAUUAGAAUUCUUGGAAAUGCUCUGUUGCCACCUCCGCGUGCUGCCUCUGGUUACGUUGCUGCUAUCCCAGCUGCUUCGCACUUAAUCCUACUGUCUUACAGCUCCUAUCUGUAGGUUCCAUUCUCGCCGAAUCAGCAGCCCACGUGACAACUGUCAGUGCCUCCGCAACCCUCUUCUCAACAUUUCACUUUUCAUCAGCAUCUGACUCAUGUUGUUGGGUCUUCAUCAUCAGCUACACCCCUCAGACUUGUUUCUCAACAACCAAGUCAGGUGCCUCACGGUCACUUUUCUCAACAUCAAUUUUUUGGUGGAUCUACUUUUGGUUGUCACGUUCAGACUACUCCUUAACAAUUCAUCGAUAUCGCCUCUGCCUUUCAAUCCAUGUCUCUUCAGCCGCCUCUCGACAACAACGUUUACGUGGACUCCGGUGCUAGCUAUCACAUGUCCUUCAAAUCAGUUAACAUGCCUUGCCUAUCACUACGUAAUUCUAGAUCUCUAAUAGUUGCUAAAGGUGCUAUACUUCAUAUUACUCAGACUGGUCAAAUUUUUUUUCCACAUUCACACAACUGUUUAGCUCUAAAUAGCAUACUUGUCUCAAAUAAAAUUGUUAAAAAUCUCAUUAAUGUAUGUCAGUUCACUGUUGAUAACUUUGUCUCUGUAACUUUUGACCCUUUUGGUUUCACUGUGAAGGAUUUUAAAACAUGUGCGUUUAUUUAAAGAUGUGAUAAUGGCAGUGAUCAUUGUCCCGUUAUCCCCAUGCCAACUCCUUCUUUUUCUAACACUAGUUGUGUUGUUGUUUCUCUCCCAACUUGGCAUAUGCGUCUUGGUUACCUUGGCUCAUCUAUUUUGAAUUUUUUACAUUCUUGCAAGUUUAUUUCCCAUACUACUACUAAACUACCCAUCUAUCAUGCUUAUUAGCUUGGGAUGCAUUGUCGUUUACCCUUCUCUUCGUCUAUAAUUAAAACUACUAGUAUGUUUGAAUUGGUGCAUUUAGAUUUAUGGAUAUCUCUUAUUGCUAGUCUAAGUUGUUUUAAAUAUUAUAUUUUUUGGAUGAUUUUACUCAUUUCUUAUGGGUUUUCCAUCUUCGUGAAAAAUCUGAUAUUUUUGAUGUUUUAUCUAACUUCCAUGGAUGUGUCCAAACUCAAUUUAAACCUGACAUCAAAUUUUUUCAAUGUGAUAAUGGUUGUGAAUUCAAUAACAAAUCUGUUCUCACUUUCUGUGCCCAUAAGGAAAUCAAAAUUGGCUUCUCUUGUCCGUAUACGUCCCAACAGAACGAUAAGGUUGAAAGAGUCAUACGAACCAUUAAUAACAUCCUUCGAACUUACCUGUUUCAAGCCUCCCUGCCUCCAACAUUUUGGGUUGAAGCUCUCCUCAUUACUGUUCAUACCCUUAAUCUCCUUCCCACCUCCACUCUUGCGUUUCAAACACCCUUUGAGCUUCUCUUUGGUGUUUUUUCCCUCCUAUGAUCACCUUUGAGUAUUUGGGUGCCUUUGCUACCCAAAUCUCUCAUCCACGACUCCCCAUAAGAUCUCUUAUAGGUCUUCUUCAUGUGUAGACCUCAAUCCCUCCUCUAAUCAUUGUGGCUUUUGUUGCCUUAAUCUCAUCUCCCAACGAGUAAUUAUCUCUCGUCAUGUCAUCUUUGACGAUCACUUCCAUUUCUCUACCUUUCAUGAUAAACCCUCAACCAAUUACUAUGAUCCUUUCCUUUCCGAGGAUAUACCUCCCCUCCUUACAGUAUGCACUACUCUUCGCAUCACUGAGCCCUCUCCUAGUGAAUCUUCUCCCGCUCUUUCUGAUAGUAGUUCCCCUCAACCCACUGCCUCCUCCUCCUUUCCUAAUACUAUUCCUACCCCCUCCUCCUACCCAUCCCAUGGUCACUUGCUCUCGCACUGGCUUUCUCAGGCCUAAGUAGAUUUUUAAUCUAUUUGCCACUUCUGAUGUCUCCCCUAUCCCUCGCUCUAUAUCUCAAGCUCUAUGUGAUCCUAACUGGAUUUUUCCAUGGACUCUGAAAUGCAGGCUCUUCACUCCAAUCACAAAUGGGAACUUGUUCCCCUUUCUCCAUGCCAAAAUUGUUGGUUGUCGCUGGCUUUAUUGUCAUAAGUUUGACAGAAAAGGUAACCUAGAUCGCUAUAAAGGUUGCCUUGUUGCUUAGGGAUUCUCUCAGCUUCCUGGUCUUGACUUUGAUGAUACCUUCAGUUCUGUUGUCAAACCUGAUACGAUUUGUACUGUUCUAAUUAUUGCGAUGUCCAAGCAUUAGCCAAUUCAUCAACUAGAUAUCAAAAAUGGUUUCCUACAUGGUUACCUAUCUGAGGAAGUUUACAUGAAACAACCUCAUGGGUAUGUCCAUCCCUCCCUUCCUAAUCAUGUAUGCCGACUUCUCAAAGCUCUUUAUGGUCUCAAAUAGACUCCCAAGCCAGGUACCAACGCUUUGCUGUUUUCAUCACCUCUCUCGGUUUUACUAGAAGUCGGUCUGAUUGUUCCUUAUUUACUUAUCACUCUGGUUUCGACCAUAUCUUCUUUCAUUUUUAUGUUGAUGAUAUCAUCCUCACCUCCUCCUCUUUCUCCACUCUCAUCACUCACAUUAUCUCAUGUCUCUCGUCUGAGUUUUCCAUGUCCAAAUUGGGUCCUAUUUCCUUAUUCAUUGGCAUCGAUGCUUUUCGAUCUGAGGAGAGUCUAAUUUUAUCUCAGGCUUCCUUUAAUGACAUCUUAGCUCGUGCUGACAUGUCUUCUUGCAAUCCGUGCAGUACCCUAUCUGACACUAAAUCUAAACUUUCUCCUCACGGCUCUCCUGUCUCUGAUCCCACUCUCUACAGGAGUCUUGUUGGUGCCUUACAAUAUCUUACUUUCACUCGUCCUGACAUUGCAUAUGUUGUACAGAUCUCUCUUCAUGUUUGCGUGAACCUCAUCUUCUUGCUCUUAAACGUAUCCUUCACUAUCUUCAGGGUACUAUUUCUCAUGAUAUGUUUAUUCGACCUUCCUCCAUUGAUCACUUGGUCUCCUAUUAUGAUGCAAACUGGACCGAGUGUCCUCAUACUCGUUGGUCUACUUCUGGGUUUUGUGUUUAUCUUGGCAAUAAUCUCGUCUUUUGGUCCUCUAAACAUCAACAUGUUGUUUCUCACUCCUCAGCUGAGGAUGAGUAUUGUGGGAUGGCUAAUAUGGUUGCUAAAGCUGCUUGGCUUUGUAAUCUCCUUCUUGAGUAAUCUUGUACGUUAUCUAAAGCAACAUUUAUGUUUUACUAAAUGUGAGUGCCAUGUAUUUAUCUUCUGAACCAUUAAAACACGAACGUAUUGCUCGUGCCGUCGAUUCACUAAUUUGCAGAUAUAUUUACAAAGGGUCUUCACCGGUUUAAAUAUUUGUAAAUCUCAUGCUCUAACUAGAGGGUGCCUUAGUUUAUAUUAGUUUAUAUAUAUUAUGUAUAGUGUAGGGACCAAUUGUAACUUUAUAUUGUAUAAAUAUAUUCUGCAGUAUAUGUCUCAAAUUGAUGAGGCUUUUCCCACAUUUAACAAAAGGAAAACUAAAUUAACACCAAAUUGCCCAAAAUUAAACCAUAUAUUAUACUAAAUUAAUUCACAACAGUUCGACAUCAAUCAAAUAUUAUCUCGCACUCGAAUUCACAAAACUCACUUUCCGGGUACAAAGUUUGUAGCAUAUGACCAUGCAUUGUUUGCAACAGGGUCAGCAAGGUGGUCAGCGAGGUUCUCCAAUGGUCCCUUUCCGGUAACAAUGGCUUGAACAAAGAAUCCAAACAUAGAGAACAUGGCUAGUCUACCGUUCUUGAGCUCCUUCACUUUCAGCUCAGCAAAUGCCUCUGGGUCAUCAGCCAGACCCAAUGGGUCGAAGCUACCACCAGGGUAAAGUGGGUCAACUACCUCACCAAGAGGUCCACCAGCAAUUCUGUAACCUUCAACUGCACCCAUCAAGAUCACUUGGGUAGCCCAGAUGGCUAAAAUGCUUUGUGCAUGGAUCAAACUUGGGUUCCCCAAGUAGUCAAGACCACCCUCACUAAAGAUCUGGGAUCCAGCCUUGAACCAUACAGCCUCACCAAACUUGACACCAUUACGCGCCAAGAGUUCGGGGAAGACGCACCCAAGAGCUCCGAGCAUGGCCCAUCUGCUGUGGAUGACCUCAAGCUCACGGUUCUUGGCGAAUGUUUCAGGAUCAGCAGAGAGCCCAGCAGUGUCCCAACCGUAGUCACCGGGGAACUCACCGGUCAGGUAAGAUGGGGCUUCGCCGGAGAAUGGGCCAAGGUACUUAACACGGUCGGGGCCGUACCAUGGACUUCCUGAUGGUGCGACUUUCUUGACUGCUGUCUUCCUCAUGGAAACCCUUCCAUUUCCGGUGAUUUCUGAACCAGAUGGUGCUACUUUCACCGCCUGUCCGACGAAAGAAGAGGAUAGUGCCAUGGUGGAAGCUGCCAUUUUUGUGAGAUUUGUUUUGAAGAUGUUUUGAUGAUAUGAUAGUAUUAUGAGUGAUGAAGAUGUGUGGAUCUGGAACAUAGAUUUAUAGGGUGGUUUUUGGGCCAAGUAGUUGAUAAAUGUUUAUCUUGAUGCAAUUUUUAACUUCAUUUUGAUUGGCUACCAAGAUUUUAGUUCUAUCAGUGGGUCCAUAAUCUGCGUGGUUCCACUAUUCGAGUUCUCUGGCCCACAUGAGAUAUUUGAAGGGGCAGCGAUAUUCAUGGCUCUGUCUUAUUAAGCGAAUAUAAUGGCUAGAAAUCUCAGCCACUAGCUACCAUGCACAAACCGGUUUUUUUUUUGAACCGGACCGCUUCAAAAAUCCGGUUCGGUUCUAGUCAAUUUAGUCAAAACCAGUUUGGUUCCAAACCGGUCCAGCUUCAAAAUAAUUCAAACGUAUGUAAACUCGUUAAAGAAAAAACCGGUUCAAAAAGGGUUCAAAACCAGUUUGACGGAAAAAAGGUUUUUUUCAAUUUUUAUUUUGUUUUUAGGCUAAUAACUGAAAAAUAGGAAUUUUUUUUUAUAAUAUUGCUUUUAUUGUGUUUAAAAAAAAAGUUUCACACUAGGUUUUUUGAAAAUGGAAGUGGAAUGAAUUGGGAAUUCAUAAGCCUUUUUUUUGGUAAUACACACGUACACACGUCCAUAUGCCAAAAGGUUUUUAUUAUUAUUUUUUUUAUUUCUUGUUUAAUCUUUUGAUGUAUUAAAUUUUUUUUUUGUUUCAGAUUUGAUGUUUUAUCUUUUUUUUUUUCAUUUUUUUUGUUUUUUAUAUUGGAAAUACAUAAUACAACUUCAAACAUAAAAACACAAAACAUCCAAAUUGUCAAACUAAUACAUCUUCAAAUAUAAAACAUUGAUGUCGUCGUAGUCUUCAUUCCAAGUCCGUAGUCAUUGUAUUUAUUCGUCAUCCGCCAUGUCGUUGCGUAAUUCUCUCUCAUACUCGAUCUCUUCUAGGGUGAGUGACACCGACAUUCCCAUCGCUACUUCUUCCUCAUGUACUCGUGCUUCGACAUGCAACGAUGUGCCUUCUAGUGCUUCGAUGUCUUGUAUCCUUUCCACGCCAUCAAGGUAGUAUUUCAAGCAAAUGCACACUUCCACCGACAAAUGGGUUAGUUUUGUUCUUCUUGGUGAUAUUACCCUGCCACUAACAGAAAAACCGAUUCCGANUUACCCUGCCACUAACAGAAAAAGCCGAUUCCGAAGCUACCAUAGAAGCUUGGGAGCUUAGUAGAUCACGGGCCAUAGCGGCUAGAAUUGGAAAUUAGGUUUCCUUUCCUUUCCACCAAACCAAAAUAUCAAAAUUUUCAAACUCUUGAAUACUCAUUUCACUACUAGAAAAAUAGCCUUUUACGACGCGCGAACAACGACACGCGCUGUUUUAUGAUACACAAUAGUGUGUGCCCUAAAAAUAAUGUCGGCUCUCCAAAAAUUAGAAGGAUUUAGGGUACGCAUUUUUGCGCGCCCUAAAAUAAGUGUUACAUUAAAAAAAAACACGGAGGGCACAUAACAUAAAACGCGCGUCCACUAAGUAUGUCGCUUUAUAUUUUUUAAAUGAAAUGCGGGUCACAUUUUUUAGGGAAAACGAAAUUCCAAAAAGUUUGAAAGGCCCGCCAUGUUCCUACCUUCUUUCCACCGUUCUUCUCUCCCUUACUCAAAAUACCCAAAAAAAACCCUAAUAUACUCAUCGCUCCUCUUUUCUCCCAUAACAAACUCGCACCAUCACCAAAUCUCUGAUCUCCCACCAGCAAAAGGUCUCCUACCGAUGUCUCCACCUACUCUCUGCCCUCUCACUAUUUCUCUCAAUUAAAAACGCUAGAUCUCUCAAUCAGAGAACCAUGGCUACUUCUCCUUUCUCCCACACCAGUUGGCAAAAAGUGAGGAGUCUCGAGCCUAGCAGUUGAUAUUCACAUGCCCUCUUAAAUUGAAGGAAUCAGAACAUUGUCGACAUCAAUUCGUUAAUCAUCACUAGAGAAAUCAGAUACGCCAUCUGGUUGAUGAGUCAAGAGAAAUCACAUAUGUCAUCGCUUCAGCAAUCAUCCCUCCUUUUAACCGUAAGUUUUCAAUCUUACACUUUACAAAUAUCAUAUAAACAUCUCUCUCUCUCUCUCUCUCUCUCUUUCUCUCUCCUGCUAUACCUUGAUGAAUUAUCGCAUACAUAUGGAGGAACUGCUUUCUAAAAGCCAGCUAUCGGGAGAGUCAACAGGGUCAAUUGGGUGUUCAAAAGGUGCUUCGAUAUCAUCUUCCCGCCAGCAAAUCUCUGUUAAAGUUGUCACAGAGUAAUCCAUUUGAGUUUGGGCAUAUAUUUUUUGUUAUUAAUUUAGGGGGAGACUGUGUUCCAUGAUUUUGGUCAUGCAUUUCUUCAGCACACGCUAACAAGACAAGAUGAAGGGCUUGUUGUUGGUAUUCGUGGCAUAGAGUGGAUGCUGUUGAGUUACCUUUCCAGUUCAUGGAAAAUUGGUGCUACCGUAGGUAGGUAUAUAUAUCUCCAAUUUCAAGAUGUUGUUCAACUGCUGCAGGAACGAGGUGAGGGUGGCUGAUGAGAAUUUGUGACAGGAACUAUCCGAUUGGGGAUUCCAGCUCAAGUGGGGCAGUUGGCGCAUCAGAUCCAGCAGAAUCAGAAGAUAAUGAGGCCUUUAUUGCAAUUCUCUUCUUUUGAAUAUGAAAAGAUGCACUUUUCAGUCCUAAUCUGGGAUGUGAAAAUGAAAGGAACCCCUGUUUAGCCAACAAAACAAAGUAAAAUUCAGUUACAACACUUACCCAAAUAUAGCAUUCUACCUUUAAUUUUUCUCAUCAAGACAAAAUUGAAUCAGUUAUGAAACCGACCACAUAAAAGGCUGUUUUUCUAGAGUUGCAAUGUUAGGAAUAAAAGUCACAAUGGUAUGUGGUCGGUUUCAUAACUGAUUCAAUUUUGAUGAGUAAACAGGUUAGAUUUCAUAUGGUUGUUUGUUCAGAUUGGUAUUCAUCCUGAUUUUCCUUCAAUUAUGCAACAACUAUGCUGGAAUUUGCUAUGUUCCAUACUCGGAUUUUGAAUUUAUCGGAAAAUUGAAUAAUUAAUCUGGAAAAAUACCAUCUUUGAAUGAUUUUUUUGUCAUCUGUAGAUAAGGAAUACCAUCUUUGGGUAAUUAGUUUAUCUAGUCUACAUGAUUAAAUUAAUGGACAUAUAAUUCUCUAUUGAUAGAACAAAAAACAUUGCUUUGUAGUGAAGAUAAGGAAUACCAUAUUUGGGUAAUUAGUUUAUCCAUACUCGGAUUAUGAAUUUAGCCCACCAUCAGCAGGGGAUUGCUGAGUUUUAUGUGACCAUAAUGCCCUUUCGGUUUGUAGUGAAGAUCCAAGCAUGUAAUUAAUAACACCUCUAAUUAAUUAAUUAAUUAAUCCCCUAAAACUAACUAUGGUUAAAUUAAACUGGUGGUAGGUGCCAGUGUACAUAGGGGCACAUAUGGUCAAAUAUGUUUUAAUUAUUAGUCUAAUAUCUUUUGAUACUUAUCAAUAACAACAAAAUAAUGUAAAAUCGUGUGAAUACAAUUCAAGGGUAUAAUGGUCUAGACAGAGAUUAUUUUUAUUAAAGAUAUUUAUUUAUUAAUCAUCAGAGAAGAAGGAAUUAAUAUGAAAGAAUCACUUACUGCAAAAUAAUCUUCAAAUGUAAAAUCAACAUAGCCUAAGCCCUGAUUUUUAUUUCACCACAGGUUGGCGAGCUGGCGGGAAUAGCUUUGGGAGCAACUGUCAUGCUUAAUAUUCUUAUAGUUGUGUACGUUAUGGUCAAAAUAGUUCAGCAAGAACCUCUGUUGAAAUGAUAUAGGCCACUAAUUAUUUAAAACUAUCACUGGCUCCUCAUUAUGGUCAAAAUAGUUGGUCUGUUAAAAAUUGUGACUAUGAGCAAUUUGCCACUUCUAAAUGGGUUCUUUGUAGUUUUCCUUUCUAUAAUUCAGGAAAUAGGAUCAUAUUUUACUCUUGCAGAAAUAGUUAUGGUCUGUGAGCAUUCUUCCAGAUUGUAAGAACGUAAUUUUCAACACAACAAAGGUGAAAUUAUAUCUAUGUUUUCUUGUGUAUUUAACUUCACAGGAGCUGAAACAUGAUCUAAUUUUUUUUAUCUAUUGGUUAUGUUGAAUAUGGAUAAAAGGUUGUGGCUCAGAAAAGUGUUGGUGAUGCUUCUACAUUUGUUGAGAGUGAAUUUUCACUGUCAAAUUCAAGUUGGAUUUGGUAUGUAGAAAAAGUGUGUGUUUAGAGUAAGGACUUUUUCCUUGUUGGACUGUAAUAGUAGACCAAUAUGAUUCGUUUUAUAAAACCCUUAGACAGAUCACAGUUGGUUCUGCAAUUGCAUGGUCAGGUAAACAUUCUAAACACAUUUUCAAUUUAUUUUGUGAUAUUUAAUUUCUCCCAUAUUCUUUUAAAUUAUAUUAUAAUAUGCUUAUAAACACUACUUUCCUUUCAUGUAGCCAAAAAAUUGUCCCAAAGUUGACUGAGGUACUUUGGACAAAAAUACAAUGUUAGCUUACAUCUUUAUUAGUUAAUAUAAUCAAAUUUCUAAUUUUAGGUGCUAACUGAUACGCGUCCGCAAGUUCAGUCUGCAUGGCAGACAACACUCCAGCAGGUUUGACUAUAUUCUUAUGGGUUGUGGCAUUCACAUUCCCAUAGUGAUCUUGAUAAAGUUGCUUCUAUUUCCAUGCUAAGUUGGCUUUUAUUUGUAAUAUAGGAGGUCCAAAAUCUUGCAAAGAAGGCUGCAGAAACUGUGGUGUUGGUAAUUGAUGAUGAAGGGACUGAGUAUUUGAUAUCAGAACUUCUCAAGUUGCUUCUAUUUCCAUGCUAAGUUGGAUUUUAUUUAUCUUACUGUUUAUUAUCAUUUUUUAUAUAAAAUUUCAUCAUUUAUAUUAUAUAUAUAGUACAUUAUAGACUUUGCAUCAUAAUUUGUUGAAUGUUACAAGAUAUAAUUCAAAAUUCAAUUUCCUCAUGUUGUUGCUGAAAUGACAGCAAUUGGUUUUGGCCUACCAAAGAAUGCAUUCACCGCUUUAAUGAAGAAUGUAAGUGUUUAUUUUUCUUUUCUGUUUGGUGAAAAUCAUCAAAUGACAAUCUCAUUAUAUAUCUUAGGAUCUUAUCAGUUAAUAAACUUGAUCGUGGGUAUGAUCAAGCAUAGGUUUACAUUUAUACCCCUGCUUUUAUCUUUUAUCUUUUAUGUUAUAUAAUUAUAUUCCCCCUUUUUUUAUCAGGUUAAUUUGGUGGUUAAUUAUGAUCUUCCUAUAAGACAUGAUCAUCAAUCUCACUACAAGAAAAAUACCCUUUUACGACGCGCAAAACACGACGCUCUUUGAUUUAUGUUACGCAUUAGAGAGCGACAUUAAAAAAGUGUCAUCUCUUAAAAAAUUUUAAGGAUUUAGGUCGCGCAUUACUGAGUGCCCUUAAAUUAGUGUCUCAUGUAAAAAUAUUAAAAACACGGAAGGCACUUGUGCGUCGUCUGUGAAUGUCGUUUUAUAUUUUUUUUUAAGAAACACGCGUCUCGGAGGGAAAAUGAAAUCCCCAAAUUUUUUAAACCCCCACCUUUUUCUCCCUCGUCUCCACCCCUCAUCCACAUCCACUACCUCCGAUCCUCAUUUCCUCUUCUAGCCUCAAACUACGGCGAUGCACCUUCCUUCUCGAAGAAUGCUUCAUUUACCACCAUCGUCCGAUUAUGUGAGCCCAAGGAAUUGACCAAGACGAAGAAGAUAAUGGAUCAAUUGCUUCACAUCAUGUUUAAGGUUAAGGGUUUGAGUUAGUCCGCAACAGGUAAUCGAAUUUUGCCUAAUAUAUAUUUCUACUCUCAAACUGUUUAUUCGUCCGAUUGGAUGCAUAUUUACUAUUAAAUUUGGGGAUUUUCUUUUAAAACCCCCGCGCCUCUUCUUGUUUGUAGCUAAACAACCGUGAAUUUGUUAGAGUGAUUGGAAGAGGAAAAAUAGAAGAUAGAAGAAAAAGAAGAAGAAGAAAAGCGAACAAACGGGAUUUCUUGACCUGAUGUGUUAAUCCGUGAUCAGGUCUUCUGAGCGAAGAGAAGAUCUGAGGCUCAAUUGAAGAAAUAUGAGCGCUUCUAGAUUUAUAAAGUGCAUCACAGUCGGUGAUGGCGCUGUCGGGAAGACUUGUCUCUUGAUUUCCUACACCCGUAACACCUUCCCCACGGUAAUCAUCUCUUCAUCAACCGCCUUCAGUUUCUGCCCAACUAAAGCACGGUUACACACUUAUUUCUCUUCGGACGUUUCUGUGGCUUCCAUGGGAACGGAGGAGGAUGAUAUAAAUGAGGCAACAACUUCAUUCGCUACAUGUUUGAACCUUAAAUUGAAGGGAUUAUAUAUUGAAAUUUGAAUCUACAACUUCGAAUUUCAGUCAUCUCUCUUCUCUUCUACAUCUCACCUGAUUCUCUAUUGAAAUUUCUAGGGUUUUUAAUUGAACCUACAUCUUCAUCUUAAUCUUCUUUUCUGAAGUUAGGGCUUUUUUCUUAAGAACAACUAAUUUUUUGCAGUAAGUAAACCUCUAAUUUUUUCAUUUCUCAUUUCCUUAGACCUCUCCCCUUUCCAUCUCAUAUCGAGGCAAAAUCAAUUUCACUUUGGUGGCUUCGAUUUCCUAGCACAUAUUAUGUUAUUAUAUGGAUUUGUAGGAAAUUAGAAAUCAUGUUAGAAUGUUUGAUGUUCUGUAUGUUCAUAAAAGUACAUCUAAAACAAAAAUCUUAGAUUAAACAAAACUGAAGCAUUUAAUGAGAUGUAAUUACUAACUUUUGUUGGAGAUGCAAAUGCUAAAUAAAGAAAACUGAAGCAUUAAAUGAGAACCUUUAUAAUUCGAUUUCAUUCAGAUCUUCGGUGGAUAUUUAGGGCUAACAAAGAAAACUGAAGCAUUUAAUGAGAUGUAAUUACUAACUUUCGUUCAAGGUAACCCCUGUUAUGAAUACAUGUAAGAAUUUAUUUAUCUUUUUCUCUCACCACUUGCUAUCCAUGUGCUGCUCUCUCAUAGUUGAUAUCUAACAACAAAGACCUGAUCAGUCUAGUUUGCUUGUUUUUUUUCUUUUUCUUAUAAUUCUUGAAUACGUGCAGAUUUUUUAAGACUUCUAGUUUUGUUUUUUGUUCAGUGAUAUUGAUGAUGAGGCAAGUUUAUCAACACUAUGGGAGAGAUAUCAAAGUGUCUCUGAAAAGGUAUUGCGAUAUCAAAGCAUAAAUUAUUUAUGGAUUAAAAUGGGAAAAUGACUUAUAUGGGUAAGAAAGUUUUAAAAACUUUUAAAAAUGACUAUCAAAGUAUUGUUUGUAUAAAAAACACCAACCAAGUUUACCAUUUUGUCAAAUCUAACAGGUUGGUAACCUGCAUCUGCCGGUCAAAAAAAAUUACCUGAUCAUUUUAAAAACUGAAAUUAUAAAUGACAUGGCAUCCUUUUUUAGUCUUACGUGGAUUAAUUGCAAGGGAAGAUCCAUUUUCUCAGCGUUCUUUCUCAAAAUCAGGAGGGAGUCAACACAGAACCCUCUCUAGGGUUAGUUUCUGCCCCUGUAUACAGUUAUUUUUGUUUAAAUUGACUGAUUUUAACAGUUGACGAAUAUGCUCCUGCUUUGGGCUAAUCACACAUAUGUCUUUUUUAUGACCAAAUUGCCCCUGUAUAUAGUUUUUUUUUGUUACAAUUGACUGAUUUUACCAGUCAAUUAAGGUGUUGUUUAGAAACUGUUAGUAUCCAAGACCAUUUACAUGCUCGUGCACAAAGACGAAUUUGCCCUUGAUUGUGACCAAACUGCCCCUGUAUACAUAUUUUUUAUUACUAAAAACACCCCCUGUCCUAGAAAAAUAUGACACUUCUAUACAAAAGCUAAUACCAAUUUCUCACUACAAAUCAACUAAUAAGAAAAGAAGUGGGCAACUCUCUAAAAUGACCAAAAUUUGAAUUGCAGUGUCACAAAUUGACAAUUUUUUAAAGCUAUAAUGAAAUAAUGCUUUGUUUUGUAAAAUAUACAAAAUCCGUUUGUUGUUGUGUGCAACUAAUCCACAAACAUUUACAUAAUUCUCGUUAGUGUACUUUGCAAAGUGGUGCUGAAGUAAUUUGGGCAACAAAAGUACAUAUAACUAUAUUAAUAUUCUCUAAAUAAUCAUAUAUAAUGAAAUAAUGGUUUGUUUUGUAAAAUAUACAACCCAUACUGUAUUUUUGAUAAAAAAAAAUAAUGAUUUUAAGAGAUUUUGUCCGAAAUACCCUUAUAUACUCUUUUUUUUGGUAAAAAAUUAAUGAUGUAAUAGUUUUUGACUAAAAUGCCCGUAUAUACUAUUUAACAGGUUUGACCCCAUCUGAAUUAUGAUUCAGCUUAAAAUUGAAUGCCAUUUUGACAAUUUUAUUGCUUUUAAGACUAUUUACUGCUGAAAAUAUGUCAAAUUUGUUACAUUUUGCUGCUAUAAAUAGUCAAAAAAUAACUAAAAGUCUACAAAGAUUCAAGGUAACAGUAAAUAAUACUGGCAUUUCCAGCAGCAAAUCUUCAAUUGCAGGGACUAAACUUUGUCAUUUUUAGCAGAAAACUUUAUCAACCAACAAAAAGAGGUUAAUAAAGAAUCUAAAUGGCAUUCCAUUGUAACAGCAUCAAAACACGACCUGCACUCAAAACCCUCCAAAAUAGCCCCUACACUCAAUUGUAACAGCCCCUCUGUUGUGAUUCCUUUAACUGUGACCAAAUUGCCCCUCUAUUGUGAUUCCUUUAGAUUCAAGGUAACAUUGUUUUAAGUGAAAAGAUCAUUUCAUAACUUGUUUACAUAAAUUCUUUCUUAGCUUGUUUACAUAAAUUCUUUUUCUGUCAAUUCCUUUCAAGACAAAAAGAAAGAAAGCAGGAACUUAUAGCCAUGCAAGUAAUUUCAUUAUUUUUCUCAUUAACGAUUGUACUUCCUUUGCUCUUUCUUGCAUAAUAAUAAACAGAUUUAAAGAGGAGUGGAGCCAUAUGACCACCUGAUGCCCCCAAAUCAAUUUAUUUGAGCUAGAUUUGAACGAUUUACAAGGAGAAGAAGAAAAUCAAUUGUCAAGAGGAGAGGAGAUGUAUGACCACCCACCUGAUGCCCUAAAUCGAUUUAUAAUAUGUAUUUUUCAUUUAAUGCUGAGUAGAUGUGCAACACACUACCUAAAUAUGCCAACUAAUCAUUACUUUUGCCAACUCAGCCGUUCACCUGGAGAUCCGGUUACCACCGGGUCAUAUUUGAACAAAAGAUAAACUUCGUUGGUAUUUUUUGUACGACGCCUAUAGUUAAAUGGUAUUUUUGAACAACUAAAACUUCAAUGGUUUUUUUUGAAUGUUUUUGAAACUUUCUUACCCUUAUAAGUCAUUUUCUCGAUUAAAAUUGAACUUUUUUCAUACAUUACCUAACAUUGACUUGUCUUAAUUUGCAGGCAGAAAUACAAAAGGCUUUUCAUAUAUUUCUUAAACAAUUUUUUGUAAUAUACAAGAAUUGGGAGCCAUUAGAUUUAGAUAAUUCCAUAGAACCUUUCAUUGAUUCAAGGGAUCCUCUUUCUGAAAAAAAGAUUGCAGUGGCAUCAGAAGGCAGUCAUAUCAGUGAUGGAAGCUGGUGGUCUUAAUUGGUUAGUAGGUAAGGUAUGCAUCUUCAGAUUUAAUUUCUAUUGAGAACUAAACACAUUUGAAUAUCUGAGAACUAAACACACUUGAAUAUUUAUAAAUGAUGCACACAUCCAAAGGGAUAAUAGCAAUGUUUCUAAUGGCGUCAAAUAGACCUGAUUGUGACCACUAAUGGUUCAUCAGGUUUGUUGAUUUUUAUUUUAUUUUAUUUGAAGUGCAUUAUCUGGUUUAAUAUGAAAUGAUUCAUGUUGAAAUUGGUUUCUUUUGUUACUCCAUAAUACUUGAUAUCUUAUUUUUUGCAUGCAGGUGCUAACAAAUAUGGUGUCAUUAUCAUUGUUGUUGUUGUUGUUGGAUACGGAUAUGUUUGGUGGAAGGUAAAUAUAAGCUCAUAUAUUAAUAUUAUUACUUUUUACAGUUAACUUGUACAUAGUUUUUCUUCAACUAACAGAAAUGGUAUCAUUAACAGGGUUGGAAACUUCCUGAUAUGAUGUUUGCUACAAAAUGAAGUUUAUCUGAUGCCACAUAUGCUUUAGCUAAAUAGAUUGACACUGUUUACUCAUCACUUGCAGUAAGUUAUUUAAAAACUUUGUUAUUUUUUUGUUAUUAAUUUGGGUUGUUUAUUAUGUUGUUUAGGCUACCAAGAGACAUUUAUCUACAAGGAUUGACCGUGUUGAUAGUAGUUUAGAUGAGGUUGCAGAAAUUACUGCUGCUAAAAAAGAGGAGGUAUGACAAGAUAAAGGUUGUUCUAGAUGUUUAAUCUAUACAUAAUGCGGUUUACACCCUGGUGUGGUUCUUUUCCAUUUUGUCUUGUGACUUUGAUAUUGUUUUCUGAGUUGGAUAUGUGGUAUGAUAAAUUAUUUUUACAUGAGAGUAGGCUGAGUAGGGUUGAAUUGAAAUAGGUACUGAAUAUUACCGUUUGACAUGCGAUUUUUUCUAGCUUAAUGAGAUAUUUAUAACAAAUAAUUUUGAAUUUUUGUUGUCUUUUGUAGGGAAAUCCAUCAAGUUCAUCAAGGCCAGCUCUUGAAUUACCAUAGAGAGUAAACUUCUAAUCUUAUACAAAUACAAUGAUUUGCUAAAUUCAAGAAAUAACAAUGCACUUUUAUUUAUUACUUUUAUUAAAACAUCCUAGUUUAAUUUCUAGCUUAAUGAGACAUUUAUUACUUUUAGCAGAGAUCGAUAUAUAUAUGAGCUUUUUGCUUUCAAACAUUGUUGGGGAAGAAUGUUGAAACUUGCUCUUUGUGAAGGUAAUUUUUUUUCUUAAUGCAUUAUCCUCUAUAUUCUUGAUAUUUUUCCCACUUUUUAAAUCUUUUAUCAAAUUCUCACUUUUGGAUACAGUGCUUGAUGAGAGAAUGUGUGACCUAAAUCUUUUAUCAAAUUCUCACUUUUGGAGUUGGCCAUAAGAAAAUGUAGGCAAAGGGUAAUUUGUUAUAGUUCAGGUUGACAAGGUGCUGUAUUUUUCACAUAAUUGACAAGGAGCUGUUGUAUCUAUUCAGACUAGACUUAGAGCAAUGGUUGCAAGAGAUGAGUUCAGCAGAAAAAGAAACAAGGCUGCAACUAUAGUUAAGGUACUAUGGAUGAAUUAUGUUUGUAAAGUAUUUAAGAAAAUGAUUAUAAACAAGGGUGAAUUUGUACAAAUUAGUUAGCUACUUGCANUGAGUAUUUGAUAUCAAAACUUCUCAAGUUGCUUCUAUUUCCAUGCUAAGUUGGCUUUUAUUUAUCUUACUGUUUAUUAUCAUUUUUUAUAUAAAACUUCAUCAUUUAUAUUAUAUAUAAUACAUUAUAGACUUUGCAUCAUAAUUUGUUCAAUGUUACAGGAUACAAUUCAAAAUUCAAUUUCCUCAUGUUGUUGCUGAAAUGACAGCAAUUGGUUUUGGCCUACCAAAGAAUGCAUUCACCGCUCUAAUGAAGAAUGUAAGUGUUUAUUUUUCUUUUCUGUUUGGUGAAAAUCAUCAAAUGAAAAUCUCAUUAUAUAUCUUAGGAUCUUAUCAGUUAAUGAACUUGAUCGUGGGUAUGAUCAAGCAUAGAUUUACAUUUCUACCCCUGUUUUUAUCUUUUAUCUUUUGUGUCAUAUAAUUAUAUUUCCCUUUUUUUAUCAGGUUAAUUUGGUGGUUAAUUAUGAUCUUCCUAUAAGACAUGAUCAUCAAUCUCAACCUGACCAUGAAGUGUAGUUGCACUGAAUCGGAAGAGCAGGGUGAUUAUGGGAGAUGUUAAGUAGUUAUAGGGCUUUAGAUGCUUUCCCUUUGGGUAGGAAAUGUUUUUAAGACAUGAUCAUCAUUCUCUACCCCUGCUUUCCCUCUGGUGUUUAUCUCCCAUAAAACCCUAAAAUGUGGAUGUGCUAAAACUGAAGAAAUUAGAAGACACAUACUGGAUUUUAGCAAGUCGGGUAAGUUUAAAAAUAUCUUAAUACGAUAUUGAUUAGAUUACACAACAUGUAAUGUAGAAAAUAUCAUGAAUAUUUAUGAUCAAUAUUCAACUUUUGAAAAUGUAUCCAGUUUGAUGUUUAUCUAUUUGACAUUUUUUUGAUAGAAAAUGAGAAUACCGGAGAAGAUGAACCACAAAUUUACAUUGAAAUGAUCAAUGGAAUUAUCAAAUCCCUUCAGGUAUCAUCUCAUAUCACUUGCUUAUGAAAUUUAUUCAUCUAUACUUGAAAAGAUAUAUUUAUUUUUGUGUUGUUUCCAGGCUAUCCUUGAUGCAGUUCUCAGCACAACAAUUAUGAUUUUAUGAUGUUAGGCUAAACUAUAAAGCAAUCAUUCUUUGUUUUAGGAAACGUUUCAGAGCUUCUUUAGGCAGCUUAAUGAUGAGUUAUUGAAACAAAAUGGUGCCCCUUUAUAGCAAUGUAGUAUUAGGUUAUAUAGAUAGGAAAAACCUCUUAAUAACAACGUACAAUUAGAUCCCCUUAAUAUCAAUGUAUUACAAUUUUAUGACAUGAUGUUAUUGAAUGAAAUUGAUUGUGUAAUGGAUUGUAUUUUUUGUAUAUGGUAUUUUAUUUUCUAUUAUGAGACAUGAAAUGCAAAUUUAAUUUGAAAAUUAGUAAAUCUAUAAAUAAUUUUUAAAAAAAAUAAAAUAAAAAUUAUGAUACGCAAAAAUGUGUGUCAUCUUCAUUUAUGACAUGGCCUUUCUUGACAGUGGCUUUAAUGAUACGCAUUGCGUGUCAUAAAUACGUGUCGUCUAUAGACGACGCGCAAAAGCGCGUCGUCUCUCGUUAUGACAGGGCCUUCCUUGACGCGCAUGCGCGUCGUCUGACCGUUUUACGACUCGCAAUGAGCGUCGUAAAAGGCAUUUUUUCUAGUAGUGUUUGAGACAAGAAAUCAGAACCAAUGUACCUUCCGAGCUCGCUACUUGGCGCGUUAGACCGAGCUCGUUUGGAAUUUUCAUUCCUCAAAGUAUUAUAAAGCCUAAUUGUUUCGUUAUUUUAGUGAAAAGUGGAUCCGGGUGCCCCCAUAUUUUGCAUCACGUCAUGAAUGUUUGUUGAACCAUAUUUUGUUAAAUAAACUUCAAAUAAAUUUUGAAAAACUUUGUUAAAUUUUGAAACUUCCUUUGAUGCAUAAUCAAUGUCAUCAUCCAAUAAACCCAAAUCGUAACAAAUAUUUUCAAUUAAAGUCUCAACCCCCCCAACAUUUAGAGUUGGAUUCAAAGUGGCGGAACAAGUAAUAAUGGGAGCCAUUUCUUGAAAAUAUUUUUUUAACUUUGCUUUCAUCGGUUUCAUCAUAUUAGCAAACAUUGUGCUCCUCAUUUCAAACUCAUUUAUUUUCGCACACAUUAAAAAAAUUUGGUUUAAAACUAAACAACUUGUAGGAUAAUAAACCCCCGAUAAAAAAGUGGUUGUUUUUUUUUUAAAAAAACAUCAAGCAUGUCUGUAACAAGUUUGAUAGUAUCCCAACUUGAUUCCGGAUAAGCCGUAACCUUAUUACGGUCCGAAGGUUGUCAUGUAACAUUUUUAAAGUAUGUUUUUGACGUAAGGCACAUUCAAAAAUUUUGCAAGUGGAGUCCCAUCGGGUAUUAUUUUCCCAAUUCAGACCUAAAAAGAGGGCAUUCGCAUCGACACAAAAUUGCAUAUAAUUAUGAUAUCGAGCGUUACUAGAACUAAAAAUAUCUUUUAGCAUGUCUUUGAAACCAUCUUUUAUAGUUUCAAUGUGAGUUAGUCCAUCUUGCACAACCAAAUUAAUCAUAUGUGCAACACAUCGACUAUGAAAAAUAAACACCAUCACAAAUUGGUUUAUAUUUUAGUUUUAGUUGUCCAACCGCGACGGUGUUGUUUGAAGCAUUAUCAAAAGAUAUAGAAAAAAUCUUUCCUUCAAGUUUAUAAGUUUUGAUCACACAAUCUAAAAUUUUAAAUAAAUUUCUAUCGGUGUGCGGGUACUCAAACAAUUCAAACGUAAUCGUAUGCUUUAUCAUUACCCAAUUAGUUGGAUUAAUCCAAUGAGCGGUAACACAAAGGUACGCAUCCGGUGAACCGUCAGGAGCCGUCCAAACAUCACAAGUUAAAUUCACACCGGUUUCUAAAGAUUGAAAUCCUAAAAUCAAUUCAUUUUUUGCAAGUUUCCACAUUUCAAUACAAUCGCGUCUAAUAGAAGUACGACUCACAUGGCAAUAUCGUGGUUGGAGAGUAUCUUGGAUGAGUGAAGUCAAUCGUUUGUUGUCGAAGUGGUCAAAAGGCAAGCAUUCUUGAAUCACGAACUUCGUCAUCCUAUCCCGAACUUUAGCCAUAUCGUAACUCCACAAUGUUGCAUCAUUCGUCAUUCUUGUUUGAAUAUGUCCCGACCCAAAUUUCACCGUGGGGCAUCUUUUGGUCAUAUGAUUUUUCAAUGUCGAAUUCUCAUCUUCAUUAAAAAAAGCACCACAUUUCUUGCAUUGCGCUUUUUUAUACCGUUCGACAUUACACACAAAUCGUAGUUGCACAAAAUAGCCGGAUUUCUAUUUGUUUCUUUGAUGCUAACAACGGUAAGAGUGUUUGAUGAAUCUCGAACACCAACGGAAGCCGAAUCCAUUGUUUGAAUUAAGAGUGGUUUUUGAACUAAGAGAGGUUUGCGGUUUUUGAACUAAGAGAGGUUUUUUGAGGUUUGGUUAAGGUAAAGUUGAGACCUAAAAAUGUAAUACAUAUAUAUAUACUAUAAGGAAUAGUUAAUAUGGUAAAAAAGAAGCAAAAAUCGAGUCUUGAACAGCCUCAAACGACUAUAUAGCCGUUAGGAAAAGACAAAAAAACGGUAACAUUACAAAAACCGGUUCACCAACGGCACUUUCGAAAUCUGGUUCAAAACUGGUUCAUCACACCUGUUCAGAAUAAACCAGUUCCAAACCGGUCUCCAGGGUAAAACAUGCGAACUGGUAACAUCCGAUGGUUCGGUUCACUAUGGGUUCGGUUCUUAUGUGAACCGGUUCAAGGCUAAACCGGUUUCCGGUUCACCAACCGGUUCGGUUCCUAAACCAGUUUUUUUGCCCACGCCUACCACUAGCUAGUCUAGGUGGGCUUUUAGUACGGGGGUUUUCAUGAGGAAUAGGUUGAAAGGAGUGUUGGCAUCUCACUGCCGUCAUCUGUUACCAUUUCAUAAGGAGUGGUAGCAUUCCUAGCACAUUAGAUUUUUUUUUUUUGAUUUUUUUUUUUGAACUUAAAUAAAUUAUAUUUUUAUAAAACACAAACAAUUCAAUAUUAAUCAAGAAACUAACUACAUUUUAUAGAUAAAUUUACCUUAUUUAAACAAGGAUUAAUAGAAAGGUCAAAUAAAAUUUAAAUGGUUAACGACAUGCUUAAAAUUUUACAAAUAUAUUGAUUUUGUAACGACACAAUUUUCUACUCUAUCAAGGUAAAGAAACAUUUAUGUUAAUAAUAAAGUGACACUUUAAUAUAUAUCUUCAAAUAAUUAUUAAAAAUAAAUAAUACUAUAAAAAAUUACCAAUACUAUCUAGAAACAAAAACCACUCACAGCACGGAAUUUACAAAACAACCAUCCAACUUCCUUAUUUUUUUGAAAGAGCUUUUACGAUCUCCAUUUCCAUUUCCUUUUUUUCUUAAAAUUACAUCUUACAUCUUCCAAUUUGCUAUUAUCAUUUCUUAAGUUUGUGAAAGUAGACUAUUCCACAAAACUACUCCUCCAAUUGUGUGAAACACGAAGCAAAAGCGAGACCUUUGAGCUUUUUCUUAAAAAAUAAUCCUUGUUUGAGAUGGAGACCACACCAUUGAUGGGAGAAAUGAAGGUUCUAGAGAACGAUUGUAAGAGGAAGAUUAUUGUAUCCACAGGCCAAUAUCCAACAAAUCUCUUUCUCUUUCUUCUCGCUAUGGUGUUGACGAGCCAUGGCUGGCGACUUCCUUGGCGCAAGCCAGGGGGCGGCCUUCAGCGCCCUUGGCGACCGGUGGCGACCUCCAUAGCGAGGCCCACUCCCUAAAGCCUUAUAACACACCAUUUAUUGACCAAGUUUACCCAACAAUGCAUCCCAAUUCAUUAGAUUUGUCUUAUCAUUAUACUUUUUAUACAAUUUCAUCAUUUUUCUAUAAUAUAUUAAAACUCUAUGAAAAUUCAAAAGAAUAUACUUUUGAAUUUUCAUAGAAUUUUAUUAUAUUAUAGAAAUAUGGUGAGAAUCCUAGAUGCUUUUAUCUCUCUUUCAGACUUAAAAGCCAGUAUGCGUUCAAUAAGUACGUGGCCAACUCCGGACCUAGCUUUUGCGAACGUGGGACGUUCACUUCGGAUAGCCUCGAAAUGAGUACCUCUUACUUUAAAAAUUUAUAACUUUGGCAUACGAGCUCCGUUUUCGACAUUCACUUUCAUUUAGACUCUGUUUGCUAAUUUUGAUUUUUAUUUUUAAAUUUAUAUUUUUUAACAGGCCGGGACUGGAAAAGCCCGUUAAAAAUUCAUAACUUCUUCAUCCGACGUUCGUUUUCGUAUGACUUUUUACCAUUAAACUACUAUCGACGAGAUUUUUGAUUCUCAUUUACAUUGUGUUGGAUAAAAAUCGCUCGAUCUAUACUUCGAACUACGGGCUGCACAAUGUUAUGCCAAAUCUUAGAAAAUUCAUAACUUCCUCAUACGAAGCUAGAUUUGGAUUUCUUUUUUAUGCACGCUCUUGGUUUAACGUAUACUACGAUUUUCAUUUAGAUUGCUAAGGCUAAAAAACACUUUAUCGUAAACUCACUUUUCACGUCACACAAUGUCAUGUCAGUUUUGUCGCGAAACUUCGAUAUGUCAUAAAUUCUUCGUGAUCAGGGCCGAUCUUGAAAAAUGAAAUAUUCUUGGAGCCCCAGGACGAGCAAGAAAAAAAUGGCCCUUAUCUUUAUUAUAAUUUUGUAAUUUUAAAUAAAAAUAUAUAAUGAAAAAAAUUAGGCCAUGUGCAGCUGCCCACUUUGCCUCCUUCUAAGCCCCCAUUGUUCAUGAUAACUCGGAUUUCAGCGUUCUUUAUAUUUCUGGAGUCCUUGUCACGACCACUACAACUUUCUUCAUAGAUAUCGGGUUUAUAUAACAUUUUAUUUUUGACGCUUAUUUUUAUUCUUAAUUAAUUAUAUCAUUAUAAACAAGUAUAUAAUCACAUAAAAUCACGUAAUUCACAUAAUACUCAAGUAAUUCAUCUUUAUUACAUUAAAAUAGGUUACAAUGGUUGACCUUGACUAUUACAUCAUCAUACUAAUGUGAAACAACCUAAAAUACGACCCAAUUUUUUUUUUGUUAAAAUAAUACUAAAGAUAUCAACCAUCAUAAUAUAUCAUGAAAUCGUACGUCAUAAAUCCCCAAAAAGUUAUAAUAGAUAUGUCAUGACAAAAGAGUUGUAUCAACAUACCAUAGUAUCUAAAAUAAACUCCCAGGACAAAAGUUGAAACUGUGGUGUGUGCAAUGUCAUCAUCCUGAGCUCUUUCCUUUGCUUGCGGAAAUACCUGAAACCAAAACUGAAACUGUAAGCACAAAGCUUAAUGAGCUCCCCCAAACUACCACAUACCAUACAAUAGCAUAUACAACACAUACUAGGCCUUGCCCACUGCAUCGGACCGAAGUCCGGAAAUUGCAUCGGACCGAAGUCCAGAACUAACCAAGGCCUUGCCCUCUGCAUCGGACCGAAGUCCGGAACUACAUCAGACCGAAGUCCGGAAACUAACCAGGGCCUUGCCCUCUGCAUCGGACCGAAGUCCGGAACUAACUGCAUCGGACUGAAGUCCGGAACUGACUGCAUCGGACCGAAGUCCGAAAUUGUCUGAACAUAACAUAUCAUAAACAUCUCAACCAGUAUGAACACAUAAACUGCAUAUCGCAUCAGACCGAAGUACGAAACACAUAACACAAAUACAUGCUUGAAUCACAAAGACAUCAAGCAUUCUAAGUACUGCAACGGACGGAGGUCCGAAACUUCUGCUAACUAAACCGACCGGCAUUGUAGCCGUAGACCCGUUCCUACUGGAAGGAAAACUCACCUCGUAAUGCUGGCUGCUGAGAUGCUAACUCUAAAAGUGACUGACCGCUGCUUCGGAACUGUCCGACUACAAAUCCCAGAAACACUAGAUUAGUUACUUGCAUAUACCCUCAGGGUAAGAUGACUAUUUUGCCCCUGGUCAAAGUCAACUUCUAGUUGACCGGACUCGCCGACUAUGGGCGCAGAACCGCCGAGUCCCUCCUUUACUAACUCUGACUUUAACUCACCGAGUCCCUUUCCCACUCACUGACUCUCUCUGAACUCGUAGGUCGAAGAAAAAAGGGGACUCACGACUCGACUCGUCGAGUCUGAAGAACAACUCGCCGAGUCCUGCCGUGCAUAUUCCAAACAAACGAAUUCAAAACUAUUCCAGAGCAUCUGACUUGAAGAUCUGAGCCCUUGGAACUAUCUAAACACGUGAAGUUUCUAACUUUACGUGCAACUAAGAAGGAAUGAAGCUAUUUCACUCAAACACUACUUUUCUUGGGAAAACUCAUCCGACUCGCCGAGUUGUAUGAACAACUCGUCGAGUCUAAGGUGAUCUUCAUCGGACUCGCAGAGUUGCUCAUCAAACUCGUCGAGUCUACGACUAUCUUCAUAUGACUCGCCAAGUCACACAUGCGACUCGCCAAGUCCAUUCAGUCCCUUUUUCCAUACAGACCUGAUUUGGGCCAUGCAGUGGCUCCAAAUCACAGAUCCAAGAUUCUAGGGCAUGCUUAUCACGUAAAUUUGCAAACUUUACGUGCAUGCAUGGCUUUAAAGGCUUCAAAUGCCAACCCUAAGCUCUUAAUGGGGUUCCAAGCUCAAGAGGGACCUCAAUCACGACCAUAACCGAAACUUUACUCUUCUAGAAUGCAAUGAGAGUCUAGAUCUGAUGUUUCCAUAAAAGGGGAAGUCCAUCUCUCAAGUUUGAACCAUAAGAGGCUCCAAAGAGGGCAUAACAAGCAUAUAUGAGGUUAUAAUGGGGGAAUGCACAAGGUCAUAACUUCAUUACCUGAAUGAAAAACAGAUGUAAGCUAACUCCUAGAUUUUCCUUCCCUUCUAUGGACCUUCCUUCCUUCCCAAAGCUUCCAAGCUAUCACAAAUACCCUCAAACUCAACAAUGGGGCUAGGGUUUACAAGGGAAAUGUUAUGAGAGUGAUAGAGGCGAGGUUGGGGGCGCAUAAGUGUGUUUAAAUAGGGUGAAAACCCUUAAAAUUAGGGCUUCAUCCAGACAGGCGGACUCGCCGAGUCCAACGUAUGGACUAGUCGAGUAGCCAUCUCAAAACGCGUGAUCGUCCCGUCUCUACUUGACGAGUCAGGCUACAGACUCGUCGAGUACCCCUUCAGAAAUGAAAAUACUUUAUUUGAAUUACAUACCAGAAAUGGGGCGUUACAACUCUCCCCCACUUAUCUUAGACUUUGUCCUCGUAGUCUGCUGCUGCUGCUGAAAAUAACUCUGGGUAAUGCUCCCUCAUCUCCUACUCGGACUCCCACGUCCACUCUGAACCCUUUCGGUGCUGCCACAACACCUUCACUAGCUGAACCACCUUGUUCCUCAAGGUCUUCGUCUUCCAAUCUAUGAUCGCAACUGGUCUCUCGAUAUAAUUCAGGCUGCUAUCAACCUGAAUAUCCUCCAAGGGUACAACUGCUGACUUGUCCACCAAACACUUUCGCAACUGGGAAACAUAGAAAGUGUUGUGGAUCUGGCUAAGCUCUACCGGAAGAUCCAACCGAUAAGCAACCCGACCCACCCGGACCAAAACCCUAAAAGGGCCAAUGAACCUGGGACCCAGCUUGCCUCUCUUCCGAAACUUGAUAACACCCUUCCAAGGUGAUACCUUCAGGAGGACCAUAUCGCCCACCUGAAACUCCAAGUCCGAACGCCUCUUGUCGGUGUAACUCUUCUGCCUACUCUGUGCAGUCUGCAGUCUACUACGAACCUGCUGGAUCAACUCUGUGGUCUUGAGCACCAUUUCAGUGCUCCCAAUGACUCACUGACCAACCUCGCCCCAACAAAUCGGAGUCCUGCACUUCCUUCCGUAUAGCAUCUCGAAAGGAGGACGUUUAAUACUAGUGUGGUAACUAUUGUUAUACGGAAAUUCCGCUAGUGGGAGAUACGUAUCCCAACUACCACCGAAGUCUAGAACACAUGCCCGGAGUAUGUCCUCGAGAGUCUGAAUUGUCCUCUCACUCUGCCCGUCCGUCUGGGGGUGGAAGGCGGUGCUAAAAUGAAGACGAGUCCCCAUCUCGUCAUGAAACUGCUUCCAAAAUCUGGAAGUAAAACGGACGUCUCGGUCUGACACUACCGAAACAGGCACUCCGUGCUGUGCUACUACCUCGCGUACAUAGAUGUGGGCUAGCUUCUUAGCCGAUAUGCUCUCCUAGAUCGGUAUAAAAUGUGCGCUCUUGGUCAGCCGAUCCAUUAUGACCCAAAUCGAAUCCACUCCCCGUGCGGUCCUGGGAAGCUUGGUGACAAAAUCCAUGGUAAUGUCCUCCCAUUUCCAUAUGGGAAUAUCUAACGGCAGCAUCUUGCCGUGGGGUCUCUGGUGCUCUGCCUUGACCUUCCUGCAGGUCAGGCAUCUCCCCACAUUCCAGGCGACAUCCUGCUUCAUGCAGGGCCACCAAUAGUCGGGUCGAAGAUCUCUGUAGAUCUUCGUUGCCCCUGGGUGGAUGGAAAAUCAAGAAUUAUGAGCCUCGUCCAUCAAUACCUGCCAUACUCCGCCCCAGUACAGUACCCAAACCCUCCCAUGGAGGGUCAACAAUCGUUAACUGUCAUAAUCAAAGGAAGCUACUCGGUCCACGAUUCUCUCACACUUCUGCCUCUCCUCCUUGAGGCCCUCGACGUGUGCCUCCCUGAUCUGCUCCAACAAGGGAGUAAUCACUGUCAUCCUCAAGCAUACAUCCCUGAUCGGGGCCGCUGCCGUCUUGUGGCUCAGGGCGUCGGCCACUACGUUGGCCUUCCCCGGGUGAUAAAGGAUCUCACAGUCGUAAUCCUUCACCACAUCUAACCACCGACGCUGCCGCAUGUUAAGAUUCGGCUGGUCCAUGAGGUACUUCAGACUCUUGUGAUCCGUGUAGAUGGUGCAACGGACCCCAUAGAGGUAGUGUCUCCAAAUCUUGAGGGCGAACACCACUGCCCCCAACUCCAAAUCAUGCAUCGGAUAGUUAGCCUCGUGAGACUUCAACUGUCUGGAGGCAUAAGCUAUCACAUGCCCCCGUUGCAUCAACACUGCCCCCAUAUCUGCGAUCGAGGCAUCACAGUAGACUACAAAAUCAUCCACUCUCUCCGGCAAGGUCAGAAUCGGUGCCUCGCACAAUCGCUGUCUGAGAGUCUCGAAAGUCGCCUGCUGCUCAGGCCCCUAACGAAACACCACCGACUUCUUGGUUAGUCGGGUGAGUGGAACUGCUAUCUUGGAGAAAUACUGAAUGAAUCUCCUGUAGUACCCUGCCAAACCUAGGAAGCUCUGAAUCUAUGAUGGAGACUUUGGGACCUCCCACUGCAUCAUGGCCUCUAUCUUGGCCGGAUCUACCAGUAUACCCUUCUGGUUGAUGAGGUGCCUAAGGAAUUGCACCUCGCGCAACUAGAACUCGCACUUGGAGAACUUUGCUAAAAGUUUCUCCCUCCUCAAGACCUCUAGCACCUCCCUUAGGUGCUCCUCGUGCUGCUCCUGAGUCUUGGAAUAAACCAAGAUGUCAUCGAUGAAUACAAUCACAGACCGGUCCAACAUCGGCAUGCACACGCGGUUCAUGAGUUCCAUGAACGCGGAUGGAGCGUUGGUGAGCCCAAACGACAUCACCACAAACUCAUAAUGACCAUAACGGGUCCUAAAAGUUGUCUUCUGAACAUCCUCACCCCUGACCCGCAUCUGAUGAUAACCGGAGCGCAAAUCAAUCUUGGAAAACCAAGACGCUCCUUGAAGCUAAUCGAACAAGGCAUCUAUCCUCGGAAGUGGGUAACGGUUAUUCACCGUUACCUUGUUCAACUCCCAGUAGUCUAUGCACAUACGGUGCGACCCAUCCUUCUUCUUCACAAACAAGAUUGGGGCUCCCCAUGGAGAACUAAUUAGUCUAAUGAAACCCUUGUCUAGCAGCUCCUGCAGCUGCGUAUACAACUCCUGCAUUUCUGGAGGAGCCAACCGAUACGGCGCCUUGGCUAUCGGAGCCGCACCAGGAACCAAGUCAAUCUUGAACUCAACCUGUCUCUCUGAAGGUAUCCCAGGUAAUUCCUCUGGGAAUGAGUCCGGGUACUCUCGCACCACUGCUACAUCAUCUACUGUCAUCGUACUCUUAUCCCGGGUAUCCAUCACAUAUGUGACAUAACCUGCUUAACCCUGUUGGAAGUAGCGCCUCACUCUCACUGCUGAACAAAGAAUCGGUCCGCGUUGUGGGCUCUCGCCCUGAAUCACUAACUCUCCCCCGUUGGGAGUGCGAACCCUCACUAGCUGCAAUUCGCAAUCAAUCAUCGCCCCAUUGGGGCUCAACCAAUCCAUGCUUACUAUGGCCUUGUUCCCUCGCAAAGGAAUAGGGACCAUGUCCACCGAAAACUGCUCAUCGAAUAACUGCAGUGAGCAUGCCUUAUGCACCCUCGUGACCCUGACGGUCCUAUCAUCGGCUAUCUCCACCUCGAGUGGACAAUCCAGCUCCCUAGGAUCUCUGCUAAACCUCUUGCUAAGUGCAAGAGAGACAAACGAUCGGGUAGCCCCUGAAUCAAAUGACACUGUAGCUGAAAUGUCGUUCACUAAGAACGACCCUAUACAUAAACAUAUAACAUUAGAAACAAUCAAUAAUCAAUGCAUAGAUAAAAGGAAAAUACAUACCCGUCACCACGUCAGGAGUCGCUCGCGCCUCCUCUGCUGUUAUCUGAAAAGCUCUACUCUUCGCCACUGGCACCUCGGCCCGCCCCUGACGACCGUUCGUAAUCCUCAAUGUAGCAGGGGCAGGUGCCGACACCUUCCCUGCUGCUGCUAAGCUUGGGCACUGGGACUUUUUAUGUCCCCUCUGAUUGCAAUGGAAGCAAAUCAGAUCUGAUGCUGCGGUAGCUGUGGUAGAAACUGUACAAUCUCUGCUCAUAUGCCUAGUCCAACCGUACUUGUAGCAGCCGGAACUCCCUGCCUUGCACGCCCCAUCGUGUAAUCUCCCACACUUGCCACACCGACUGUGGCUCUGCUGACCUCUGGACCUAUGAUCCGAAACCUUGGGCUUCUUGCCCAAACUCCCUGUACCCGAAGCCGCCUCCGCCUUCCUCUUAUUCUCCAUCUCAAGAUCAAUCUCUCUCUCUCUCUCUCUCUCUCUCGCCCUUGCAAUCAUAUCAUCCAGCAUCUUACAGCUGGAUCGGCUCACAAACUGGCGGAUAUCACUCCGCAGCGUCUCAUGAUAACGGGCCUUCUUCAUUUCCUCGUCAGCUGCGUACUGAGGAACAAGAAGAGCCCUCUCCCUGAACUUGGCGGUAAUCUCCGCCACUGUCUCUAUAGUCUGAGUAAGGUCUUGAAACUCUCUAGCUAACUGUUGCACCUCAAUAGUCGGUGCGAACUCGGCUCUGAACCUGGUGGUAAAAUCAGCCUAAGUCAUAGUAUCAAGUGCUAUGUCAUCCCUGAUACCAUGCCCAACCUCCUCCCACCAGUCACAUGCCCUAUCCUUCAGGAGACAGGAUGCUAAUCUGACCUUGUCCCCUUCGGGACAUCUGCUAGUGCGGAACACGUUGGCAACAUCUGCCAACCACCUAGUGCUCGCAAUGAGGUCCCGCACCCCAUGAUAGCCUGGAGCUCCACAAGCCCGAAACUCCCUGAAGGUGAGUGUGCGCGACCCCAUCAUGGCCGCCAUCUCAGCACGAAAUGUGCUCAACUUCUCAUCCAUCAACUCCAAGAUACCCUCCUUGAUCGAACCGAAGAUCACAGGACUCUGCUCAAGUAUGAUACGGGUAACCUCUGAAGUGAAAAACUCCCUAGUUUGCUCAUCCAACUGCUCGGCCCCCCAGCCUGAUCCUGAUCCUUCCUCGGCACCUGAGCUGCCGACUGCUGGCCUAGGGCGUAAAACCACCAUUCUGAAAACACAUCAUGAUAAACGUCAAAAACACUGAUAUAUCUCUAGGGAUCGCUACUACUAUAGGUUUCCUGGUCUCGCCUCUGCCUUCCUUGAUUCAAGUACAAAUCCUCAACAAAAACCAGUCCUCAACUGCUGAAGGCCUCCUUGUAAUGCCAAUUAGUCAUCACCUGAAUAUCAUCACAUGUGACGAGACUCAGAUAAUCCUUCGAGUAAAAGACUCAUUCCUACAACGGAUGGACUCAAACAAGAGCUGCGCAGUAGAGCCAAAUCCAGCACUCUGAGAUUAUUCAACCCUGAUCUCAGGCGAUGUGUCGUAUUCACCUAAUGGUUAACUCUCAUUACCCGGAGUCUCAUAAAGCACAAAGCAAGCAGCAUUCGGACACAGGAAACUAAUCAAGCCACUCUAUUCUCAUAACAAGAAAUUGUACUAGCAUACAAUGUUAAGCUCGUACUGUCAGGCAUAACCUAAACAGGCUAUCCUACUGCUGUCUACUCAAUACUAGCAUGCAGUUCUCAUAAAGCUGAAGCACAUAUAGCAUGCACAUAAGGCAUCCUGCUAGAUCCUUAGUCCUAUUCUAGCAUGCUGUUCUACUGAAACUAAAACUGAUAAUCAUAACAUAAACUUGUAUGGGUAAUUUAGGGGUACUUACUUGAGCUCGACUGAUCGCAUGCACCACACCCUUUUCUCGUUUUCAAAACUCUUUUCUUUUUAAGUCUCUUUCUCAAAAGUUCUUUUGAACACAUUUUUCUUUCGAAAAUCUUUUUUCUAUUUCCUCAGUUUGAGUUCAGUUACACCCGUAAGUGUGUCUGAAUCCCUCAAACCAAGGCUCAGAUACCAACUUGAAAUAACCCAAAAUACAACCCAAUUUUUUUUUGUUAAAAAAAUACUAAAGAUAUCAACCAUCAUAAUAUAUCAUGAAAUCGUACGUCAUAAAUCCCCAAAAAGUUAUAAUAGAUGUGUCAUGACAAAAGAGUUGUAUCAACAUAACAUAGUAUCUAAAAUAAACUCCCAUGACAAAAGCUGAAACUGUGGUGUGUGCAAUGCCGUCAUCCCGAGCUCUUCCCUUUGCUUGCGGAAGUACCUGAAACCAAAACUGAAACUGUAAGCACAAAGCUUAGUGAGCUCCCCCAAACUACCACAUACCAUACAAUCAUAUAAAACACAUAUUGGGCCUUGCCCACUGCAUCGGACCGAAGUCUAGAAAAUGCAUCGGACCGAAGUCCGGAACUAACCAGGGCCUUGCCCUCUGCAUCGGACCAAAGUCCAGAACUGCAUCGGACCGAAGUCUGGAAACUAACCAGGGCCUCGCCCUCUGCAUCGGACCGAAGUUCGGAACUAACUGCAUCCAACCGAAGUCCGGAAUUGUCUGAACAUAACAUAUCAUAAACAUCUCAACUAGCAUGAACACAUAAACUGCAUACCGCAUCGGACCGAAGUCCGAAACACAUAACACAAAUACAUGCUUGAAUCACAAAGACAUCAAGCAUUCUAACUACUGCAACGGACAGAGGUCCGGAACUUCUGCUAACUAAACGGGCCGGCAUUGUGGCCGUAGACCCGUUCCUACUGGAAGGAAAACUCACCUCGUAAUGUUGGCUGCUGAGAUGCAAACUCUAAAAGUGGCUGACCGCUGCUCCGGAACUGUCCGACUACAAAUCCCAGAAACACUAGAUUAGUUACUUGCAUAUACCCUCAGGGUAAGAUGACUAUUUUGCCCCCGGUCAAAGUCAACUUCUAGUUGACCGGACUCACCGAGUCAGGGCGCAGACUCGCCGAGUCCCUCCUUUACUAACUCUGACUUUAAUUCACAGAGUCCCUUUCCCACUCACUGACUCUCUCUGAACUCGUAGGUCGAAGAAAAAAGGGGACUCACGACUCGACUCGUCGAGUCUGAAGAACAACUCGCCGAGUCCUGCCGUGCAUAUUCCAAACAAACGAAUUCAAAACUAUUCCAGAGCAUCUGACUUGAAGAUCUGAGCCCUUGGAACUAUCUAAACACGUGAAGUUUCUAACUUUACGUGCAACUAAGAAGGAAUGAAGCUAUUUCACUCAAACACUACUUUUCUUGGGAAAACUCAUCCGACUCGCCGAGUUGUAUGAACAACUCGUCGAGUCUAAGGCGAUCUUCAUCAGACUCGCCGAGUUGCUCAUCCAACUCGUCAAGUCUACGGCUAUCUUCAUAUGACUCUCUGAGUCACGCAUGCGACUCGCCGAGUCCAUUUAGUCCCUUUUUCCAUACAGACCUGAUUUGGGCCAUGCAUUGGCUCCAAAUCACAGAUCUAAGCUUCUAGGGCAUUCUUAUCACGUAAAUUUGCAAACUUUACGUGCAUGCAUGGCUUUAAAGGCUUCAAAUGCUAACCCUAAGCUCUUAAUGGGGCUCCAAGCUCAAGAGAGACCUCAAUCAUGACCAUAACAGAAACUUUACUCUUCUAGAAUGCAAUAAGAGUCCAGAUCUAAUGUUUCCAUAAAAAGGGGAAGUCCAUCUCUCAAGUUUGAACCAUAAGAGGCUCCAAAGAGGGCAUAACAAGCAUAAAGGAGGUUAUAAUGGGGGAAUGCACAAGUUCAUAACUUCAUUACCUGAAUGAAAAAUAGAUGUAAGCUAACUCCUGGAUCUUCCUUCCCUUUUAUGGACCUUCCUUCCUUCCCAAUGCUUCCAUGCUAUCACAAAUACCCUCAAACUCAACAAUGGGGCUAGGGUUUACAGGGGAAAUGUUCUGAGAGUGAUAGAGGCGAGGUUGGGGGCGCAUAAGUGUGUUUAAAUAGGGUGCAAACCCUUAAAAUUAGGGCUUCAUCCAGACAGGCGGACUUGCCGAGUCCAGCGUAUGGACUCGUCGAGUAGCCAGCUCAAAACGUGUGAUUGUCUCGUCUCUACUCGACGAUUCGGGCUACAGACUCAUCGAGUACCCCUUAAUAAAUGAAAAUACUUUAUUUGAAUUACAUACCAAAAAUGGGGCAUUACAUAAUGCUUAGCCCAGAAACACGGACGUUACACUUCUCUCCUCCUUAGGAUGAUGCCAUCCCCAGAAUCAUACAUCAACAAACUAAUGCGGAUAGCGACUCAUCAUGUCACUCUCCAUUUCCUAGGUGAGAUUUGACUCAUUCGUAUGUUUCCGUCGCACAAGUAGUAAGUCAACCAUCUUGUGACGCAACUUCUUCGUCUUAUGGUCAACAAUCGCCUCCGGUUCUUCAACUAGCCUCUUAUUUUCAUCCAUCCUUAGCUCAUAAAUUAGAAUUAUGUCAGGAACUUCUCCCAUGAAUUUCCUCAAAUAACUCACAUGGAAAGUGUUAUGAAUAAUGUCUAGUUCUUCUGGUAGUUCUAGCUUGUAGGCUUGGUUCCCAAUCCUCUGAAGAACUUUGAACGGUCCAAUGAAUCUUGGACUUAACUUCCCUUUUUCCCGAAUCUUAUAAGUUCCUUGUAGCACCUGGUUCCUGGUAUGUAAUUUAUUUAAAUAUUUUGCAUUUUUGGCCUUGGACUCGGCAAGUUGAAGGACCAACUUGCCGAGUAGAAGCGGGAUGGGACGUGGGAUUUAAGUGAUGGACACGUCGAGUCGGGUCCCGGACUCGACGAGUAGGCUCUGACUGAAAAACCCUAAUCCGAGGGUUUGCACCCUAUUUAAUCAUCUCAUUUUCCCCUAAUGCUCCCAGAAACCCUCCCUAGUAAACCCUAAGUGUUUUGGUGCAAGAUCUAAGGCUUUUGAGUGAUUUUUGUGGGUUUUGACCUCAAGGAAUAAGGAAGAGCAUAGAAGGAUCAAGAGGAGACUGAAGGAUUAGAGUUUGGUGCAUCAUUUUCAGUCCUUGAAAGGUAUAAAUUAUGUACCUUGCUUGUUCAUUUGUUAGAUCCUUUUUUGGGGAAGAUUUAGGGCUUCUUAAGUCAUAUGAGGUGGCCAAACAUGGUUGGGGGUCAAGACUUCGGAUCUAAGUCUUGGAAGGAGUCCCAAAGCAGAUUUGGGUUGCUUUUGCACCCAAGGAAGGUCCCAUGCAACAUAAGAGCCAUUUUAGAGCCUUUUUGGGUCAAAAGUCCCAUGCAUGCACGUAAAGUUCGAAACUUUACGUUCUAGAUCGAGCUUAGGGCUUGGAUCUAUCUUUUUGUCAAAGGUUGUACAUCAGAAAUCGAGGAUUUAGGGUGUGGAUGUUAUCGAAUCGGCGAGUCAGUUCUUGGGACACGACGAGUCCAAAGCAUAGGGUCUGUUAUCUGUUGAGGGUCAAAAGAACCCAGUUGGGUGUUAGAAGGGUUGUAGAAGGUCCGAGAGAGUGACCCAACGUGUUGGACUUAGCCUUAGACUUGGAAUUCAUGGGACUCGUCGAGUGCUAGAACAGACUCGGCGAGUCCAAGGCAAUCUCCUUAUCGAUGAAGAUGAACUCGACGAGUUGUUCAUACAACUCGGCGAGUCGGGGUCAGGACUUGUUCAUCAGAUGAAGGUGAACUCGACAAGUGUUCAUCCGACUCGGCGAGUCGGAUGAAGGUUCAUUGAUGUUCGUAAAGAAAGGGAACUCGUCGACUUGUUGCCAAACUCGACGAGACGAGUCGUGGAUAAGGACGAGUAAAGGAAAGGGACUCGACGAGUUNAACUCGGGGAGUCGGGUCAACUGGAAGUUGACUUUGACUUGGACUUGGUUGGGGGUAAAAUAGUCAUUUUACCCCAAGAGUAGAUAUUAGUUUUCUGACUGAGUAUUUUGUGGGGAUUAUAGCCGGAGGAUUUCCGAAGCAACAGCAGGCAGAGGUUUCCUGCACAUAUUAUCAGCAGCUACUUGUUCGAGGUGGGUUGCCUACCAGUAGCGGUGGGUCUACGACCACAAUGUCGGCCCACCAAUAGGAGUUGUAUAAUUAUAUGAUUGUCUUUGUGAUAUCAUCUAGGUUGCUUCUACCUGAUAUGUUAUAUGCUGGCAUGAUAUGUUAUAUGUGAUAGUAGUAGAGUUCGGUUGUUAGGACCGAAGGGUAGGUCAAACACCCCAGAUAUGUAUGACAGUAUGUGAUGAUAUGUUUAUAUGCCGACAUGACAUGUUAUAUGGGAUAGUGGUAGUAGGAGGGGAACAGUCCCCAAGUUCGGUUGUUAGAACCGAAGGGUAGUUCAGACACCCCAGAUAUGUCUGAUAGUAUGUUUAUGUUAUGAUAUAUGUGAUAGUAGUGGUACGUGUGGAAUAGUCCCCGAGGGUCGGUCUUUAGGACUGACGGGUAGGUCAGCACCCCAAAAAGACUUGACAGGGGUAGGACGACACCCCAGAAUGGCCGCACGGGUAGGUCGGCACCCCAGAAUGGCCGUACCGGGUAGGCCGGGCACCCUAGAAUUGCCUGGCAGUAUGUAUGCUAUGUGAUUGUAUGGUAUGUGGUACGAUGGGGGAACUUACUAAGCUUCCUGCUUACAGUUUACAGUUUUGGUUUCAGGUACCUCUUCAACAAAGGGGAAGGAGCUGGCGCGGUAGCGGCACAUCAUACACACAUGUUGGUUUCCGCACUAGUGUUUCUUGGGUCGUUACAAGUUGGUAUCAAAGCCCUGAUCUGAGGGAUUCGGACACACCUUGGGGGUGUCUGGACUCAAAUCGAGGGAUUAAAAGACUUUUACAAGAAAAAUGGUUUCUUAAAAGCUAAGAUAAAAGAGUUUUGGGAAAGAACAAAGUGUGUGAUGUGCGCGACCGGCCGAGCUCAAGUAAGUAUUCCCCAAAGUACCCAUACAAGUUUAUGUUAUGUUUAUCAGUUUCAGUAGAAUAGCAUGCUAGAAUAGGACUGAAGAUCUAGGAAUGAUGGCUUAUGUGUCUGCUUUAUGUGCUCCAGCUUAUGAGAAUUGCAUGCUAGUAUUAAGUAGAAAAUAAUAGGAUAGUCUGUUUAGGUUAUGCCUGGUAUUAUGAGCUCAGCAUUGUAUGAUGGUACAACUUCUCGUUAGGAGAAUAGAGUUGUUUGAGUAGUUUCCUGUGUCCGAAUGAUGCUUGCUCAGUGCUUGUAGGACUCUGAAUGAUGGCCGUUAGCCAUUAGGUGAGUACGUCGCGUCGCAUGUCAUUAGGAUUGAAUAAUCUCAGAGUGCUGGAUUUGGCCCUAUUGCGCGGCUCUCGUUUGAGUCUAACCGUUGUAGGGACGAGUCUUUUACUUGAAGGAUUAUCUGAGCCUUGUUACAUGUGAUGGUAUUUAGGUGAUGGCUAAUUGAUAUCACAAGGAGGCCUUCAACAGCCGAGGACCGGUUUGGGUAGAGUCAGAGAUUUUCCCUAGGGUAAGCCUACGAUGAGAGUAGCAGAGAUCAGCAGUGGAAAAAGGGACUUGGUGGAGUCGAGGCCGUCCUUGAGGAAAGUACGGAUAGAUAUGGAAGGUAGUAUGGGCCCGUACUACAGAAAGCAGAGGAUCCGUACUCGAAUUAAGGAAGGCUAAGGCAAGACCAAGGAACUUGUGAUGGGUGUGAUCCCUAUAGAUGUACUAGUAUCACUGACGGAUGUCAUGAUGUAUUGCGGAAUGGUGGUACUAAGGCCAAGGCCAGCAGUGGGUAGCUCAGGAGAGGGAUCGGGUUCGGGUUCAGGCUCCGAACCAGUGGACGAGAGGCUACGCGAGUUCAUCGCGUCUAAGAUCACUAUAGGCAUCCUUGAUGCGACCCCGAUCAUCUUUGGGUCGAUCAAGGAAGGGAUUGUUGAGCUGAUGGAGGAUCGCCUUAGGGCGCUCAGGAGUGACAUGGCGACCAGCCAGUCAGGAUCCCGCAUACUAUCCUUUAAGGACUUCAGGGGCAGUGGCGCGCCGGACUUCCACGGGGAAAAGGACCCCAUUUCUGCUAGACGAUGGAUUGCGGACAUGGAGUCUGCACAGCUGACAAGCUUCUGCCCCGAGGGGCCGAAGGUGAGAUAUGCAGCAGGGUGUUUGAGAGACAGAGCUAGAGAUUAGUGGGAGUCUGUUGUUGACUCCUUGGGAGCCUCGGCUGUUGAGGCUAUGACCUGGUUAGACUUUGUGACCAGAUUCAGGGCGGAGUUUGCGCCAGCUGUAGAGCUUCAGCAGCUGGCCAGAGAGUUUUUGGAUAUGAGACAGACUACGGAGACUGUGGCGGAGAUCACCGCCAACUUCUGGGAGAGGGCAUUGCUUGUGCCCCAGUAUGCGGGAGAUGAGGACAUGAGGAUGACCCGCUAUCAUGACAUGCAGCGAGCCGAAAUUCGGGAGCAUGUUAGUUUUUCAGCUUGCCCUACCCUAGAUUCCAUGAUUUCCAGAUCAAGGGAGAGGGAGAUCGAUCUAGAACAUGUCCAGAAGAGGAAGGUAGAGGAGGGGCAGACGAUUGGGGCUUCGGAGAAGAAGCCUAAGGGAUCAGAUGGUAGGCCGAAAGGCCAGUCAGGACCAGGCCACUGCAGGAAAUGCGGCAGGCCACAUGAGGGGGCGUGUAGAUUGGGAUUGUCGGGCUGCUACAAGUUCGACAAGACGGGGCAAUUCAGCAGAGAUUGUACCGCCCCUACACCAGUUAUUCAGACGUCUGAGUUGCUGUGUUUUCAAUGCAACCAGAGGGGCCACAAGAAAGACAACUGCCCCCAGUUAACAGCAGCAACAGUGCCAGUGAAGGCGCCAGGUCUAGCGACCCUGCGAAUUACUGAUGACUGGAAGGCCAAGGCUGAGGCUCCAGUGGUGAGGAGUCGGGCCUUCCAGUUGACUACCGAGGAGGCACGCGCUGCACCCGAUGUGGUAACAGGUAUGACUUCUUGUUUAUGCUUUUAUGAUAUGCUGCUGUGAUUUUGAUAUGUUAUGUAUGUGCUCUGUUUAGGAUCGUUCCAUGUGAACGGUAUCCCAGUUCAAGUAUUGUUUGAUUCGGGUGCUACCCGAUCAUUUGUCUCUCUUGCGCUUAGCAAGAAGUUUCCUGAGUCUUCGGGCAUGUUGGAUUGCCCUUUAGAGGUUGAGAUUGUAGACGACAGGUCGGUACGAGCAUUAGAGGUCUUCCGAGAUUGUGUUUUGAGGUUGUUCGAGGAGCGUUACAUGGUAGACUUGAUUCCCAUACCCUUGCGGGGGAACAAGGUUAUUAUCGACAUGGAUUGGUGGAGCCCCAAUAGGGCGGUGAUAGAUUGCGCACAAUAGUUGGUGCGAGUCAGGACCCCAGGAGGGGGAGAUUUAGUGAUUUAGGGUGAGAGCCACAGCGAGGGCCAACCUUAUGUUCGGCAACGAGGACAAGGCGUUACCUUCAGCAGGGUUGCGCCGGAUAUGUCGCUUAUGUCAUGGACACCCGGGAGGAGGGAAAGGCGACAGUGGGCAAUGUGCCUGUGGUACGAGAGUUUGCGGACGUAUUCCCCGAGGAGUUGCCUGGGAUACCUCUGGAACGAUAGGUGGAGUUUAGGAUCGACCUAGUCCUUGGUGCGGCUCCGAUAGCCAAGGCACCGUAUCGGUUGGCUCCUCUUGAGAUGCAGGAGUUGUCUACACAGCCGCAGAAAGUAUUAGACAAGUGAUUCAUUAGACCUAGUAGUUCUCCCUGGGGAGCCCCGAUUCUGUUUGUGAAGAAGAAGGACGGGUCGCAUCGGAUGUGUAUAGAUUAUCGGGAGCUGAAUAAGUUAACGGUGAAGAACCGUUACCCACUCCCGAGGAUUGAUGACCUCUUUGACCAGCUACAGGGAGCAUCUUGGUUCUCCAAGAUUGAUCUGCGUUCAGGGUAUCAUAAGAUGAGGGUCAGAGAGGGGGAUGUACAGAAGAUAGCGUUCCGGACGCGCUAUGGCCAAUAUGAGUUCGUGGUGAUGCCUUUCGGGCUCACCAAUGCUCUUGCCGCAUUCAUGGAUCUCAUGAACCACGUGUGCAGACCAAUGUUGGAUCGGUCCGUGAUAGUUUUCAUCGAUGAUAUCUUGGUUUACUCCAAGACACAGGAGGAGCACGAGGAGUAUCUGCAAGAGGUUCUAGAGACUUUGAGAAGGGAGAACUUGUAUGUUAAGUUCUCCAAGUGUGAGUUCUGGUUGCGCGAGGUGCAAUUUCUCAGACACCUUGUCAACCAGAACGGGAUAUCGGUGGACUCGGCCAAAGUGGAGGCCGUGAUGAGAUGGGAGGUUCCAAGGUCUCCAUCCGAGAUUCAGAGUUUCCUAGGAUUAGUCGGCUACUAUCGGAGAUUCAUCCAUGAUUUCUCCAAGAUAGUCAUACCCCUGACCAGGCUAACGAGGAAAGUCGUGGUUUUUCGUUGGGGGCCUGAGCAGCAGGCCGCAUUCGAGACAUUGAGACAGAGAUUGUGUGAGGCACCAAUCUUAGCCCUAUCGGAGGGCAUAGAGAAUUUUGUUGUGUACUAUGACACGCCCAUUUCAGGUUUGGGCGCGGUACUGAUGCAGAGAGGGCAUGUCAUUGCCUACGCUUCGAGGCAGCUGAAGCUUCACGAGGCGAACUACCCGACGCAUGAUUUGGAGCUGGGGGCUGUUGUGUUCGCCCUUAAGAUUUGGCGUCAUUACCUCAAUAGGGUUCGCUAUACUAUCUACAUAAACCACAAGAGUUUGAUGUACCUCAUGGAUCAGCCGAAUCUAAACAUGAGGCAGCGUCGGUGGUUAGACGUGGUGAAGGAUUACGAUUACGAAAUCCUUUACCACCCGGGGAAGGCCAAUGUGGUGGCCGACGCACUUAGCCGCAAGGCAGCGCCGAUCAGGGAUAUUUGUCUGAGGAUGAUAGUGGUGACCCCGCUGUUGGAGCGGAUUCGGGAGGCCCAACGGGAGGCCAUGAAGGAGGAACAUCGGAAGAGCGAGCGGAUUGUGGGGCAAGUUUCCUCCUUCGAUUAUGAUAGCCGAGAGCUGUUGACACUACACCGUAGGGUGUGGGUGCCGUACCACGGGGGUGUACGCCAGGUUCUGAUGAAGGAGGCGCACAAAUCUCGAUUCUCCAUUCAUCCCGGGGCGACGAAGAUGUACAAGGACCUUCUUUUGGACUAUUGGUGGCCCUGCAUGAAGCUGGAUGUAGCAUGGUAUGUGGAGUGGUGCUUGACCUGUAGGAAGGUCAAGGCCAAGCACCAGAGGCCACAUGGAAAGAUGCAGCCGUUGGAUAUCCUGCUGUGGAAAUGGGAAGACAUUACGAUGGAUUUUAUCAUAAAGCUUCCUAGGAUCGCUCGGGGAGUGGAUUCGAUAUGGGUCAUCGUCGAUCGAUUAACCAAAGAGCGCCCAUUUUAUUCCGAUCCAGGAGGGAAUUUUGGCCGAAAAGUUGGCCAACAUCUAUAUCAGGGAGGUGGUGGUGCGGCACAGGGUGCCGGUAUCGGUGAUUUCAGACAGGGACGUGCGGUUCACUUCCAGGUUUUGGAGGAAGUUUCAUGACGAGCUGGGUACUCGUCUGUAUUUUAGCACCGCCUUUCACCCACAGACGGAUGGUCAGAGCGAUCGGACCAUCUAGACAUUAGAGGAUAUGCUGCGAGCAUGUGUUUUAGACUUCGGAGGUAGCUGGGAUACCUACCUUCUGUUGGCGGAAUUCUCGUAUAAUAAUAGCUAUCAUACGAGUAUUAACCGUCCUCCCUUCAAGAUGUUAUACGGGAGGAAGUGCAGAACCCCAAUAUGUUCGGGUGAGGUUGGCCAGAGGGUCAUGAGGAGCAUCGAGGUGGUGCUCAAGAUGACAGAGAGGAUUCAGCAGGUCCGGAGCAGACUUCAGACUGCUCAGAGUCGGCAUAAAAGUAAUCUUGAUAAGCGCCGAUCAGACCUGGAGUUCCAGCUCAAGGAUAUGGUUCUCCUAAAGCUGUCGCCAUGGAAGGGCGUCAUCCGAUUUAGGAAACAGGACAAGUUGGGCGCCACGUACAUUGGACCGUUCAGAUUCUUAGCCCGGGUGGGCAAGGUAGCAUACAGGUUGGAUCUGCCAGCCGAACUCAGCCAGAUCCACAACACUUUCCACGUCUCCCAGCUGCAGAAGUUUCUGGUGGACGACUCAGCAGCGGUACCCUUAAAAGAUAUUCAGGUCGAUGACAGCUUGAAUUACAUUGAGCGGCCAGUAGCGAUCCUCAACCGGAAGUCGAAGGAACUGAGGAACAAGAGGGUUGAACUAGUGAAGGUGCAAUGGCAACAUCGGAAGGGCUCAGAAUGGACUUGGGAGCCAGGGGAGGAGAUGAUCGAGCAUUACCCAGAGUUGUUCCAGGAACGAACAGCAGACUUCGAGGACGAAGUCUAAAAUAAGUGGGGGAGAUUUGUAGCACCUGGUUCCUGGUAUGUAAUUUAUUUAAAUAUUUUGCAUUUUUGGCCUUGGACUCGGCGAGUUCAAGGACCAACUCACCAAGUAGAAGCGGGAUGGGACGCGAGAUUUAAGUUAUGGACUCAUCGAGUCAGGUCCUGGACUCGACGAGUAGGCUCUGACUGGACAAAAACCCUAAUCUGAGGGUUUGCACCCUAUUUAAUCAUCUCAUUCAGCCACCACUCUACCCUAAUGCUCCCAGAAACCCUCCCUAGUAAACCCUAAGUGUUUUGGUGCAAGAUCUAAGGCUUUUUGAGUGAUUUUUGUGGGUUUUGACCUCAAGGAAGAAGGAAGAGCAUAGAAGGAUCAAGAGGAGACUGAACAAUUCGAGUUUGGUGCAUCAUUUUCUGUCCUUGAAAGGUAUAAAGUCUGUACCUUGCUUGUUCAUUUGUUAGAUCCCUUUUUGGGGAAGAUUUAGGGUUUUUUAAGUCAUAUGAGGUGGCCAACCAUGAUUGCAAACAUGGUUGGGGGUCAAGACUUCGGAUCUAAGUCUUGGAAGGAGUCCCAAAGCAUAUUUGGGUUGCUUUUGCACCCAAGGAAGGUCCCAUGCAACAUAAGAGCCAUUUAGAGCCUUUUUGGGUCAAAAGUCCCAUGCAUGCACAUAAAGUUCGAAACUUUAUGUGCUAGAUCGAGCUUAGGGCUUGGAUCUAUCUUUUUGUCAAUGGUUGUACAUCAGAAAUCAAGGAUUUAGGGUGUGGACGUUAUCGACUCGGCGAUUCCGUUCUUGGGACUCGACAAUUCCAAGGCAUAGAGUCCGUUAUCUGUUGAGGGUCAAAAGAACCCAGUUGGGUGUUAGAAGGGUUGUAGAAGGUCCGAGGGAGUAACCCAACGUGUUGGACUUAGCCUUAGACUCGGAAUUCAUGGGACUCGUCGAGUGCUAGAAUAGACUCGGCGAGUCCAAUGCAAUCUCCUUAUGGAUGAAGAUGAACUCGACGAGUUGUUUAUACAACUCGACGAGUCGGGGUCAGGACUUGUUCAUCAGAUGAAGGUGAACUCGACAAGUGUUCAUCCAACUUGGCAAGUCGGAUGAAAGUUCAUUGAUGUUCGUAAAGAAGGGGAACUCGUCGACUCGUUGCCAAACUCGACGAGUCGAGUCGUGGAUAAGGACGAGUAAAGGAAAGGGACUCGACAAGUAGAUGACCCAACUCGGUGAGUUGGGUCAACUGGAAGUUGACUUUGACUUGGACUUGGUUGGGGGUAAAAUAGUCAUUUUACCUCAAGAGUAGAUAUCAGUUUCUGACUGAGUGUUUUGUGGGGAUUAUAGCCGGAGGAUUUCCGGUGCAGCAGCAGGCAGAGGUUUUCCAAACAGAUUAUUAGCAACUACUUGUUCGAGGUGAGUUACCUACCAAUAGCGGUGGGUCUACGGCCACAAUGUCGGCCCACCAAUAGGCACUACUAGAAAAAAGGCGUUUUACGAUGCUCAUUGCGCGUCGUAAAACGCUCAGACAACGCGAAAAUGCGUGUCAAGGAAGGCCCUGUCAUAACGAGAGACGACACGCAUUUACGACACGCAUUUACGACGCUCAUUUACGACACGCAAUGCGUAUCAAGGAAGGCCAUGUCAUAAAGGAUGACGACACGCAUUUGAGUGUCGUAACCUUACGACACGCGUUUAGGACAUGCAUUGUGUAUCAUUAAAGCCCCUGUCAUAAAUGAAGAUGACACGCAUUUGCGUGUCAUAAUCUUCAGCAACCAUUUACGAUAUGCAUUUACGACACGUCUUUACGAUACACAUUUACGCAAAAUACAAAAAUAUGGAAAUAAAUAUAUAACAAAACAAUCAAUUUCAUUCAUUAACAUCAUGUCAAAAAAUUGUAAUACAUAGCGGAAGUAUUUGUUGAGAGCCCAAAAAGUUACAUAAAUCAAUGAAAGUAAAAUUCAUAACUUUUCUAGUUUUCAUAAUCCUAACAAUAGCUGCAUCAACCUGCGAUAUAUUUAUAAAAAAAAUGUGAUUAUAAAUUUAUAAUUACAAAAAAAAAUAAAGCAAAAAAAAAUUGGACCUGAUAUUGACGAUCUUGGGAAACUCUCUCUGUGGUGCUUGCGUUUUCUUCCACAGUUUCCUUCAGCUGGAUAUCAUUCACAUGUACAUGGAAUGGAAUGGAAUAAUGAAAUAAGCAAAGGAAUGGAAUGAGUCAUUCCAUUCCAAUUUCAUAUGAACUUCACAUUAUAAAAAAUUAAUUGAUCUCACCUUUAUACGAUAAAGAGGAGCAGUAAAUACAUCAUUAAACAUGAAGGAAUCAUUGUCAUCCACAUCAGUUUGAACCUAUUCUUUUGUCUCCUUUUCUUCUUUCUCUUUCCCUUGUUCUUUUUUGUCUUGUAUCUUUUCAAGUGGUUGGUACAACAAUAGAGGUAACGGGACAUGUGCCAGUAUUGGGUCCUGAAGAUCUUGUUGCUUUUGUGCUAAGUGUUUUGUGAUUGAGAAGCAAAUGGUCACAAAUUGCAUAUGGGUUCUGGACAUGCAAAUAAACUUAACUAUCGAUCACAUAACAAAAGCAAAUGAAAGUAUGAUGUUAUAAUAAACAAUUCAAAUGCUAAUACCUUUGACAUGUUUGUAUCUACAACAUUUUGGGAGCUUUCGAUGCUUCGAAGAAUUAAAAGUAUUGAAAUAACCUCUUCCUUCUUUAGACUAUUAUGAGGCUUCCCAUCUUCACAAUCACCACCAAUUGCCAACAUAGAAAGAAAUAAAUACAAUUUUCCGGAAAAUAAUAAAAAUUCAUAUAUAUUUUUUUCAUUCAAAGAAUCAAAAUCAACAGGUAUAGUAUGCAUUCAAUUUAUAUUUCAGGAAAAAAAAACUAAUAGUAUACCUACCUGUAUGUGGGUUCAUAGCAAGUUUUCUCUCUUGGAUAAAACAUUAUUUUUUUAUUUUAUUUAUACUAAAUGUUUUUUUUUAUAUUUUGAUAUAAUACAAAUUAAUUUAUGUUUUAGAUAAGCUCUCUUUUACUUNCCUGUCUUUUACUUAUUUACAUUGAAAAUUGACAAAUAGUUCUUUUUCCACAAAAACAGACAAACUAUCUACAAUGAGUUUUUUGCCCUUUGCCACUAUUUAAUCACCUUACCUUAGUUUUACACACAAAAUCCAAUAAUGGAAUAAUGCAUUGAACAUUACACAUUUGCAAAUAAGAUACACAUUAGCAAAAAAUGGUCUUAGCACUAACUUUCACCACCCACCCACCCGAUAACAAAAGAAAAUAUAAUCCGCCCACUCAGUUUCACUUUAUUUGCAAGUAAGUAUAAACAAUAAUAUUGCAGGGUUUUUUUUUCAGUAUGAAUGAGUAUUCAGUCACUAUUCAUCCAUACCUCUUUAAGUAGUUGAUACCAAAUGCUACCAUUAUUCAAUCUCCAUCUAGGGGUAGGGCUAGGUGUUGGUGUUGUUGGAGCAGAAGAAGCAUCAAUGAUAUUGAUAACAAUGAAAGGGGAACUCAAAUCAUCAAGUUCAUCAUCACUUGUGUUUGACUUUCUCAACACUGAUGAUCCAGUGCGACCCAAGUGUUUUAUACAUACAGCCACUCCCUCUCCUCCAACCAAAAUGGUUUUUAUUAUUGAUGAUGCUGAUGGCGGAUCAUAAACAACCGAACCAGCUACACAUGGGACACUGCUCACACAGUCUUCGCCACCCUCUGUAGAAUAUAAAGCCAAAAGAAACCUGUGUUUGUUUACUACUCAAAAUGAAGACAUAAAAGAAGAAAGGAAUAUGCAUUGUAUUGGAAAAAUGAAGACUAAAAACCUCUUAUAUUAUCCAUAUCAAUAAAGCUAUAUUUAUAGCUUCUUAGACACCCACGAUGAAGUAUGAAAACAAUCCAUGCUCUUGACUCCACCUAAUUAGCUUAAGAAUUAACUAUUAUAUAAAACAUAAAACACAAAACAAUAAUAAUUAUCAAAUCUAAAGUUUCAGCCAUGCACGUGAGCUAUGACUAACAAACCGAUUAACCCAACACCUUCCACCCCCAAAUCCUUAGCAUAUAUAAACAAACACCCUCUAAAUGCAUGUUAUUAGACAUACCAAAAUAUCUUUAAUUGGUUGGCUUGUGUGUCCUUCACAUCAACAUAAUUACUUAAUUAAUUAAUUAUACUGAACUCACCUCUGAGUCUAAGGCUUCAAGCACAACUUCAGGAAUAGCAUCUGGACAAAACUCAUCUGGAACAAAACUAUCUAGUAUCCCUUUUAUUAAUGCUACACCAAAACUCAAACAUACCUUCAAAAAAUUUUAAAUAACUUUAGCUUUGUGGAUAACUACACUACUAUAAAAGAAAAAGAGCCCAAUUUUAGAGACCUCUUUUCUGAUUGUGCUAUCUAACAACAUAUCCUUAGGAAGCAUCAUCAGGUCACUUAAUGCAUUCAGGAGAUGAAAAGAUUUGAAUGAUGAAUCAUCAGCAUCUAUAUCAAAUAAAUCAGUCAGCCACCUCGACCAAUUUUCAAUUUGCACAUUGCCAAAUGAACNNNNNNNNNNUAUAUAUAUAUAUAUAUAUAUAUAUAAAGGAUCACUUGCCAUGGGAAUUGGUCGCCUAUGAUUCAGAUCAGAGGCCUGGAAUCGUCAAGGUAGAAAACACAAGUCAAGAAAAAAAAUAAAAUAAGAGACUUUUAGGCAUAAAUGGUAUAUACCCUGUAAUAGGGAUAACAAACUCCUUGAGUGCUUUUUCACUUGUUACUCCAAUUAAUUCGCCAAGACCUUGAGCAUCCUGUUCUCUCAAUUCUGCAGACCUGCUUAUUAGGCCCUGAAGAUAUAUGGGAAGCAAUGGUUGAAGAGCCUUUGGGAGACAUAACCUGGGUAUAACAAUUGGUCCACCCUAUAUGUCCAUCAACAAAUAUUUAAAUAAGAUAAACCUUAAUCACUACUAAAUGCUGAUUAAAAUACACAUAGUUGCCCCUCGAGUUCCAAAACAUUAAAACAACUCUAUUUUGUGCUUAGAUUCCAAAAUAGGACCAAAACAAAAUUCAUACGCAAGUGCUCAAUGGAUGAAAAAACUCAUAUGUACAAAUUCUAAGCCAAAAUACAAGAAUACAUUAGUUCUACAUAAACCCUAUCAACUCGAAAAUAAAAUUUUCUCGUAUAAUAAUUACAUAACCAAAUUAUGUAGUGAAAUCACACAUUAAAGCAAAUGUCUUUGUUAUUGUGAAUUUUGAUACAUCAUAUAUUAUUAUAUUUUUACCUUUAUUAUAGAUUGGUUACCCAACUUUACAUGCAUUUGUUGAGUUUAUUUCUGGAUUUGACAUGCCUUCUGACAUUCACUCAAAGAAGAAAGACAACAUUCUUCUAGAAACUGGGAAACCUUUUCGAUGGCUCUCUUCCAUGAUGAGUUAUCGUUGCCACUAGCUCAUAUCUUCGACCGUAUUUAUUAUAAUUUUUUUUAUAAAUUAAUAAAAAGAUGAAAAUGAUAUAUANNNNNNNNNNNNNNNNNNNNNNNNNUAUAUAUAUAUUAUAUAAAUACAUACCUCUGGUGAUGAUAAAAAAAGGAAAUCACGAUUCAGAGUAAGGUGAAGAGGAAUGUGGAUUGGUUUGAGUAAUUUUGUGCUUCCUUGACUUACAUAGCUAAACCUCAUUAAGUGUAGUAUUAUUAUCUCUGGAAGCUCUAAUAUUUCACUGAUUUACUUGCACAUACUAAUUCACAUAAUAAUAAAAAGAAGUAUACAUUUCCUGCUGAUGAAGCACGAUACCCUUCAAGUGUCUCUGGAGCUGAAAAAAGAUGAAGUGCAUCUUCUAUUGUAUGCAUAGGAUCUGGACAUAUAUUCAAAUGGAGCAAAAGAAAUGGCUGAAUAGUUGCAGAUGCUUUGUUACCUAUUUUUGUUUUACAUUAAAAAUAUAUAAAUGAUGAAUUAAUGAUAUCAUGUUAUUGAGAUGAGUGAAAAAUGUUAAAAGAUUAAAAAAAAAUACCUCUUGCUUUCAUUACACUUUUUAUUUGGCCUUCGAAGAUCUGACUUAAUUUUGAAGGAAUAAAACUUUGUGUUCUUGUGAUUGUAGUUUUGUUCUUUGGUCCAACUGUUUCCCAAAUAUCAUCAUCAUCUUCAUCACUUAAAGAUGAAACCAGUGAAACUUUUCCACCAUUAAAAUUACAAACUUCUCCUUCAAGUUUAAGAAGUUCAUCAUGCAUUUGGUGCAUUACAAAGCUUAAAAACACCUGAGCAUCUUCUUGCCUUUUUAAAAAACAAACUUCAACUCAGCAUCCGAAAUUCCAAACAUAACAUAUAUAAAAUUUGUUGAUUAAUUUUAUAACAUUAACACAAACCUUGGUCUUCCAGAGAAGCUAUUUGGCAUAUCUGGAGAGAAAUUGUUGAGAACAGAUUCAAACAUGAUAGGUCGAAAAGGUUUCCCAGUUUCUAGAAGAAUGUUGUAUUUCUUCUUUGAGUGAAUGUCAGAAGGCAUGUCAAAUCCAGAAAUAAACUCAACAAAUGCAUGUAAAGUUGGGUAACCAAUUUGUAAUAUAGGUAAAAAUAUAAUAAUGUAUGAUGUAUCACAAUUCACGAUAACAAAGACAAUUGAGUCCAACUCCAUCGGCGUUUGCUUUUGAAUGAAUUCCUUGGGAUAAACCUUCCAUAUACGCUCUGCUCCCUUUCCUUUUGGAACAAAACACCAUAGCAAGACUCCAAAUAUGUAAUAAUAAUCGAUCGAUAAAGUUUCUACAUAAGUUGCAGGUGAUCAAAAAUGGCGGAAAUCAGGAAAUGUAAAUUGUACCUUUAGCGAGAUUAGGGUAAAGCCAUCACAAGUUAGAGCCAUCAUCACCUGUGGGAGACCUAGGGGAAGUUGAUCGCCUCUAUCCACCUGCCAAAAAAGUGAAUCGUCUUCCCAUAAGUUUUCGUCACUUUCUCUCGAUCUUGCCGCUCAACCGGACCAAGGACGCCGGGAAGGAAAAGGACGUCCCUCUUCACCUCAUACUCGUGGAUGUGCCACAUUGGCUUUUCUGAAUCCGGCAAGGUGAAGAACAAUUUUUAUGUUACGAUGUUUUCAACUCCGAUUAAAAAAGCCCUAGAAAUUAUCCCAGUGAUUUUGUGAUAUAUGAGUUGUUGAGGUAUACAGCAGAGGUGGUAUCGUGAUUAGGGUUUGCAGAGAAAAGGGGGAAGAAGAGAAUGAAGGGGAUCAAGCGGGGUAUUAAAAAAUUUAAGAUUUUUGAGAGGAUUUCAUUUCCCCCUUUCAAGAAGGCGCGUUUUAGUAAAAAUUAUAAAGCGACAAUCACAGAGGACGCAUAUUUUAGAUAAAGUGCCCUCCGUGUUUUUAUUUUUUUUACAUUCGACACUAAUUUAAGGGCAUGCAAUAAUGCGUGACCUAAAUCCUCAAAUUUUUUGAAGAGACGACACUUUUUUAUUGUCACUCUCGUUUGCGUAACAUAAAUCAAUAAGUGUCGUGAUUUGCACAUCGUAAAAGGGUCUUUUUCUUGUAGUGAGGAGUUGUAUGAUUAGAUGAUUGUCUUUGUGAUAUCAUCUAGGUUGCUGCUACCUGAUAUGUUAUAUGCUGGUAUGAUAUGUUAUUUGUGAUAGUAGUAGAGUUCGGUUGUUUGGACCGAAGGGUAGGUCAGACACCCCAGAUAUGUCUGACAGUAUGUGAUGAUAUGUUUAUAUGCUGGCAUGAUACGUUAUAUGGGAUAGUGGUAGUAGGAGGGGAACAAUCUCCAAGUUCGGUUGUUAGAGCCGAAGGGUAGUUCGGACACCCUAGAUAUGUCUGAUAGUAUGUUUAUGUUAUGAUAUAUGUGAUAGUAGUGGUAGGGGUGGAAUAGUCCAAGAGGGUCGGUUUUUAGGACUGACGGGUAGGUCAGCACCCCAGAAAGGCUUGACACGGGUAGGACGAUACCCCAGAAUGGCCGCAUGGGUAGGUCGGCACCCUAGAAUGGCCGCACGGGUACCUAGAAUGGCCGCACGGGUAGGUCGGCACCCCAGAAUGGCCGUACCGGGUAGGUCAGGCACCCCAGAAUUGCCUGGCAGUAUGUAUGCUAUGUGAUUGUAUGUUAUGUGGCACGAUGGGGGAACUCACUAAGCUUCGUGCUUGCAGUUUACAGUUUUUGUUUCAGGUACCUCUUCAGCAAAGGGGAUGGAGCUGGCGCGGUAGUGGCACAUCAUGAAUGGUUUUCCGCACUAGUGUUUCUUGGUAUUGUACUAUGACAUUAUUCUUAUUUUUGUGAAUGGUUUUCAGACAUGAGAUGUGGUUUUAUGAAAAGUUAUGAUUAGAUGGUGUUUUCUUAUAAAUGUUUUUACAAGUCAAUUUUAAAAAUGAAAUUUUUGGACUUGUAAAUUGGGUCGUUACAUUCCUUCCAUGGUAAGACUUUAAGCAAAACCAAAUCUCCAACUUCGAAUGCCAUCAGUCGUCUUUUCUUGUCAGCAUAGCUCUUUUUACAAUCCUGAGCUGCUAACAUCCUUUCCCUAAUCACUCUUAACUUUUCAACAGUCUGAUGGACUAUCUCGGGGCCCAUAAACUGCCUUUGUUCAACUUCAAGCCAACAUGACGGCGUACGACACUUUUUUCCGUACAAAGCUUAAUAAGGUGCCAUCUUGAUGCUUAAGUGGAAACUAUUAUUGUAGGAAAACUCUACCAGAGGUAAGUGUUCAUCCCAGUUACCUUGGAAUUCUAGGGUACACACUCUUAGCAUUACUAUAGUGUUUGAAUCGUCCUUUUUCUCUAACCAUCGGUCUGUAGAUGGUAGGCUAUACUUAAACACAGCUUCGUACCCAAUUCUUCUUGUAGACUCCUCCAAAACCUUGACGUGAAACGGCUAUCAUGGUGUAACGCCCAUGUUUCUAGGCUAGGCAUUAAUGAUAAUGUAAUAGUCUAGGUUAACCUUUGUAACCCGUCUUGAAAUAAUAAAAAUGUAUUAUUUGAGUAUUAUGUGUUUUGUGCUUAAUUGUGUGACUUAAAUGAAUUAAGGAUAAAAAUAAGCAUCAAAAUGAAAUGUUAGAUAAACUCGAUAUCUAUGAAGGAUGUGGUAGUGGUCGUGGCAAGGUUUCCAAAUAUAUAAAGAAUGCCAAAAUCUGAGUUAUAACGAAAAAGUUAUGAUCUGUCGAAGUUUCGUUACAGAACCGGCACGGCACUGCGUGACGUAAAUAGUGAAUUUACGAUAGAGCGAUAUUUAGUCUUAGUGAUCUAAACAGAAGUUGUAGAAUAAGUUUAACCGAGAGCGUGCAUAAGAAGAACGUCUAAAUUUGACUUCGUAUGAGGAAGUUAUGAUUUUUCGAAGUUUCGAUUUAGCAGUAUGCAACCCAAAUCUCGAAUUACAGAUCGAGUGAUACUUGGCCGAAACAAUCUAAACGGGAAUCGAAGAUCUCGUCGAUAGUAGUCCAAAAGUGAAAAGACAUACGAAAACGGACGUCGGAUGAAGAAGUUAUGAAUUUCUAACGGAGUUUUCCUGUCCGACCUGCUAAAAAUAAUAUAAUAAAAAUAAGUUCAAAAUUAGCCGACGCAGUCUAAACGAAAGUUGUAGAGCAUAGUCUCACCUAUGUGUGGAUAUAAAGAACAUAAAAAAUGGAGCUCGUAUGAGGAAGAUAUGAUAUUAUGAAGUUUUUAAAUAAUUAAAAUAUAUAAAUUUUAUUAUAUAUUCGGAUAAUAUCCGAAUCCAUGACUCAGCCGAUCUGAUCCGAAGAUUACGCCCAACGUACUGCUUGUAGAGGCAUUACGCCCAGCAUAAUCAGGAUUUACGCCCAACGUAAAUCGAGGUUUCAUCCCCUAUAAAUAGAAGUCGUGGGCAGCCGAGUUUUGUUGCUCAUUUCUUCCUCUCUCUCCCGUUUUACCUCGUUUUACGUGCAAGCUUUACCCCCGAAGCCGCGGUAUCAUUCCCGAGACCCGAAGCCCCGGGGAUCCCGAGAAGUAAAGUUUCUGAGCCGAAACUCUGCCCGUGUAAAGCCCGGUUUUGGAGAAAACGUCCUGGUUUUAUCGGAAAAUAUUAUUUUAAUAUAUGAGGUGAUGUCCGAUCAUCUUCUUAUCAAGUGAGUGUAUAUUCCCUUUCUUCUAACACAUAGAUAUGAAGUAUCUACUUUAGAAUAUGUGUUACAUGUGUAUAAAUAUACGUGUAUAUAUAUGUUAUCUGUUUAUUUGGAAUGAGUAUCUUAUUAGUUUUUAAGUUACAUAUGAAUGCAUAUGUAUGUUGUUAUCUACAAAAUGUUGGGUAGAACUUGUGUAGAUAGUUGAUGUGUGAUAAACUGAUGAGAUGCCUCGAUGUGAUUGUGAUCUAGUCAUUCAACAGAAUAUGGGUGACGACCACGGACUCUUUCUAGACUGUCCCGUGGAAUGCUGGCAGGCUCAUAACCUGUAGGUGUUGGUGAACUUGGGUGUUCAUUUGUUGUAUUCUAUCCCCCUCAUGGUUGCCUUAGGACAUUCAUUGUUGAGAAAACCCCUCUGCAGUAGUGUCCGUCCUGAUGAAAAUCCUAGAUUAGGUCCCUUGUAAUAGUUAUUGUCAUAGUGACGUAAAGUGAGGAUAACAGGAAUGGGUAAUCAGGUUAUUGUUGGUUGGUGAAAUUAAAUAUAAUUAGUUAUUGUGGGUUGAAAACCCUAUAUGCUCACCAGGCUCCCAAGCUUGACCCACUCAGUUUUUUUGUAUUACAGGUAGUGGUGCGAGGGCAUAAGUUGGAGAACUUAUGAAGAUGUUUUUGUUUAUAGACCAGUAGUUGUAUAUAACAGUGUAAGGUCUAUGUUUUACUGUUUAUGCUUUUGUGUCUGUAUCGGAACAUGACAUCCUGAGUUUUGAUAUAUAAUGAAAAUACAUUUCUUUAAGAAAUGUUUUGAUAAACUUUAUUUUAUCAUGUUUUGUUUUAGGGACAAAUUCUGCAACUCUUUUAAAUCAAUGGAUUUACUCUGAAAUUAUUUUAAAAACAUAAAUGAAACCGGCCUUUUCUGGCCGUGAUUUUGGGGAUUUCACACAUGGUCUGAUACUAUCUUUAAAGGAACACCAUGAAGUCUUACUACCUCCUUCACGUAAGCAUUUGCAAGCUUAUCUGUAGACCAUCUUGUUGGAUUAGUGUCUAAGUCCAUAACUAUUUUGGUAUGUACUUGACCCGAUGGUGCAUGGUCCUUUUGGGUUGCCUUCACCAAAGCAACUUGAUUGGAGAAAUAAAUAAAGAGAGAGAGGUUAUUAUGAUUUAUUAAUAUGUUAUAAGAAUAAUAUAUUAAAGGAGAAAUCAUAUUUGUUUAAUUAAUAUUGGUCAAUAAUUAAUUAAGAAUUAAUUUUGUGAUCAAGUGUAAUUAAUUAAACUAGAGGGGCUGAAUUGUAAUUAUGUGAUAGUUACAAAAUAAGGUAAGGAUUAUCUUAAAUAUAGGGUGAACGAAUUUAAGGAGAUAAUGCCUUAGAAUUCGACUAGGAUAAGGGUUUCUAAGACUUAUCUUAUGGUUGCUUGGUGGGCAAGCAACUAGAUAAGGAUAAGGACUAAAACCCUAAUCUUUACACCUAUAUAAACCCCCUAAGGCUCAUGAAUUCGUCUAAGCCUUCCCAAGAAGUCCUAAGGACGAAUUCCUACCUCUAUCCUCUCUCUUUAUACCUUCUCCAUUUGCUCUUGGUGUUUGUGAGCCAUUAGAGGAGUGACACUUGUGACUCUAAGCCUUCCAAAGUCAAUUCAUGGAGAAUUGGGAUUGUUAUUACUACAUAACAAUCAAGGUAACAUCUUAAACCUAAUUAUAUGUUAAUAUUGAUUUCCAUAUGCUAGAAUUAGGGUUUAUAGUCUUGGAUUCAUUGCAUGUACAAUAGAGAAACCUAGAUCCAAGCAUUAGGGUUUGUAUGAGCACAUAGGAUGUCUUAUGACCAAAACCCAUCAGUGGUAUCAGAGCCUAGCUUGGUUUCAAUUGUAUUGAUGCAUUGUAUAACUGGAAAAUUCGUUUUUUGGGUUUCUGGAGGCUGGACUCGCCGAGUCCAUAGAUGAACUCGCCGAGUCCAUGCUGACUCGACGAGUCCAUGCCUGACUCGGCGAGUCGGCUCGUCAGAAGGAGGGAAAACCGGGAUUUCUUGCUGUUUUUGCUUAAGGAUAGUUGCCUUAUCAUAUUAGAUCAAUAUAAAUCCGAUUUUAUGAUAUAUUUGACUAUAUUCUUGAUCUAAUUGAAGAUAUUUAUCAAUUAAUAAAAUAUUUGUUUCCUUAUGUGAUAAUUGAUUAAUUAUUUUGAUUAAAUUGAUAAAUUGUUUUGCAAGAAAUCAUUAAAUAAAUCAAAUAUGGAUAAUUAUGUGAUUAAAUGUUAAUUUAGAUUAUUUGUUAUUUGAUCCUUGUUGUUAUGAAAAGUUUCAUAUUUUCCCCUUUAGGUUUUAUAGUUUAAAUUUGAACCCAAAAGUUUUGUUGUUUUGAAAUUUAAAUAGUUGAAACCCUAAUGUUUUGAAAAAGGUUUCAAAACUUGCCCUCAAGUUUUGGAAUUUAAAUUUUGAUUAAAUAGUUUAAUUUUGAUGUAUAUUUAAAUUCUAAACCCUAAUGUGUUGAAAUGUUUCAAAACUUGCCCUCAAGUUUUGGAAUUUAAAAGUUGAUUAAAAGUUUAAUUAGGAAUGUUAAAUUCUAAAACUCUAGUAUUGUUUUGAAAAAGUUCAAAUCACACCCUUAUGGUUUUAUUAAUUAAUUAAGGUGUAUAAUUAAAAGAGGUUUAAUAAAUCCAUAAAAGUUUUGGUUUACAAUUUAAUUGAAUUAAAAGUAUAAUUGUUAAAUUUGACCACCUAGUAUUUUAAAAGUGUAAAAUACACCCUAUACUAUAUAUAACAUUAAAAGUCUAACAUUAUAUAUAUGUAUGAGUAAAAGUCAGUCUUACCGUUAGUAGGCCUCAUUCACGAAGCUGGUCUAUAAGGGGUGUUUAAGGAAAUUGCCUAUAAAAUGGCGAUUGAAUGGGUAUCCACUCUUACCCACCGCACUCUUGACUAGUGGAGGGUCGUUAGCCGAACGGGUAGGAUAGGACGAAACCUUCCAUUAUAAGUAUAAUGAAGUAUAAAAGUAACUAAAUGUUUUCAUAAAAUUCCCAAUCUUAGUUACUUAGGCAAAAGUGAAUUGAUGCAAUUCCAUGAAAUUACACUUUGUGCCCUUGCGAAGACGUUAGUGGAGCGUGUGUGGUUUACCGGCACACUAAAUGGUUCUAAGCAAAGGUAGCAAAGGGUGACUCAAUGUUUGUCAUAGUUCGGUGGAGCGUGUGUGGUUUACCGGCACAUCGAAUAGGUGACUGUAACAUGUGAGGGCACCAUGUAAGUUUGCAUGGUUAUUCACACCCGCUUUGUGAUCCUCGGCAUCCCAGUCACAAACAAGAGGGGCAUAUCGAGAUUUAAACAUGCCAUUGAAAUGUUCAAUGAAUCUCAAAGGAUCUAGGAGUUUUCAUAGAUUUAAAACUUAAAUUUCUUUUUCGUUUUUCAUGGUGGAAAUUAGUGAAUCGUCAUUCACUUACCUUCAAAUGUUCUGCAAUUUGGGUUACGGCAUCCCUCUCCCGAGUUGUAGAAUAUUGUGUUGGGUCCUAGCCUUAGUAUCUCAUUUGGGUGAUUUACUAAGGACUCAAUCAAUCAACUAACUUGAAUUCUUUUUCUCCCGUUUUGUAGAUGUCAAAGUUCGACAACUAUGGUCUUCCCAAAUCCCGUGGAACAAGCAUUCCACAUGAAGAUGAUAUUCCACGAUUCGAUCGAGGAACAAGAAAUCAUGCUUCACUUCCUCCACCUCCUCCAAUUAUUCUCCCUAACCCACAAGUUCAAAGGCUUGAAAAGUUCAAGAUCACUCAAGCCCUUUUGGCAAGUAAACAUAAAGAAGGAAAGUCGGUGUGUGCACACGUCCUAGGGAUGAAGUCACACAUUGAUAGGUUAAGAAUGUUGGGAUCCGUUGUCUGUGAGGAAAUGGCUGUUGAUUGGGUUCUUCAGUCACUUCCUAACUCAUAUAGUGAGUUCGUAAGAGAGUACUAUAUGAUGAACCGCGACGUGACCCUUAUAGAUCUCACCUAUAUGCUUAUUGCUGCUGAAUCAGCAAUGGUUUGGCGCAAUAGAAAAGCAAAGUUGAUUGGUGAAUCUGCCUUCAAGACCUCUAUGGAUAUAGACAAUGGCAACGAAAGACAUGCUAUGAUCGAAAAGUUUGAUCAUAAGAGAAAGGCAAUGUCUGAAGUAGUUCCAUGUCAUGUUCCAAAAGAGUCAAUUUGCUUUUAUUGCCAAGAGAAAGGGCAUUGGAGACGAAGCUGCCCCAUUUACCUAAGAGAUCUAAGAGAUGGGAGAGUCGAAACGUAUGGCUCUAAUAUAGGUAAAAUCCAUUAACUAACUCUUUUAAGCUUCUAUUCUAGAUUCUUAAUACAUAAUGUGAUAAGAUUACAAUUGAUGUUUUGUAGGAUCGAAGAAAAGAAAGGAAGCUUAAGGGAAGAAGUGAGCAGAAUCUAACCGUGAAGGAAUGGAUUUCGAUCGCAUUUCUCGAAGAUUAGAUUCUUGAGCUACUACUUAGAGUUAGAAUUAGAUUGCUAAGAAAGAUGUAUUAGCAUAGUUUUUCAAUGAAUUGCAUUGUAAGGACAAAUUUUUCCGCAAUAAAAUAAAUUUUGAUUUUAAAUUUUAUUUAUUUAUCCUUACAAUGGCGUGUAUGAAAAAUUGAUGUUAAAAUGUUUCUAUUAUUAGCAAUAAUGGAUUUGGUUCUUAUUAUGUUAUUUAUGGAAAGUCGAGAAUUUACCAAAUAGGGAGAGUUUCUCAUCGCCCAAGUUUCAAUUGGACAGAAACUUGGAAUCAUGCAACUUGGUUGCACGAUGAAUGAGAAAUUUCAUAUUUGGAAAUUAGACUAAUUCAUUGACAAAGUGUCAAGUGAAGGACUAGGAGAUCGAGUACACAAAGUUGCGUGUUGAUCAAGUCCACCAUAAGAGUAACAAAGAUAUUCGUCAUGAUUUACUAAAGGUUUAGUAAAUAUGAUUAUACUUAUAAGAUUAAGUGUAAUUCUGAAUUGAUUGAAAAGGUUUAAAUCAAUAGCAGAACGAAUAAGAAGAAUCAAGUAGGCAGAAAGAUAAAAGUUUCUCCAUUCUAAGAAGAAGGGAGAGUACCUUUUAUGCUUUAUGAUAGGUCUUAAUGAUUAAGAACCAUAUCUCAAUUGAUCCUCUAAGUGAGUCUUAGUACAAUUGUAUGUCUAAGAAGAGGAAUCAAGAAUUGAAGAAAUGGUUAAAUCAAGAAGUCAAUCAUACUUCGUUCCAAAACAAGUCUUAGAGUUAAGAUUGUGACAUUGAGUGAUAAGUAUAAAGAAGGUUUAUAACAUUCAUUAAAUGUGGAAAGUUGUGAUGUCUUGGAUAAGACAAAGACCAACUAGGACCAAUUUAUGAAGUGUUUUGAUAAAAGCUACACUAACUCUUGAAUAUUUGUUUGUCAAGAAAUGGUUAUUGACAAGAGAAUCUUAUAUGUCAAGGAGUCAGUGGGAGUCUUAAUGGUCUUGAAAGGUUUCAAGAACAAAUCAAAUAAACCUUAUCGAUCAUCACUAGCACACGAGUUGAGGUUUACAACCUAUCGUGUUGACAUUAUUUUGAUUCUGUGCCAAUCCAAUCGAGUUAAUUAUGCAUGUGAGUUCUAUGAGUUCUCAUUUUGAACGCAUAAAAGGCAAAGCACCUUAAUCAAUGAAAGGUACAUUGAUAGGAAAGGGUGAGCUGCUUAACUACUUGGAAGACAUGGUGGGCAGCUGUGCUACCAUAAAGGCAAGAAAUCGAGAUCAAGAAAGUUCGAUCCAUAAGAGUUUGAAUUUGUCGUAAACUUUGGUUUUGACAAAUUCACAUGGAUAGGAACAAAUACACCGUUUAAAUCUAAGUGUCAUAAGAUUUCCUCCUUCAUGAAAAUGAUUGUGAGGAAAUGCUUUCACUAAGACAGAUUUUAAGAAGAUAGUGAUUGUAAAAUUGCAUUCUCGAAUUCAAUUAUGGUUACGGCAUCCCUUUCCAUAAUUUGAAUUGUGAGGUUUGGCAAUUAGUCUUAAUUGUUUAGACACACAUAUGAACUAUCGAAGGCAAAGGUGUAUAAGUUCAAGAAGCCUUGAUAAAAGAUUAUCAAAGCACUAAGUAUUAGAAACAUGAACUUAAGAAAUUCAAUAAGCAUUUUUUUUCUGAAAGUUAAGAUGUUUAUGAAUACAUGUCGAAGCUAGUGGGAGCAUAAGUGUUAUGUUUUAUAAUAAUCAUCAAGAUAGUGGGAGCAUAAAAGUUAUGAUUGUAUGAUUAUUAAGGAAAGUAUUGCAAGGUUAGCAAUAUUAAUUAUAGAAAACAAGAGUCAUACUUUGCAAAGUCGCAAUAGUUGAAGAGUUGUUUUGCUAUAAUUAAGGGAGAGAAUAUUAUGCUUCAUUUCAAAUCUAAAGGUUUAGGUUGAGAAAUGUUAAUAAAAUUUAGUCAAAGGUACAAAGUGUGUUCUUAAAAUUUCGAUUAUGAUUACGGCAUCCCUCUUCACAAUUCGAAUUUUGAGAACAUAGCAAAUAAAACAUUAUGCGUCGUGUCCCAUACGCUUCGGGUAUAGGAUCGAUUGCAAAUGCUUUAAUGUUUGACCAUUCUAAAAUUUUCCAAAUGUCGAGCGCAUUUAGAGGGAAAAGGGACUAGAAUUGGUUUUGACUAAAAUAAUUAAACAACUAUCAAAGGACAAUCCAAAGUUCGACGAGGAUUGGUCGCUUGUGAGUAGUUGGAAGUAUAGUAUUGGAAAAUAUGGAAAUGUUUCCAUAUUGGAUGGACCAUAUCGACAUCAUUACGAAUAGAUAAGAUUCUAUUAAGAAUGAGUUGUCAUAUGGAACAUAUGGAAGUGUGUCCAUAUUGGGAAUUGAAUAUUGAGAAAUCUAUGACUAGAUUAGAAACUUCUAUGCAAAAGGAUGUUCAAAGAAUGUACUUUGAGUGAGAGACAUCACAUCUAUGGAAUUGUCUUGUAACAAUCUCCGAUAGAGGACUUUGUAAUAUCAUUGGCAAUAGUCUUUGUGACUUUGGUGCAGUGACAUUACGAAAGGAUCGUUGCAUAAAAUGUUAGAAUCUAGCAUAUUCUAUAAGUAGCAAGAAUUUGAUAUUCUUUCACUUAUGAAAAGGAUUUGGAGUUGUGAAAUGAGAAUGAUUGGAAAUGUGUUCAAUUUGAUCUAUUUCACAAAGUAAGAACCAUAGGUAAACAUUGUGUGCAUGCUAGGAGCAUGGGACAAGUGUAAUAAUUCAAGUAAGAAGUUGAUUACCCGAAACGACAAAUAAUGAGUAAUCGAUAUGGUGAUAAAUAAAAGGUGUUUUAUUUAUACUCAAAGGUUUGAGGCCAUAUGGGAUUAGUAUUAUUCUUGUGUUUCACAUUUGCAUGUUUUGACUUCCAGAAUAAUUGAGUUUAUUAAGAAUAAUCGAAUUAUUCGAACGGGCCACAGUCGUUCAUAUGUUGGAAGUAGAUAUGAAUGAAGACUGUCGUGAAUUGGUGUGUGGAUUGUCUAAAAGAGUAUUAGACAUAAGCAAAUGUUUGCUGCAACGUUCAUGAGUGCUUAUGAAUAUGAUUUGAGCAUUGGAUUAAACCCACGCUCACUUGGAUCACUCCAUGAAUUGUAUCACGAGUGAUUGGUGAGACGAUAACAUCUUAUAUUCUUGAAACCGAGAUGUGUGAGUUGUAUCUUGCGAAUCGGUUGCACAUUGAUAAUAUGUAAACGCACUAGUAACUUGGUGUUAUAAAACAUAUUGUUGUGUGUGAUUUGGUUAGUAAGUGCAAGCAAGCAUUGUAUCAAAGUUUAUCCGUUCCUUUUAUCCAAAGUAGGAUAAAAGCGAUAUCUUUGGGCCCCUCGAUGAUUUAGUGAUGACAAACGUAAAUGCUCGGCCGGGCUAGGGCUAAUUUGAUUUGUUCAAUUAGUCAGUCGUCAUAAAUCGGGAAUCGAGAUAUAGUACAAAGAGAAUGAUUUGAAAUCAUAUCUCAUAUGAUAUCUAGAAUGGAGGAAUAUAUGAUCCCUUAUCUAAGGACACGCGUAUCUGAUAUGAUCAGAGUUGACAGCGGCUUUGGAAAGCUACGAUUGCAGAUCAGGAUCUGAAGUCAUACGCAGAAUAGUUGUUAGACUUAUCCAAGUGGGAGACUGUUGGAUUAGUGUCUAAGUCCAUAACUAUUUUGGUAUGUACUUGACCCGAUGGUGCAUGGUCCUUUUGGGUUGCCUUCACCAAAGCAACUUGAUUGGAGAAAUAAAGAGAGAGAGAGGUUAUUAUGAUUUAUUAAUAUGUUAUAAGAAUAAUAUAUUAAAGGAGAAAUCAUAUUUGUUUAAUUAAUAUUGGUCAAUAAUUAAUUAAGAAUUAAUUUGUGAUCAAGUGUAAUUAAUUAAACUAGAGGGGUUGAAUUGUAAUUAUGUGAUAGUUACAAAAUAAGGUAAGGAUUAUCUUAAAUAUAGGGUGAACGAAUUUAAGGAGAUAAUGCCUUAGAAUUCGACUAGGAUAAGGGUUUCUAAGACUUAUCUUAUGGUUGCUUGGUGGGCAAGCAACUAGAUAAGGAUAAGGACUAAAACCCUAAUCUUUACACCUAUAUAAACCCCCUAAGGCUCAUGAAUUCGUCUAAGCCUUACCAAGAAGUCCUAAGGACGAAUUCCUACCUCUAUCCUCUCUCUUUAUACCUUCUCCAUUUGCUCUUGGUGUUUGUGAGCCAUUAGAGGAGUGACACUUGUGACUCUAAGCCUUCCAAAGUCAAUUCAUGGAGAAUUGGGAUUGUUAUUACUACAUAACAAUCAAGGUAACAUCUUAAACCUAAUUAUAUGUUAAUAUCGAUUUCCAUAUGCUAGAAUUAGGGUUUAUAGUCUUGGAUUCAAAGCAUGUACAAUAGAGAAACCUAGAUCCAAGCAUUAGGGUUUGUAUGAGCACAUAGGAUGUCUUAUGACCAAAACCCAUCACAUCUUUCAUUGGCUACUAUGAAGUGUGCACUCUUAGUAAACCGAUCAACGACCACCCAAAUCAUGUCGUGACCGUCCUUCGUUCUGGGCAGUUUAGUGACAAAAUCCAUGGUAAUGUCUUACCACUUAUCCAUGGUUACACAUAAAGGUUCUAAAAUCCUAUAUGGUUUCUGAUGUUGUGCCUUAACUCUCACAUAGGUCACACACUUGGCCACAUACUUUGCAAUGUUGAGCUUCAUCUUCGGCCACUAGUAGUAGGGUUUCAGAUCCCUAUACAUUUUUGUGCUGCCGAGAUGAAUCGAGUACAUGGUCUUGUGAGCUUCUUCCAUCAGAAGAUCUCUUACUUCGCCCAUCUUGGAAUACCUUUAAUCCUUGAUUAUUUGUACCGAAAACCAAGUUUUUGCUUAAACAUUCUUCCUUUUGGUCAUUCUCCUCUAAAACUUCCUCCCAAGCUUUGUUGAUGCUUUCCACAAUCAUUGUGACAACCUCUAUUGAUUGUUUUGAUUAUAUUUCUCUUCAAUCUUCUGUCCUAACUCAGAUGCUACAUGAAACUUGGUUCUCUGAACCAUGUAACAUACUCAUCUUAGUUGGACUCGAUAUGAUACGACCACUAGGGUCAGAAUCAGAAUCAUCUUCUUAGUCAUUACCAAAACGAUGGUAAUGAAGAACUUGAACAAAACAGAAUCAAUUACUAGCUUCUUAGUAACCUUGCGACUUUCACUGAUCCAAGUGCAAGUCCUGUGCUUCCGGUAGUAUAGGCCUCUACUACCAUUCACACCUACUCAUACUCGUUCAAGGUGCUAUCUCACAGUUUUCCAAGUCAUCAUUCAAGAGUUUCACAUAAUCAUUUAACACAUCAGAUAACAAAAUCAAGGUUUUAUAUUAUUUCUUGAAAUGAUUACAUAAAUGUUCAACUUCGUCCUAUACUAUGCCUCUAAUAAGUUGCGCUACAUGAUGCUAUCCACAUGGCCACUUCAUAACUUGAUCUUCGGAUAUCAGUCCUCACUCCUGCUUCCUUGCAUUGUCAGCUGCUUCGUUAAGGAUCAUUUGGAAUGCCCUUGGCUGGGGCGGUGCGUUUGGCCUUGCCGCUUUAUUCUUCCUUGGGCGGUUCUUCAAAAUAUGCCAUCCUUCAUUGCAUUCAUAGCACACCCUCUUGCGGGAUGUACACUCAUUGGCGUAGUGCCCAGGAUUUUCACACUUAAAACAAGUGACCUCCCGUCACAUUUCCCAUGGUGCUUCUUUUUGUACUUUUCACACCAUUUCGCUUCAACUCCUCCUCCUCUCGAACCAGACUUCGAGAAAUUACUUUUCUUGUUGGAUUUCGAAGAUCCAUCAAACUUCCUUUUCUUACCAACCUCUGCCCUCUCCAGACCCUUCUCCCUUAUCCGUGUCUCAACAAUCUUCAUAGCUCUAACGACUGCCUUCAACGUGCUUGCCAUUUUGACUAUUGGGCCAAAGUCUGAUGGCAAUCCGUUAGCAAAUUUCUCUAUCUUGGCGAGUUCAGUCGACACCAAGUAUGGAAAUAACUUCAUCUUCUCAGUGAAUGCAGUAGCAUAAUAAUCAAUGCUUAUUCUCCGUUCUUCAAUUUCUGGAACUCAUUGUUUAGAUCUAUCAUAUCUAUUUCGGAGCAGUACUGCAUUUUCAACUGCAUUAUGAACUCUUCCUUAGACAUUUUCAGAGCUUUUCCUCGUGGCAUCGUAUCCGUUAAUAACUUCGACCAGCUUAAAACUUUGGUCUUUACUUGUUUGACCGCAAAGACAAUUUUUUGUUUGUCGCUAUAGUUGCAGCUUUCAAAUACCAUCUCUAUUUCGACAUGAUCUUCAUUGUGAUUUGACGAAACAUAUUUGGACGGUUAUGCUUUUCAUGGCCAAUUUUCGAAGAAGUACUUCUUUUAAAUUGACGAGUGUGACAUCCACCAUUUUCACGGUCAGAAAAGACUGAUUUUGUUUAUGCUUUAUAAUAAAAUCAGAGUAACCUUUUUAAAGAAAAGUGUUGUGGAAUUUGUUCCUAAAAUAAAAUAUGAUAAAGAUUUAUCAAAACAUUUCCAAAGAAAUGUAUUUCAUUGUAUUAAAACCUUGGGAUGUCAUUAUUAAUACAAAUCAGAAACAUAAGCAGUACAACAUAGGCGUUACAACAUUUAUUUAAAUCUACUAGCCUAUAAACCAUAAUCCUCUCGUCAAGUCAUCCAACUAUGCUCUUGCCACUACCUAUAAUACAAGAAACUGAGCCGGUCAGGCUUGGGAGCCUGGUGAGCACAUAGGGUUUUCAACCCACAAUAAAUAAUUUUGUUAAUUUCAACAAAUGAAAUAAACCAGAUUACCCGUUUCUAUUUAUCCUCACAUUACGUCCCUAAAACAUCUAAUAUAAGGGACAUAGCCUAAGGAUUAUUGUAGCACCUGGUUCCUAGUACGUAAUCCUUGUAAUUAAUAUUUCUUAAUUUUGCAUUUUUGCCUUGGACUUGGCGAGUUGAAGAACCGACUCGUCGAGUAGAAGCGGGAUGAGAAGCGGGGUCUGAGCUUUGGACUCGGCGAGUAGACCCUGUUUGGGCAAAAACCCUAACCAAAGUGUUUGCACCCUAUUUAAACGCUCUAACUUGGCCUCCUUUGUCCCGAACACUCCCAGAGAGCUGAAGAGCGAAACCCUAGCCCCCAUUUUGUUCUUGAGAGUGAUUUUUGGCUUUGUGAAGAAGGUUUGGAGCUUAGAAGAAGAAGAAAUAGGUUGUAGUGUGCAAAGAGGGGAAGUAGAUCCGGAAUCUACACUACAAGAGGCUUCCAUUCAGCCGGAGGAUUACCGAUUCAGCAGUCAGGCGCUUAGCAAGCAGAUUUUCAGCAGCUACUUUUCGAGGUGAGUUACCUUCCAGUAGCGGUGGGUCUAAGGCCACAAUGUCGGCCCACCAGUAGGAGACGUAUGAUAGAUGAGUGUCUUUGUGAUAUCAUCUAGGUUUGUUACUACCUGAUAUGUUAUAUGCUAGCUUGAUGUGUUAUAGUAGUAGAGUUCGGUUGUUAGGACCGAAGGGUAGUCAGAUACCCCAGAUACGUCUGACAGUAUGUGAUGAUAUGUUUGCAUGUUGGCUUGUUAUGUUAUAUGCGAUAGAGGUAGUAGGGGGUGAAAUAGUCCCCGAGGUUCGGUUGUUAGGACCGACGGGUAGUCAGCACCCCAGAAUGGCUUGACAUAGGGAGGGCGGCACCCCAGAAUGGCCGUACAGGUAGGUCGGCACCCCAGAAAUGCCUAGCAGUAUGUAUGUGAUAUGAUUGUAUGGUAUGUGGUACGAUGGGGGGGACUCACUAAGCUUUGUGCUUACAGUUUUCAGUUCUGGUGUCAGGUACCUCUUCAGCGAAGGGGAAGGAGCUGGCGCGGUAGCGGUACAUCAUACACACACAUUGGAUUUCCGCAUUAUGAGAUGUCCUGGGAUUGUACUCUGACAUUAUUAUUAUUUUCAUGUUUUGGGUUUUCAGACACGAGAUUUGUUUUAUGACAUGAUAUGAUCGGAUGAUGUUUUACUGCAAAUGUUUUACAAACCACUUAUUUUAAGUGAAAUUUUUGGGCGUGAAAAUUGGGUCGUUGCAAUUAUCAUCGGGGUAACAACAUUGCUUAGGGGAUACUGUGACAUCCCCAAAAUCUUGGCCAGAAAAGACCGAUUUUCAUUUAUGCUUUUAAAAUAUUUUCAGAGUAAAUCCUUUUGAUUUGAAAGAGUUGCGGAAUUUGUUCCCAAAAACAAAACAUGAUAAAACAAUGUUUACCAAAGCAUUUCAUAAAAGAAAUGUAUUUUCAUUAUAAUCAAAACUCGGGGUGUCAUGUUCCGAUACAGACCAAUAAGCAUAAACGAAUACAUUACAAGUCAUAUAACAAAUAUAAACAUAUGCAGACUUGUAAACAAAACAACUUGAUGGUUCAUCCAUCUCAUGCCCUUCCGCCACUACCUGUAAUACAAUUUAAAACUGAGUGGGUCAGGCUUGGGAGCCUGGUGAGCAUAUAGGGUUUUCAACCCACAAUAAAUAUCAUAUUUAAUUUUCACCAACCAACAAUAACCCAAUUACCCAUUCCCGUUAUUCUCACUUUAAUGUCCCUAAAACAACUAACAUAAGGGACCUAGUCUAAGAAUAUUUCAUCGGGGCGACAACACAUGCUUCGGGGGUACCUCAGCAAUAUAAGUCAAAUAAGGCAACCAUGAGGGGGAUGGAGUACAGCGAAUGAACACCCAAGUUCAUUAACACCUACAGGUGGCGAACCUGCUAAUGUUUCCACAAGACUAUCUAGAAAAGUCCGUGGUCGUCAUCUAAACUCCGCUAGAUGACUAAAUCAAACAACAACGAGGCCUCUCAUCUGUUUAUUACACACCAACUAUCUACCCAUGUUCUACCCAACAUAUUAGUAGAUAAAAAUAUACAUUUUUAUACAUAGUUUAAAAACCUGUAUAGCAUGCUUUAAUCAACACAUAUUUCACAUAACAGAUGAGGCACACACACACAUAACACGUAUCUCAUAGAGAAUAAAUCAUAUCUAUGAGAUAGAAGAAAGUGAAUACACAUUCACACACAUAACCACAAAAUUAUACACAUAAUACGUAUUCCGUAUAAAAUACUUCAUAAUUAUGCGUUAGAAGAAAGUAACUACACACUCACUUGAUCAGAAGAUGAUCGGACAGCACUACGACUUGCAGAAGUAGUAAUCCUCAGCAGAUCUGGAAGAUCUUCACAAAAAUCGAACUUCUCGCGGGCAGAGCUUCGGCUCGGGAACCGCACUUCUCGGGAUCUUCGGGAUCUCGGGACUUGCCUCGGGGCUCGAGUAUGAUACCGGGGCUUCGGGGUAUUUCUGGCACGCAAAACGAUGCAAAACGGGAGAGAGAAGAGAGAAAAUGAACAAAAGAAUCGGCUGCCUUCGGAUCCUAUUUAUAGGAGGCUGAAGCCUCGGAGUACGCGAGGUGUACUGGUCCGAAAAACGUCACUGCUUACGUAUCCGAAGACUCGAGUGCGAAUGUCGACAUCCCUCGGUGUACGCGGGGCGUACUUCGGAUCGGAUUGCUGACUCCCCUUCGGAUAAUACCGGAUUUUCUAAUAAAAAUUAAAUACAAAUUAUUUAAUAAACUUCGGAAAUUCAUCUCUUCUUCAUACGAACUCCGUUUUCGACGUUCUUUAUAUCCACGCGAAGGUGAGACUACGCUCUACAACUUUCGUUUAGACUCCGUCGGCUAAUUUUAACUUUAUUUUUAUUAUUUAUUUUUAAUAGGCCGGGACAGAAAAACUUCGUUAUAAAUUCAUAACUUCUUCGUUUGACGUCCGUUCUCGCCUAACUUUUUAUCGCUUCGAGACCAACAACGAGACCUUCGAUCCUCGUUUAGGUUGCUUCGGCUCAAAACCGCUCGAUCUCAAAUCGAGUAUUUCGGGCUGCACACCGCUAAACCGAAACUUCGAUAAAUCAUAACUUCCUCAUACGAAGUCAGAUUUGGGCGUUCUAUAUAUACAUUCGUAAACCUCGUUUCAACUACUACAUCAUCAACCAAAGAUAUCAAGUUUAUUUUACACUUUAAUUUUGACGCUUAUUUUUAUUCUUAAUUAAUCAAACCACAUAAUUAAGCAAUUAAGCACAAAACACAUAAUACUCAAAUAAUACAAUCAUAUUAUUUCAAAACGGGUUACAAAGGUUAACUUAGACUAUUACAUUGCUAAAAAUGGCAAGCCCGGAAACACAGGCGUUACAGAUACCUCAACAUUUUAUGUCAAAUAAGGCAACCAUGAGGGGGAUGGAGUACACCUGGUGAACACUGAGUCCAAAUAAACACCUACAGGUUGCGAGCCUGCUAGCGUCCCAUUGGACUGUCUAGAAAAGUCUAUGGUCGUCAUCUAUACUCCGCUAGAUGACUAGAUCAUCGUCAAUAUCGAGGCCUCUCAUCAUUUUAUUUCAUCACACGCCAACUAUUUCAUCUACCCACGUUUUACCCAACAUAUUUGUAGACAUAAAUUACAUAUACAAUUCAGAUCUAAAAAACAAAAUNUAUAUAUAUAGUUUAGAUCUGAAAAGAAAAGUCUAGAUCUGAAAUGAGAAAGUUUGGAUUUGAAGGAAACAGUUCAGAUCUGAAAGAAAGAGUUUAGAUUUGAAAGAAAAGUUCAUAUCUAAAAAGAAAAAGGUUUAGAUCUUUCUUCCAACAUAGAUCUCAGGUAAACAGAUAAUAUAUAUACACAUAACACGUAAUUUAUAUAAAAUAGUUUAGAUCUGAAAAGAAAAGUCUAGAUCUGAAAUGAGAAAGUUUGGAUUUGAAGGAAACAGUUCAGAUCUGAAAGAAAGAGUUUAGAUUUGAAAGAAAAGUUCAUAUCUAAAAAGAAAAAGGUUUAGAUCUUUCUUCCAACAUAGAUCUCAGGUAAACAGAUAAUAUAUAUACACAUAACACGUAAUUUAUAUAAAAUAUUUCAUAUUUAUGUGUAAGAAGAAAGUAAAUACACACUCACAUGAUAAGGUGGCGAUUCGGACAACGUUUUGCUUCUUAAAAUAAUCUCCAUUGAUGAAACCGGGAAGUUUGGUUGAAAACCGGGCUCUGCGGGGGGGCAAAGUUUCUAAACCGAAAAACUCUUUUUCUCGGAGACUUCGGGCGCUCCGGGGCUUUCUUCUAGUGCUAAGGAGGUCCCCUAGGCUUCGGGGGUGUUUAGGGUGGAUAGAGAGAGAAAGAGAGAGAGAGAGAGAGAGAGAGAGAGAGUAGAGUAGAGAGUGAAAGAAGUGUGAAAUAUGUGAGAAAACAUGGCUAGCCUCGCAUCCUAUUUAUAGUCAGGAGGUCUCGCAUUACGUUGGGCGUUCCUCGGUCUACAUGGGGUGUUCCUCGGUACGCAGGGCGUACCCUCGUACGCGGUACGGUUUGCGAGGUUCGGAUUUGUCACCCUUCAGAUGGAGCUAUGUGGCCAAUUCCGGACCUAGCCUUUGCGAACGCGGGGUGUUCUCUUCGGAUAGCCUCGAAAUAUGUACCUCUUACUUCAAAAAUUCAUAUAUUUUGCAUACGAGCUCCGUUUUCGACGUUAUUUAUAUCCACGCGUAGGCAGGACCGUACUCUACAACUUUUGUUUAGACUCAGUUGGCUAAAUUUGACUUUAUUUUUAAAGUUAUAUUUUUAACAGGCCGGGACAGGAAAAGUCUAUUAAAAAUUCAUAACUUCUUCAUCCGACGUCCGUUUUCGUUUUUCUUUUAACCGUUGAACUACUAUUGACGAGAUCUUCGAUUCUUGUUUAGGUUGUGUCGGAUAAAAAUCCCUCGAUUAUAAUUCGAGCUACGGGCUGCACACUGCUAUGCUAAAUCUUAGAAAAUUCAUAACUUCCUCGUACCAAGUCAGAUUUGGACCUUCUUUUUAUGCACGCUCUUGAUUUAACGUAUACUAGGAUUUUCAUUUAGAUCGCUAAGGCUAAAAUGCACUUUAUCGUAAACUCACUUUUUACGUCACGCAAUAUCGUGCUAGUUUUGUCGUGAAACUUUAACAGGUCAUAACUUUUUUGUGAUAACUUGGAUUUCGGCAUUCUUUAUAUGUCCGAAAUCCUUGUCACGACCACUACAACUUUCUUCAUAGAUAUCAGAUUUAUAUAACAUUUUAUUUUUGAUGCUUAUUUUCAUUCUUAAUUUAUUAUAUCAUUAUAAAUAAGUAUAUAAUCACAUAAAAUCACGUAAUUCACAUAAUAUUCAAGUAAUUCAUCUUUAUUACUUUAAAAUAGGUUACAAUAGUUGACCUUGACUAUUACAUCAUCAUACUAAUGUUUAGCCCAGAAACAAGGGCAUUAGAACGAGUAUGUUACUAGGGAGAAGAGAAAGAAAAAGAGAAACGGAAAACAUGAAGGUUUCACGAGAACUUCUCACUGAUAUCACUAUUCCCGUCGGUAACGUCAUGGACAUUGCCGGUGAUAAGGUUACCUCGUUACCAGAGGCAUUUUCGGUGAAAAACGACAUGAGUGAAGCUUUUCAUCGGAGUUGAUAGAGAGAAAAAGAGUAACACGGAAGAGGGAAGAAUGAAGUCGCUAAGGGUAUUAUUCGUGUCACACUUUAGCAACGAUACCAUUUAGUGGUGUCGAAAGACAUUUGUGGCAACUCGAAACGUAAUAGUCGCGACACACUUUUGAGGGAAUAAUUGGCAGAGGGUUCGAGUAUUAGCGGUGACACCGUUGCUGGUAUUAGUUAGUGGUGUGUAUGGGGCGGUUUGGUUCGGUUAUUGGUUAAAACCGAACCAUAACGAUUAUGAUUGGUUAAUGCAUUUUGGUAGCCAUUGGGUAUGGUUAAUAUUGGUUAUGGUUAGUAGUUUUUAUCGGUUAACGGUUUUGGUUAAUGGUUAAUAUUGGUUAACCAUAAUGUUCAAAAUAAUAUAAACGACGAAAGUAUUUUGGCAUGAAAAAUGAAAAUAAAAUACCAAAAAGUCCUCGACGCCGAUGUUUGUAACCUAACUUAUAGUAAUAUAAUAAAAUGUGUAUCUGUAAUACUUAGAGUGAGAUAACACAUAGUCACAUUUAAAAUCAAAAAUAUUUAAUAAAAAUAUAAAACAUUAAAAAAAUUGACAUUAAUAAUUUCAUAUAUUGAUAAUUGAUAUUAAUAUUAAAAUAAAGUCAAACAUUCAUACACGUUCAAUACGAUUAAAUUAAAACUAUUAAAUAAAAAAGCCAAACAUUCAUAUUCUGUGUUAUUAGAUAUAAAAAAAAAAAAAAGUCAAUCACUCAUCUACAUUCAAUGUGAUUAAGUCAAAAACACUAAAAAAAUUCAAAAAAUUAAAAAAAAAUACAUUCUUAAUAUAUCACAUAGUUAAAAAGAACCAAAAACUUAACUUACCUAGAAGUCUUGAGUAUAAAGUCAAAAAAAUCCUUCGAAUAGGACUAUAAAGUCCAAACAAUCUUUGAUUAUGAUUAACGGUGUGAGAAGCCUUCGAUUAGGAUUAUGAGUGUGAAGAUUAAACUAAUUGUGAAUAAUGUUUACAAAUUGUAGAAUUAGCCGAUUAUGAAUUACAACAUUAAUUAAUAAUCUAACUCAAUGUAUGAUUGGAAGAUUAUGUGUGUCUGAGUGAUCAGUCUUUGAUGAUUUGAUUGCUCGUUCGUCUCCUGGUAAGUGAAGAUUAAUAGAUUAUAUUUUCAAAAUUUUAAUGGAUCUUAAAUAAGUUUGACUAUAUNUCUCUUUCUCUCUCUCUCUCUCUAUAUAUAUAUAUAUAUAUAUAUAUAUAUAUUAAAAUAUAAAGUUAGCGGUUCGGUUAAUAAUGGUUCGGUUAACCUAUAAAACCAUAACCGAACCGUUAGUUAUUGGUUAACAAAAAUUAGAAACCGAACCAACGGUUUUUAAAAUGGUUCGGUUAUAACGGUUAAUUUGGUUUUGGUUCGGCUUUUCGGUUAUUAUGCUCACCCCUAGUAUUAGUUUCGCCGUUAUUGUUAUGUACGAAAUCAUUUUUCAAGUGUUGGAUUAUGACAAAAUCGACGAAUAGGGUUUAACCUCAGAUUUUGACGCGGAUCGGGGUUGAUGAGUUUCGCCUUUAGCGGUGACAACCACCAUUACAACGAGACCUAAUCUAAAUGUUGGGUAUCGCUUGUAAUGGUGGUUGUCGCAACUAAAGGAUUCGCCACUGAAGUCCUAUAUUGUUGUAGUGAUAAAUGUUAAACCUAAACACCAAUUUAAACACACCAACCACUAGAAAUUGGUGGCGACAAGUUCAUGGCAUUAAGAGCGAUAACAAAUGGUGUAUAAAUCCAUUAUGAUCUUCGUUGCGAUUUAACAGAACAUAUUUGGACGGUUAAUGAUUUUGAAGCUCAAUUUUGGAACAAUUUUUUUUUUGAUCCAUCAUGUUAUUAAGUUUUAAGUUUUUAAUUUUUUGAGUUGUUAUGGUUUAGUUUCUUGUUGUGUAAUUUUUAUUUUGAUUUAAUAUAAAAUUUAGUUUUUAAAAAAUUAAUUGCUAAAAAAAGUACUGAUGUUAAAAAAAUGAUGUUAAUCCGCCUAACCUAAAUGUAAAUGGUAUGUUGAAGACGGUGUGUAGCAAAAUCAAAUAUAAGCUGCUGGUUGAUGCAUCGGGUAUUGUAUUACGUGAGGUUGAUAGUUUGAUUUGUUGAAAUUAUCUUUUGUGUGUUUGAGAAUUCUUUUAUGGAAGUCCCUAUAAAAAGGAGUUCAAACUCAAAUGUUGGUUGAAAUAUUGCGAGUACACUUCACUUAAUUUGAUUGCGGUUAGGAAGCAAUUUAAUUUCUCAAAAGAUUAAAUGCCACUAAUAAAUUAAAAAAAUAAACUAAAAAUCAACACCAAAUUAAUGCCAAAGCUUUAAACCAUAUAUUACUAAAUUAAUUCACAUACGCCAUCAAAAAAAAAUUCAUGUCACAAACCCAUACUCAUAAAACUCACUUUCCAGGUACAAAGUUUGUAGCAUAUGACCAUGCAUUGUUUGCAACAGGGUCAGCAAGGUGGUCAGCGAGGUUCUCCAAUGGUCCCUUUCCGGUAACAAUGGCUUGAACAAAGAAUCCAAACAUAGAGAACAUGGCUAGUCUACCGUUCUUGAGCUCCUUCACUUUCAGCUCAGCAAAUGCCUCUGGGUCAUCAGCCAGACCCAAUGGGUCGAAGCUACCACCAGGGUAAAGUGGGUCAACUACCUCACCAAGAGGUCCACCAGCAAUUCUGUAACCUUCAACUGCACCCAUCAAGAUCACUUGGGUAGCCCAGAUGGCUAAAAUGCUUUGUGCAUGGAUCAAACUUGGGUUCCCCAAGUAGUCAAGACCACCCUCACUAAAGAUCUGGGAUCCAGCCUUGAACCAUACAGCCUCACCAAACUUGACACCAUUACGCGCCAAGAGUUCGGGGAAGACGCACCCAAGAGCUCCGAGCAUGGCCCAUCUGCUGUGGAUGACCUCAAGCUCACGGUUCUUGGCGAAUGUUUCAGGAUCAGCAGAGAGCCCAGCAGUGUCCCAACCGUAGUCACCGGGGAACUCACCGGUCAGGUAAGAUGGGGCUUCGCCGGAGAAUGGGCCAAGGUACUUAACACGGUCGGGGCCGUACCAUGGACUUCCUGAUGGUGCGACUUUCUUGACUGCUGUCUUCCUCAUGGAAACCCUUCCAUUUCCGGUGAUUUCUGAACCAGAUGGUGUUAUUUUCACUGCUUGUCCGAUGAAUGAAGAAGAUACAGACAUAGUGGAAGCUGCCAUUCUGUUAAAUUUGGUUGAAAGAUGUUGUGGAGAUAGGAGAGUUUGAGUUAUGAAGAUGGGGAGAUCUGCAAGUUUAUUUAUAAGGUGGUUUUUUGGUCAGAUAGAUAUGAUCGAUGCUUAUCUAGAUACAAUCUUCACCUUCAUUUUGAUUGGCAAACAACAUUCUAGUUUUAUCUAAGGGUCAGUAAUCUGCGUGCUGUGAGUUCUCUGGUCCACCAGAGAUUUUUGAAGGGGCUGCGGUAUAUUCAUGGCUCUGGUUUAUUGAGGGAAUGUAAUGGCUCCCAUUCUCAGCCACAAGCUGUUCUUGGUGGGGUUUUUCAUCUUUAACCAUUUUACAUUUUCACAAAGUUACAUAAAUAGUCAUCAUGCUUUACAAAGUCACCGGUUCAGCAACAAACUUUUUUUCCAUGAUUAAAAAUUCAAAACGGUCCGUAUGGUUUUAAUAUUAUUAGUAAUCAUCUUAACAUUUCUAAUUUUUAAAGACAAAUAUUCAUAUAAAUGGUUAUGUGAUUUUCCAGAAUAUCAAGUGGAGCACAUCAUUUUUUCGGUCUUAUGGAAUGACUAUUUGGUUUCAAUUCCUAUCAUAAUUGAUCUUAGAGCAUCCACAAUAGGGGAGUUUAAUGGAAGAGUUGAAUGAGGUGUCAUGCCUACUUGUCAUUCAAUGGAUACAACUCCACCAUUGUGAAAUGCCACCUUGGCAUUCAAUGAAUUUGGAGUUCAAUGGUCAUUGAACUCUUCAAUGGGAAAAAGGAAAAUCUUUAAAUCUUUAAAUAAAUAUUUUUUAAUAUAUUCCAUUGAACUUGUAGAGUUUAAUGCAUUGUGGGAUAAAAAUGAAAAGAGUUGUAUGGAAUAAUGAAUGAUGACGUGACACUCCAUUGAACUCUAUAGAGUUCAAUGCAUUGUAGAUGCCCUUAGUCCCACAUAAAUAAACUUUUAUACCCUUCUAUAUUAUAAUUAGUUUAUUUAAUAUAUAAAUAGCUAUGUUUUAUAGUUAACAAUAAAUUUUGUUCAUNNNNNNNNNNNNNNNNNNNNNNNNNNNNNNNNNNNNNNNNNNNNNNNNNNNNNNNNNNNNNNNNNNNNNNCUCUCUCUCUCUCUCUCUCUCUCUCCCAUCACACCCUCCUAAUCUUUAUUUCUUUCACUCGAUCGGUCAACCUCUUUUCUUUCUACAUAAAAAUUAAUCCAAAAUGCAGCCUUUUCCCAUACUCUGUGCUUGCACCGCCACUUUACCUUCUUGAAACCAAAUUACUAACCAUACACAAGUCUACAAAUCUACUAAUGUGUCUUCCAUUUCUCAAAAUCGAAAAAUAGAGAAGGUGUAGAACAUUGAGCUCACUUCUGUGCAUCUCCCACCUCUUUUACACAAAUAUGAAAUUAAAAUUGAAGAACAACUUUGUGAAGAACCUAGAUUGUGGAGAUGAUGAUGAAUAAAGUCGAUAGUUGGUGGUGCUCGGUGAUGUUUGAUGUUAGCGGCAGUACACUAGUGUUGUGGUGAUCGCCUGUUCAGUUGGUUAUAUUCUGGUAGGGUGGACGAUGGUGACCGUAGAACAGUUCAUAUAUAUAUNNNNNNNNNNNNNNNNNNNNNNNNNNNNNNNNNNNNNNNNNNNNNNNNNNNNNNNNNNNNNNNNNNNNNNNNNNNNNNNNNNNNNNNNNNNNNNNNNUAUAUAUAUAUAUAUAUAUAUAUGUGUGUGUGUGUGUGUGUGUGUGUGUGUGUGUGUGUGCGCGCGCACACUACAAGAAAUUUAGGUGUUUAUCCACACACGUUAUAUGUGGCUAAAAGACCUUUAUGUGUAGUUAUCUUUAGCUACACACAGAUUAAGUGUCAUAAUGUAUUGACUCAUGCCUAUAGAUAUAUAUCAUUAACUAUACAUUCAUUAUGUGGAAGUAUAGUGCAAUUAGUACACACAUACAUGUGUGGUUAAAACUAGUAAGUAUGUGCAUAUAGAAAGGGAGCUGAUCCGUUCACAACAAUUUUUCUCCAUACACAAUAAUUGAUGCUUUAAAAUGUUGUAUUAUACAACUAUAUAAUGCAUGAAUUGUUGUGUAUGGCAAAAAACUGUUGUGUACGAAUCACUUCCCAUAUAGAAGUACUAAAAAUUGUUUGAGUUGUCAACGAUGUGGCUGAUGACAUGUCAAAUUAUGUGGCAAGCCCACACAAAGUGUUGGUGAUAUGUGUUAUUCGAUAUGUGUGGGUAAUAAUUGUUAUAUGUGUAGGUUAAGAUAAGAUAUAUGAAAUAUAUAAAACACAAUAAAUGAAAUAUAAAAUUUAACAACACAAAUUGUUAUUACUUUUAAUAAGGAGUUAACGAUAUAUAAAACUUCUUUUGGAAUGGAAGUAUGUAGCACCCAAAGUCAGAAAGGCCAAGAAAGGAAAGGAAACCCUAAGUUUAAGGGACGACUCAGCAAGUCCAAGGAGGUACUCGGCGAGUCCGAGCGGGAUCCGGGUCGAGGAGUAAAUGACCGACUCGGCGAGUCGGCCAAGGAGACUCGGUGAGUCUGGUCUGUACGAGGAAAUCCCUAAAUUCGGGACUUGGAGCCUAUUUAAGCGCCUCAUUCUCUUCUCUAGGGUUCCUCUACUGCCUCUCUAACCNCUCAACCCCACCCCCGCCCCGCCAUAUCCAUUGUUGAGCCAAUUAUUGCUUUGAAGAGUGCAUUAAAGCUUGGAGAAGGAAGAAGGACCUUGGAGGUGCAAGAAGGAGCUAUAGAUCUGGGCUUGGGAAGAUAUUUCUGAACAUUUGGAGGUAAUAAACUAGUUCUUGGACUCCUUUGCACCUAGAUCUAUGUGUGAGUUUUGGGGCUUUUGGCCAUGAUUGGUACCCAUUUAAGUUAGAAGCCAGAUCUAAAGUUGCUACUUCGGAUAUAAGCAUAUUAUGGGCUUGUGAAGCAUAAAGUAUCAGCCCUUGAGUUGAUUAUGGAGCCUCUUUGCAUUAAACCCUAUUUUAUGGUGUGUCUAGCCUAGAUCUCCUUCUCUACACGUAAAGUUUGCAACUUUACGUGAGGAAUAGGCUUGGGAAGGGUAGAUCUACAGUUUGGGGUCCAUGCAUGACUCAAAAGUCCUCUACAUGUAUGUAGAUCUGAAUGGACUCGGCGAGUCCUUUGAGUGGACUCGGGGAGUAGCAUGAAGAUUAGGAGGAACUCAACGAGUGGGAUGAACAGCUCAUCGAGUCGGAUGAAGUUGGGCAGGAACUCGGCGAGUUGGAAGAACAACUCGGAGAGUCGGUUGAAGAUUGCCUUGGACUAGGUGAGUCUGUUCUUGGACUCGGCGAGUCAGGUCGCGAAACCCUAAACCCUUCGACUUGAGACUCGAAUCAGUGAGUCGAGUGGAGACUCGGUAAGUUGGACAGGUCAGGACUCGGAAAUCGGUAGACUCGGCGAGUCAUGGACUGACUCGGUGAGUCGAGUCGCGAUUGGAAGGACUUAGAGCAUAUGAACUCGGCGAGUCAAUAGGUAGACUCGGCGAGUAGGGUUGACCUGGAAGAUUGACUUUGAACAGGACUUUGACUUUGACCAGAGUUGACUUAGUUGACUGUUGGGGGUCAGUUAGUCUAAGUGUUUCAUUGAUAUUGGUAGCUCGGGGAGCUAGUGGAGCAGGAGUUCAGAGAGUUUCCGGGCAGCAUCCAGAAGGUUAUCAGCAUGUUCAGCAAGUGCAUGUGAGUUUCCCUUUGUGCCAAUGGGUCUACGGUCACAAUGUCGGCCCAUGUAGUUAUGAGUAGAAGACCCGGGGGUUAGCCCUAGGCACAGUAUGCUAGUAUGAUAUUCAGGACGAGGUCCAAUGAUAGCGGGCGGGUGCCCAAGGAAUGGUUUAUGUGAUAGUUUAUACUUGUUGUAUGUGUGAUACUUGUAUGUGUCUGGUAGGGAGGUGAGUGUGGGCGAGGUCCCGUAUCUCACCAAUAGCAGAGUGUGGAUGGUGUUCCACAUCUCAGUAGCAGCAGAGCAGGGGCGAGGCCCAAGUUAGGGAAGGAGUGAGGGUGGGCUGGGCCCGUACCUCACUAUCAGCAGGAGUAUGGACGGGGUUCCAUGACUCAUCAGUAGCAGGACAAGGGCGGGGCCCAGAGAUAGGCGAGGCCUUAGGACAAGAUCCGUUAGUAUGUGUUUAGCUUAUGUGAUGUGAUGUGAUAUGUUUAUGUGCUAUUAUAUGUUAGUGGGCGAGGCCCUGUGACAGGCGAGGCCUAAGUGAAACAGAUCUGUAUCCGAGCGGGGCUCGAAGCCAGGCGGGGCCUGGAGCGGCGGGGCCGUUGUAGCGGGCGAGGCCCGAGGUAGGGGGGGAGGCCCAGGAUAGCGGGCGUGGCCCAGCGUGUGCAGUAUGUGGUUAUGCAUGGUAUGUGGUAGGGUGGGGAACUCACUAAGCUUCGUGCUUACGGUUUUCAGUUUUGGUUUCAGGUACUUCCGGUAGCGGAGGGAAGAGCUCGGGGGUGAUCGCAUGGCACACACCAUAGAUUAGACAGUCUGGGAAUGUUUUACUCUGACAAUGAACAUGUGUUUUGGAAAAUUAAUACUCUGAUUAUGUUUUGAAUUGGUGACCUUGCUUAAAGAAAUCUUUUAUUAAAAGAAAUUUUUAGUCAUGAAUUUUGGGACGUUACAAGUUGGUAUCAGAGCCUUGGUUUGAGGGAUUCGGGCAUACUCUCGGGUGUGCCUGAACUCAAACUAAGGGGUCGGAUAAAAAGUUUUCAAAAUGAAAAGACAGUUUUCUAAAAAGAGAGUUUUGGGAAAGAAAACAGUUUUAGAAAAGCAAAAAGAAUUCAGAAAGAAAAGAACUUUGAAAAGAAAAAAAUGGUGUGGUGCAUGCAAUCAGCUGGUCUUAAGUAAGUACCCCAAAUUACCCAUACAAGUUUAUGUUAUGAUUAUCAGUUAGUAGAACAGCAUGCUAGAUUAGGACUAAGGAUCUAGGGAGGAUGCCUUAUGUGCCUAUUAUAUGUGCUUUGAGUUGCAUGAUAGUGUUGAUUAGACAGUGGUAGGAUAGCCUGUUUAGGUUAUGCCUGAGUAUAUGAGUUUGUGUUGCAUGCUAGUUCAGAUUCUUGCUAUGUGGAUAUGAUUGCUUAUGUAUGUUAUGGUUAGAUUUUCCCCUUGUCUGAAUGCUGCCUGCUUUGUGCAAUAUGGGAUUCCGAGUGAUGGGAGUAACCAUUAGGUGGAUACGUCACGUCACAUGUGAUCAGGGUUGAAUAAUCUCAGAGUGCUAAAUUUGGCCCUAUUUCGCAGCUCUCGUUUGAGUCCAACCAUUGUAGGGAUGAGUCUUUUACUCGAAGAAUUAUCUGAGCCUUGUCACAUGUGAUGGUGUCCAGUUGAUGGCCAAUUGGCAUCACAAGGAGUCCUUCAGCAGCUGAGGCCUGGUUUGGUGUGAGUCAGAGGUUUCCUUAGGGUAAGCCUAGGAUGAGAUAGUGUUGGGAGCAGUAGUAGUGGAUAAGGGACCUGGUGGAGUCGAAGCAAUUCCNGAGGAAAGUACAGAUAGAUAUGGAUGGUAGUAUGGGCCCGUACUACUGAAAGCAGAGGAUCCGUACUCGAUUCGGGAAAGGCUGAGACAAGACCGAGAACCUAGUAGGGUGAGUGUGUGUCUGGUCUCACAGCAGUGAUAAGUAUUCUGAUAGAGGAUGUAUUAUAUAUUCAGCAUGGUGACAUUGCGAGAGAGACCAGUGGGUGGACCAGGCGCCGGAGAGGGAUCGCUCGGGGUCNAGCAGCUCGAGGAGCGGAUGAGGGAGUUGAUAUCAGCUGAGGUUACGCGCAGUAUUCUAGAUCAGACUCCUGUGAUCUUUGGCACGGUCAAGGAGGGUAUAUUGGAGAUUUUGGAUGAGAGGCUGGGAGCCUUCCGUACCGAGAUGAUGGCAUUGAUGGGAGCACGUACCUUGACAUUUCGAGAGUUCAGGGCUUGCGGGGCACCAGAUUAUCAUGGGGCUAGGGACCCCAUCGCUAGCAGCAGAUGGUUGGUUGAUGUUGCCAAUGCAUUCCGUACGAGCCGGUGUCCUGAGGGGGACAAGGUUAGGCUCGCUUCUUGUCUUCUGAAGAACAGAGCAAGGGAUUGGUGGGAGGAGAUUAGUCAUGCCUUGGGGGAUGAUGUCGCGUUGGAUGCGAUGACUUUGAGCGAUUUCUCGUCCAGGUUCAGGGCGGAGUUUUCGCCGAUUAUUGAGGUGCAGCAGUUGCCACAGGAGUUUCAGGAUUUGACGCAGACCACUGAGACUGUGGCGGAGAUCACCGCCAAGGUCAGGGAGAGGGCUCUUCUUGUACCGCAGUGUGUCGCGGAUGAGGAGAUGAAGAAGGCCCGAUACCAUGAGAUGUUGAGGGAUGAUAUCAGGGUGUUCGUGAUCAGGUCCAGCUGUAAGACGCUAGAAGAUAUGAUUUCUCGAGCUAGAGAGAGGGAAAUUGAUUUGGAGCAGAUCCGGAAGAGGAAGCCGGAUGAGGUUUAGGUAGCCACAGGUUCGGGCAAAAGGCCUAAGGGAUCAGAUUCGAGAUCGAGGGAUUAUCAGGACCGCAGUCGGUGCGGGAAGUGUGGCAGGGCGCACAGGGGUGCGUGUAGGAGUGGUAGCGGUGGUGAUUCUGGCUGCUUCAAGUGCGGUCGGACUGGUCAUUUCAGUAGAGAUUAUACUGUUACCACCACACAGGGAUCAGACUUGAUAUGUUUUCACUGCAAUCAGCGGGGCCACAAGAAGGCCCAGUGCCCCAGUUUGUUUUCAAUAGGACGGGUGAUGACACUUGCCCCUGCAACUUUGAGGAUCACAGACGGCCGUCAGGGCCGUGCAGAGGCGCCUGCGGUAGGAGGCAGGUCUUUUCAGAUGACUACCUUGGAGGCGCGAGCAGCACCGGACGUUGUAGGUAUGCGAUUUUGUUUUCAGUUCUUUUAUUUGUGCAUGAUUAUAUUGUUAUGGUUCUGGAUCAUCAUUGGUUUGAGUAUUUUAUUUUUUGAGCGGUUGAUUGUGAUCGAGUUAUAUGCCAUCUUAAUACCUUGGAUAUUUGAAUGGUAGUUAGGAGAUGUGCUCUAUUAGAGAAGGUUUCAUAGGAUGCAGUAAUUGUAGCAUGCCUGGGAGGGACUUGGUAUGUCUCGCUAGAUCGGAGUUGUAUAAUGUUAGAGAUGGAUUGGUUAGAUCCCUAGCUAUGGUGAGCUUGGGUUCCUCAGCAGCUUGAUUAUGGAAUGGUAGCAAGGAUUGGGAUUCUUUUGAGUAUUGAGCAGCAAGGGGUAAGCAGGAUCGAAGUGGGGGAGAAUCCUCCGAGUGUGCAAAGGUAGGAUCACGCAGACCCAAAAUGAGUGCGCGACCUCCGAGAAGGAAAAGAAGUAGUUCAGCGUUUGAUGGAUUGAGGAUUUCAGGGUUGGGAUUUUGAGAAACUCCCCAUCAGCUAGUGCGUGUGAUGGUGAUGGUUAGUAUGUGGUUGGGAAUUCAGGUUGUGGAUCGCCCGUAGGACUCGAGGGAGUCGGAAUGAGGAUCUUGAGAGCUAAUGGCACAUGGGUGCCUUCGUAUUAGCAGUCAGUGGUAGAAAGUGAUGUAAGACUACGGGGCAGCCGUAGCAUUCACUAACAGUUAGUGGUAGAAAGUGAUGUAAGACUACGGGGCAACUAUAACACUCACUAGUAGUCAGUGGUGGAAGUGUUGUAAGACUACGGGGCAACCAUAGCAUUCACUAGCAGUCAGUGAUGGAUGGUGAUGUAAGACUACUAGUAAGCCGUAGCAUUCCUUAGUAGCUUCGUUAGCGGAGUUGGGGCGAGGCCCUUAUCUCCUAGCGAUCAGAUAGGGAUCAGGAAUGGGUAGUGGAUGAAAGUGAUAGGAAGUUUGCUUGUAUAGCCCUAGAGAGGUGAGACCUUGGGAGAGGCCGCUCCAGGAUAUAGUUGGGUGAGGCCUGUGGGCGAGGCCCGUAUGAGAGUAGCGGUAUAGGUGAGACCUGAGAGUAGGGUUGCUCAGUAGUAUGGCCGGGUGAGACCCGUAGGCGAGGCCCGAGAGAGAGUGGUUAGACAAGUAGGACUAGAAGGAUAGAGGCGGGGGGGACCCGUGGGCGAGGCCCGUGUGUUUUAGCGGCAUAGGGGGGACCUGGUAAGGACCUUAGUGUCAAGAUAAGGGAUCGGGGAUCCAUGGAUUGUAGUGACUGAAUGGCAGAAUAGAUUGCGCAGUUAUAGGUGGUCAAAGUUCCUUCGAAAGUCGCUGGGAGCGACUAGGAGUAGUGUUGGGACUAGCGACCGGUGGGAUCCGGUAAUCCAGAUAUUGGUAGGACGGUAGGGAUUAGGGUGGUCUCAGUUCAUCCGGAAGGCAGAUAAGGAAUAGCAGAAUUUUCAGUCAGUAGUAGUGCGGGUAAGCAGUGUAUGGUGGAAUUCAGUUAGUUGUAUCGAGGGGUGCUCGACACCAAGUUUUGACAGAGAGGAGUGUCAGUGGUUACUGGCGGUGAUGACCUGUACUGGAAGUAGCGGGGGUGAUGGAGUUGGCGAAGGAUAUGACCUUCACAGUGACAGAGGAAAUAGUUGGUUAUGGAGCAUUGCCUUGGGAAGGCAAGGAAUUCGCACAAGGAAAGAAGGGGUGAACCCCUAUAGGUUCAGUACAGUACUCGGUGAGUACCGGAAGGAUUGUCGGUUGAGUAAGUUGUGUUUCCAGGAUGUUCAGGGUCAGGGUGACCUGAGUCUAUUAUCCGCAAGGAAUGAUGUUAGUCAGAAUGACCGGGCGGAAGACCAGCGAAGGUAGGCAGCUGGUGUUGGAAUGAUUAGUUGGGUAUUGAAAGCAUAUCGCAGGCAGUGGCCCAUAGCAAACUUCGAGGAUGAAGUUUAGUUUAAGUGGGGGAGAGUUGUAACACCCAAAGUCAGAAAGGCCAAGAAAGGAAAGGAAACCCUAAGUCUAAGGGAUGACUCAGUAAGUCCAAGGAGGAACUCGGCGAGUCCGAGCGGGAUCCGGGUCGAGGAAUAAGUGAACGACUCGGCGAGUCGGCCAAGGAGACUCGGUGAGUCUGGUCUGUACGAGGAAAUCCCUAAAUUUGGGACUUGGAGCCUAUUUAAGCGCCUCAUUCUCUUCCCUAGGGUUCCUCUACUGCCUCUCUAACCCAGAACACCAAACCCUAGCCGCCAUAUCCGUUGUUGAGCCAAUUAUUGCUUUGAAGAGUGCAUUAAAGCUUGGAGAAGGAAGAAGGGCCUUGGAGGUGCAAGAAGGAGCUAUAGAUCUGGGCUUGGGAAGAUAUUUCUGAACAUUUAAAGGUAAUAAACUAGUUCUUGGAAUCCUUUGCACCAAGAUCUAUGUUGAGUUUUGGGGCUUUUGGCCAUGAUUGGUAUCCAUUUGAGUUAGAAGCCAGAUCUAAAGUUGGAACUUCGGAUCUAAGCAUAUUUUGGCCUUGUGAAGCAUAAAGUAUCAGCCCUUGAGUUGAUUAUGGAGCCUCUUUGCAUUAAACCCUAUUUUAUGGUGUGUUUAGCCUAGAUCUCCUUCUCUACACGUAAAGUUUGCAACUUUACGUGAGGAAUAGGCUUGGGAAGGGUAGAUCUACAGUUUGGGGUCCAUGCAUGACUCAAAAGUCCUCUACAUGUAUGUAGAUCUGAAUGGACUCGACGAUUCCUUUGAGUGGACUCGGCGAGUAGCAUGAAGAUUAGGAGGAAUUUGACGAGUGGGAUAAACAGCUCGUCGAGUCAGAUGAAGUUGGGCAGGAACUCGGCGAGUUGGAAGAACAACUCGGCGAGUCAGUUGAAGAUUGCCUUGGACUUGGCGAGUCUGUUCUUGGACUCGGCGAUUCAGGUCACGAAACCCCAAACCCUUCGAGUUGAGACUCGAAUCAGUGAGUCGAGUGGAGACUCGGUGAGUUGGACAGGUCAGGACUCGGAAAUCGGUAGACUCGGCGAGUCGAGUCGCGAUUGGAAGGACUUUGAGCAUAUGAACUCGGCGAGUCAAUAGGUAGACUCGGCGAGUAGGGUUGACCUAGAAGAUUGACUUUGACCAGGACUUUGACUUUGACCAGAGUUGACUUAGUUGACUGUUGGGGGUCAGUUAGUCUAAGUGUUUCAUUGAUAUUGGUAGCUCGGGGAGCUAGUGGAGCAGGAGUUCAGAGAGUUUCUGGGCAGCAUCCAGAAGGUUAUCAGCAUGUUCAGCAAGUGCAUGUGAGUUUCCCUUUGUGCCAAUGGGUCUACGGUCACAAUGUCGGCCCAUGUAGUUAUGAGUAGNGGAAGGUUGACUUUGACCAGGACUUUGACUUUGACCAGAGUUGACUUAGUUGACUGUUGGGGGUCAGUUAGUCUAAGUGUUUCAUUGAUAUUGGUAGCUCGGGGAGCUAGUGGAGCAGGAGUUCAGAGAGUUUCUGGGCAGCAUCCAGAAGGUUAUCAGCAUGUUCAGCAAGUGCAUGUGAGUUUCCCUUUGUGCCAAUGGGUCUACGGUCACAAUGUCGGCCCAUGUAGUUAUGAGUAGAAGACCCGGGGGUUAGCCCUAGGCACAGUAUGCUAGUAUGAUAUUCGGGACGAGGUCCAAUGAUAGAGGGCGGGUGCCCAAGGAAUGGUUUAUGUGAUAGUUUAUACUUGUUGUCUGUGUGAUACUUGUAUGUGCCUGGUAGGGAGGUGAGUGUGGGCGAGGUCCCGUAUCUCACCAAUAGCAGAGUGUGGAUGGUGUUCCACAUCUCAGUAGCAGCAGAUCAGGGGCGAGGCCCAAGUUAGGGAAGGAGUGAGGGUGGGCUGGGCCCGUACCUCACUAUCAGCAGGAGUAUGGACGGGGUUCCAUGACUCAUCAGUAGCAGGACAAGGGCGGGGCCCAGAGAUAGGCGAGGCCUUAGGACAAGAUCCGUUAGUAUGUGUUUAGCUUAGGUUAUGUGAUGUGAUAUGUUUAUGUGCUAUUAUAUGUUAGUGGGCGAGGCCCUGUGACAGGCGAGGCCUAAGUGAAACAGAUCUGUAUCCGAGCGGGGCUCGAAGCCAGGCGGGGCCUGGAACGGUGAGGCCGUUAUAGCGGGCGAGGCCCGAGGUAGGGGCGAGGCCCAGGUUAGCGGGCGUGGCCCAGUAUGUGCAGUAUAUGGUUAUGCAUGGUAUGUGGUAGGGUGGGGAACUCACUAAGCUUCGUGCUUACGGUUUUCAGUUUUGGUUUCAGGUACUUCCGGUAGCGGAGGGAAGAGCUCGGGGGUGAUCGCAUGACACACACCAUAGAUUAGACAACCUGGGAAUGUUUUACUCUGAUAAUGAACAUGUGUUUUGGAAAAUUAAUACUCUGAUUAUGUUUUGAAUUGGUGACCUUGCUUAAAGAAAUGUUUUAUUAAAAGAAAUUUUUAGUCAUGAAUUUUGGGACGUUACAAAGUACAUUAAUCCUUGGUACAAAUAUUACAUCAACAAAAGUUAUCUCUAAGCUUUCAUGAAAUUGAAGACCUUAUGCCUAACACAACCAUUGUAUCUAGAUAAGAUUUUCCUACUUAUUUACUUUGUUGUGUGCAAAUAUUAAUACACUUGACUUAAGCAUCACCAACAUUUGGACAUAAUUGUUGACGUUGAGGUGGUUGGUUAGAGCAUUAGUCAACUUUAAUAUUCAAGUGAAGACGUAUCAAAUACAAGUGAUUGUAGUUCACUCCUAUAGCAACAAGAGGAGCAGAGGCUUUAAGUAGUUUAUCCAUUUCAACAUGAAACUCUUUUCACACAUGAACGAUCUUAUGACACCUGUCAAAUGCCUCUUAAAAUAUACAAUCAACACUUGGUCAGUAGCUUUCUUCUCUGUGGCCAGAACCAUGACCUCUUCAUUUCCCUAUAUUAAUGAUGACAGGUUCAUAAACUAAAAGGACUGUAAAGUCAAAAUAGUUGACAUUAUGUUGACAUACCUAGUGGUGUGAAGAGAAGAAUAAAUAGAAUGUUUGUAAUAAACCCGCUUUCUUGGGUGAGGAAACCAUGACACUUGUUCAGAAAUGAAACAUCCCAACUAGCACCUAACGACUUUUGCUACAUUGAGAUAUACUAGCAAACAACAUAAGCAAAUCACAUGGAAAAUUAUUACAAUUAAUAAAACUCAUAAAUAAAGUGGUAAAAACAGCCUUGCACACACUCUUGAUUAAAAAAAUAGUUUAUAUUAGUGUAACAUCCCGAUUUCUCGAUAUCAGUUUAAAGUUCUAGAGUCAUGUUUCAAAGACAACUCGACGAGUUGAUAGGCCAACUCGUUGAGUAGUGACCAAAUCAGCCAUGUGGAUUUUAGACCCUACUCGUCGAGUUGGAGGACCCGACUCGACGAGUAGGUGCUGGAAAGUGAAAACCAUAAUUUUUAGGGUUUGCACCCUAUUUAAAGGUCCUUAACUUUCCUCCUCAGCCUCCCUUGUCACCUUCACGUCCAAAAAAACCAACUAGUCUCUAUUCUUGAGUGUGUGAGACCAAAAGAGAGUGUAUUGGAGCAUUCUUAAGGAGUUAAGAGCUUUGAACAAGGGAUAGCUUGUAGAUCCAACUUUUCCAGUGUUGUGACAACAAUAUUGAGUUAUAAAGCUACCACCUUUAUAUUUCAUUGCUUAGAUCUUCCUUUUUGGUAAAGUAAUUGUCAUGUCUAGGGCAUGAUGGGGUCACACUCGGAUUUAAGCUUGCCACAAGGGCAUAGUUUUAGAACUUGACUUCUUAAGGCCUUAUGAACAUAAAUCCUUAAGCUUUAUGAAGCCCUAGCCCUCCUUCAUGUCCAAAACCUUCUCCUAAUGCUAAUUAUGAGUGUUUUAGCUUCAUAGAACCAUGCAUGCAUGUAAAGUUAGCAACUUUAUGUGAUAACAACACCCUAGGAGCAUAGAUCUACUGUUUGGAGCUUUGGAGCAGCUUAAAAUAGUCUGAAUGAGUGAUGGACUGAAGGAGACUCGACGAGUUUCAUGGUUGAAUCGAAGAGUCGGUUGAAGAUUGCCCAUAAUGGUUUUGCAUGGACUCGGCAAGUCAGUAAGAAGACUCGACGAGUCAGUUAGGGUUCUUCCUGACAUUUAGACACGCGUAGACUCGCCGAGUUGGUGGGGAAACUCUGCGAGUUGGCCCAGGGAUUUCACGGUUUUCUGAGUUUUGGAGGAACUCGAUAGGUCAGUAGUUGGACUCGACGAGUUGGGUCAACAUGGACUGUUGACCUUGACUGUUGACUUGGAGUUUGACCAGGGUUAACCAUGUUUGACUUUGGAGGGUAUUUGGUAAAUGGGUAUUUAAGGAAAUGGAUCAUGGGUGGAUAUAGGUAAUGGAGUUUGGGGCAGUAUUUUGAGAGCGUGAUUUCGUGGUUUAGUUCGGCAUUGCAAGGUGAGUUAUCCUCACUAUAUCAACAGGGUCUAAGGCACCAAGGUCAGCCCUUUAUCUGAUUUGUAUUCGGGUAUUUGCUUGAUAUGUUUUUUGAUCUGCUAGAUCUGCAUCCUGGUAGUUAGGAUGGUAUUAUGUUUAGUGACCUGGUUUAGGUCAGUAUCCUGGUAUAUGGGAUGAUGUUAUGUUAGUGACCGGUUAGGUCGGUAUCCUGGUUAUAGGACGGUUGUUGUGUUAGUAAUCAGUUAGUUUGGUAUGAUUAUCUGUUGUAUACAUGCUCGCGUAUAAUAUUUAUGUGCACAUGAUUGUUUGAUUGUUAUGGGGGUUGGGUUGAGGCGGGUCCUGCUUCGUGUUGUAGGCCAACAUACCCAUGGCGGACCGGAAAGACUACAGGCCCAGGAAGGCACAUUGUCCAACCAAUGGCCCAACGAGCGGUCCGGAUAGGCUGAAGGCCCCGAGAGGGUGGUCCAAACGUGCCGAGGCUCGGAGAGUGGGCCAGGUGGACUGAAGGCCCGGUGCGGGCGGUCCAGUCAUACUGUAGACUCAAAGAGUGGACCAGGUGGACUGAAGACCCAGUGCGGGUGGACCAGUCACACAGUAGACUCGGGAUGCAUGGCUGUUCAGUGUUUGUUAUAUGAUAUGAUUAUGGAUUGUAUGAGGUUGGUAUUUUGGGGGUAACUCACUAAGCCUUCGAGCUUACGUUUAUCAAUUUAUGUUUCAGGUACAACGAAUUAACCCAGGAAGACGAAUGUGUGAUCGUACACUUCCCCAUAAUAUGUUUUGGAUUUUCUGGGAUACUCUGAUGUGAAACUAUUUUGGAAACCUUUUUGUAAUAACUAUUGGCAUUUGAAAUGUUUUUAAAAGUUUAAAUUUGGCUUGGAUUUUAUGGGUGUUACAAUUAUUUCAAUUAUCCAAGACGAUUUUAUGUCGAGAUUUUAAGUUAACAUUAAAUCUCAAUUAUUUGUUUGAAUGAUUUUUUUCUUUUAUCUUAGAGAUUUGUUUGAAAUUUAUUAAUUUUUUUUAUAAAUUUGAAUUAAUCAAAGACACAUAUAAAAAUAUCUCAUCAAAUCAAAUAAAUUUAAUAUAUAAAAAAGAUAGUAUCCGAUUAAGUCAAUCUAAAAAUACCAACAUAUAAAUAUAACUCACAAAUCUUGAUGGGAAUAAGAAUCAAACUCAAAAUCAAUCAAAUAAAAAAACCUUUGAUUUGUGUUAUAAGUAUAAAAUAAAUCAGGAUUCCAAAUAAAUAUUACAAUGAAAAAAAACCUAAAAUGUUUGAAACAAAAUAUGAAAUUCGCCAUCACUGUCAAUUUAAAAAAAAAACCUUUAUUAAUACUAAUGGGCUAUUUGGUAGCAUCCUGAUGAAUCAUAUCUGAAUGAUCUAGAUGCCUGGAUGAUCUAGAUGCUCUUUAGGAAUUUCUAUCGGAAUGAUAAAAUAAUGUUUGGUUAGGCAUCUAAAUAUCUGCCUCUUAAUGAGGAAAAUAACCAUUUUAGCCCUCUAAAUUAUUUUUUGAAUACAAAAUAAACAUUAUACAAUAUCCAACAAAUCGGUUAAAACAAAUUGGCUUUUGAUAUUCAGAUUCAUGUGUUUCUUCAUCAACAAUCUCUUUGAAGAGGACUCGUUUUGUUUCUGUUUUUAGAUCAUUAGGCUUUCUUGCUUCUGGAACAUUGAUGGGCCUAUUUUCUUGCUGAAUAUCUUCCAUCACUAGCAACUUCAUCUUGCUCCUAGAUCACAUAUCAACUAAACAAGUUGAAAAAUAACCAAACACAUAUUUUCAUAUAGAACAUUUCAAGCAAACACAAACACAUUUUCAAAAAAAAAAAAACAAAUCAAUUGUUAUUUUCAGAUUUCCAAAGGACAAAAACAACAUCAACUGAACACAUAUAUAGAGCAAGAAGAACAAAGCACAAAAAUCGAUUUCAUACAAAAUCGAGCAGCAAGAACACGAUUGACACCAAUUUCAUGCAAAAUUGCUCAACAAUAACACGAUUGAAGCAACAGAUUCGAGAAAAAAAACCAUACCUGAAAACUUACCGACGACGAGUAGGCGGAGAAGUAGGAGCGUUGUCGAAGGCAUGCAAGGGGAGGCGGCGACGGAGCCAAUAAUUGGAAGUUGUCAACGCUUAAUGAAGAUAAAGAAUGAGGGAUGAAAGGUCGAUCUCUAGAAAGAAGGAGAAGAAAAAAGAGUCGGCCGCAAUUUGUUGUUAGGGCAAUGGUAGAAGAUGAAAAUUUUUUUAUUCAGACUUCUCCUCAUAUCUUAACGAAUCAGAUUAGUUUUAGCUACAUCUGACCGAUUAAGAGCGUAAAAAUGUUUCAACCAAACACUCUGAAUCUUAAUGAUCCAAAUGCAACCUCUUAAUGAGACCAUUAAGAGGCAAAACAAACAGCCCCUAAAUAAAAAAAACAAUAUAGUUUCCAUAAAAAUCGAUUUAAAUAUUAAAGAAGAGAAGAAAUCAGCAUUUAUACGACGUAAUAGUUUUUUAAAAUUAAAAAAAAAAAAUUAUUCAUAUUAUAAGUAUAAAAUACAUUUUAUUCUUAACUCUCAUUUGUAAUUUGCCAUAUGUUUUCAUAAGAGUUUAUGGUAAUAACUUAAAUUUUUAUUUUUCCAUAUACCAUUUUUCAUUUACAAAAUUGUUUGUGCUUAUUUUUUUUUGUUAUAUUAAAAUUUAUUAUAUUUUAUUAUAUAAUAUAUAUCAUAAUUUUUUUCAUUAAUUUACAUAUAUCUUAUUUUUACGUGUUUAUUUGAAACAAUCGUUAUAAUGCAAAAUAAAUACCACUUCUCCAUAUUAAUUAUUAAUUUUUAUUAAAAUACUUUAUUAAUUAUUAUAAUUUUUAUCUAUUGAUAUUCGUUUAAUUUUGUAAGUUUUAUUUUCACAAAGUAUAACCUAAUUAAUUUCUCAUCAUCUAUAGUAAAUGAAAGUUUUUUUUUUCACAUGCAAUCACUAAUUAAUUUUGACACUUGUCAUUUUAUAAUAUUUUUUAAAUAAAUAAUAUCCACAUAUCAAUUUAUGAUUUUUNNNNNNNNNNNNNNNNNNNNNNNNNNNNNNNNNNNNNNNNNNNNNNNNNNNNNNNNNNNNNNNNNNNNNNNNNNNNNNNNNNNNNNNNNNNNNNNNNNNNNNNNNNNNNNNNNNNNNNNNNNNNNNNNNNNNNNNNNNNNNNNNNNNNNNNNNNNNNNNNNNNNNNNNNNNNNNNNNNAUCAAAUGUAAUAAAUAUUAUUUUAAAAUUUCAUUUUAAAAAAUAUUUAUUAUUACAUUUUAAUAUUUUAUAUUCUUUAAUCAACCGUGUAAUACAUUUUAAUACAUAGAUUUUCCAUCUAAUAAAUAAAUAAAAUGUAACCAUUUUAAUCACUAAAUAAUUAAUCAACCAAAGAUUAAAACCCACUGAUAAAAAGGAAACUAAAUCAACACCAAAUUGAAAAUUAAACCAUAUAUUACUAAAUUAAUUCACAGAGAGUUCGACAUCAAUCAAAUAUUAUCUCGCACUCAAAUUCACAAAACUCACUUUCCAGGUACAAAGUUUGUAGCAUAUGACCAUGCAUUGUUUGCAACAGGGUCAGCAAGGUGGUCAGCGAGGUUCUCCAAUGGUCCCUUUCCGGUAACAAUGGCUUGAACAAAGAAUCCAAACAUAGAGAACAUGGCUAGUCUACCGUUCUUGAGCUCCUUCACUUUCAGCUCAGCAAAUGCCUCUGGGUCAUCAGCCAGACCCAAUGGGUCGAAGCUACCACCAGGGUAAAGUGGGUCAACUACCUCACCAAGAGGUCCACCAGCAAUUCUGUAACCUUCAACUGCACCCAUCAAGAUCACUUGGGUAGCCCAGAUGGCUAAAAUGCUUUGUGCAUGGAUCAAACUUGGGUUCCCCAAGUAGUCAAGACCACCCUCACUAAAGAUCUGGGAUCCAGCCUUGAACCAUACAGCCUCACCAAACUUGACACCAUUACGCGCCAAGAGUUCGGGGAAGACGCACCCAAGAGCUCCGAGCAUGGCCCAUCUGCUGUGGAUGACCUCAAGCUCACGGUUCUUGGCGAAUGUUUCAGGAUCAGCAGAGAGCCCAGCAGUGUCCCAACCGUAGUCACCGGGGAACUCACCGGUCAGGUAAGAUGGGGCUUCGCCGGAGAAUGGGCCAAGGUACUUAACACGGUCGGGGCCGUACCAUGGACUUCCUGAUGGUGCGACUUUCUUGACUGCUGUCUUCCUCAUGGAAACCCUUCCAUUUCCGAUUAUUUCUGAACCAGAUGGUGCUGCUUUCACUGCCUGUCCGACGAAAGAAGAAGAUAGAGCCAUGGUGGAAGCUGCCAUUUUUGUGAGAUUUAUUUUGAAGAUGUUGUGAUGGUUAUACUUAUGAAGAUGGGUAGAACUGGAAGUAGAUUUAUAGGGUAGUUUUUGGAUCAGAUAGGUGAUCAAUGCUUAUCUUGAUACAAUCUUUAGCUUCAAUUUGAUUGGCUACAGAGAUUCUUGUGGGUCCGUAAUCUGUGGUGUGAGUUCUCUGGCCCCCCUGAGAUAUUUUGAAGGGGCAGGAUAUUCGUGGCUCUGGUUUAUUGAGCCAAUGACUGGCUUUCACUCACUACUCUUAGUGGUGGUUUUUUAUAAUAUGCUGUAAGCUUGUAACCAUCCAAUCGUCUAAGUUUAUAACUGACCUAUUAUUACAAAUAUAUACUAACCAGGCAAAACUUUUGGUUAUAAAAGUUAAUGUGACCGAGAGACUAACACAAAAAAUUAUAACAGGAGUAGUUAAUAAUCCGCGAUUUACCGCUAUGCCGAGAGCCGUAGGGAGGAUCCACCAUUUACCCCUAAGUGUGCAGAAUGCCUUUUUUUUUUUAGUAUUAAAAUAUCAAGAUCGGACACGCGUUGUAAAAUUCUUGUUCGAAUUGUUUGCAAACUCUUCGUCACAAUAAGGGGAGUUUAAAUAUGCGUUUUAAUAUAAUAACAUUGGCAUUGAUUAAAUGUUAAUAUUCAAUUAUCAUCCCACAUGAGAAUGAAAUAUAUUAAUGAUUUAUUAAUCUAAAAACAUUAUCAUCCCACAUGAGAAUGAAAUAUAUUAAUGAUUUAUUAAUCUAAAAACAAUUUUUUUAUGUCAUUAUUUUUUGGGGUUACAGUCGAGCUUGGAGGAUCUCGACUUUAGGUAUGCCCAUUUUAUUGAGAGGAAUUACUAAUAAAUUUCGGAAAGAGGAAAAAAAUAUGAUCGUGGACAUAUGGUUUAGGAAUAUUUUCAUGUUCGUUUGACACAAGUAAAGUUCUUGAAAUGGGUGCUUCAGUUUGUACGAGCGGCUAACUUGAUAAAGUUCAAAGACAUAAAGGCAAUUUUCAAAAACUCACAUGAUCAGUUAUCGAACAAGCAUGUCGUACUAGUGUGCCCACUACACAUGUUAGUUAGCGGUUUCAAUAGGAAAAGAGCAUCAUUAGCUGUCAAUGAUAAUAUUCUUUCUCUAGUACUCGAUCCUUACGACUUUUAUAUUUAUAUCAUGUAAUUUAGAAUUUAAUUUAAUUUCUAUUAAUCUUCGAUUACAGUUUAUGUGAUCUAAUUCAUGGAUGUUUUGGCACUACAUAUCUCAAUGGAGUAUGCCAGGGAAAUUUUGGUCAUAACAACAGCCUCCAUGGGUUUAUAUAUAUUUUUAAGGUACAUAUAACAUCCUAUUUUUAGGCUUAGAAAUUUUGGUCAUUUAUAGUGAAAAUAAUUUUUUUUAAUAAAAAAAUAAAAAAGGAAAAAUAAAAAUAAAAAGAAUGACUGAAUGAAUACAUGAGCUAAUAAAAGGUUUAGAUCAAAUGUUUAAAGAAAAUAGCGAAUUUAUACUUAAAAUAGGAAAUAAAUAAGGAAGGGUCAGUGGUGGCAACUUUGGAAAACUUGUUUAAUUUAGAUCUAACUAGACAAUUUAUUUGUAAAGAGUUAAAAAUGUAACGAAAUGAUACUUAUAAGCUUAAGAGGGAGUUUUUCAGUUGGAAAUGUUGUUAGAAACCCUUAUUGGAAAAAAUUAGGACAAAAGGACUAAAAUUGUCAAGUUGAUGAAACUUGUGUUAACCUUAAUGUAACGACCCUAAAAUCUUAAAUUAUGUGUUUAAUUACUUUGUAUCAUUUUGUUGAAAAAUGAACAUUAAUGAUGCAAUAAUCAAUUUGUUAGUAAAUUUCAUUGUAUAUCCUUACAUUUAUCAUGUUAUAAUCGAAAAUAUAGGACAUUUCAGCAAAAAAUAACCCUGUAGGAAAGUCGCAUUACACCUCGAUAUAUUCGUGUGGAUAUAAAUUCUAUGAAAAUCCAAAUUUGUAUGACGAAGUUAUAGUCAAUAUAAGUUGGAAGUACAAAUUUUAAUGUUUAAAUGUGUAUGUUNNNNNNNNNNNNNNNNNNNNNNNNNNNNNNNNNNNNNNNNNNNNNNNNNNNNNNNNNNNNNNNUAUAUAUAUAUAUAUAUAACAUCUCAAAACCAUAAUAACCAUAACAUAAAAUCAGAGUUUCAAAACAUAUUAUCUCUCUAAACCAUAACAAUCACUGGAUGAUGUGUAGAGUCACGUGUAACAUCUCGUUUAAAAUUAGAUAAAUAAAAUAAAAUAAGUAAAUAAAUUAGAUAAAAUAAGUAAAUAAAUAAUAAACCCUAAAACCUCAAGAUGAAUUUUAUAUUUUUAUGUUAGCCUUAAAUCCAUAAUAAUUAUCAGAGUAUUAGCGCAAUAAGUUAAAUGUUAUUAAUUCUGGAAAUAGGGGUUUAAAAUGUAAAUUUCGAACUAGUUAAGAAUAGAUUUGUGGAAGCUGGGGAUUGUUUGGUAAUUUGGACUUGAAUUGAAAGGAUUAUUGGAAACAGGUAUAGAGUAAAUUACAGAUUUAAUUUGUAAAGGAAUUGAGAUGGAGGGACUGAAAAUAUAAGAAAGGGACUAAUGUUUGAAGAGAUAGGCAUGACUUAAACCCAUUCCCCCUCCACCCUCUUGCUACUCGGUUGCACCCAUAUAAACCCUAACCCUAAUAUCUUCUCAGCCGCCACCUUAUCCCUCCAUAUCUCCAGUCGCUUCCAUCACCUGUGUCGCCGUCAUGAACCACUGAGCACCACUGCCGCUGCUCCCACUGCCGAUGAAAACGAAGAUCAACGUUUGGACACCGUGACAGUGGGGAAGUAGGAAGAAAGGAAGCUCGUGGUUGUUAUUGCUGUUAUUCUCGGUUAGGGGUCGCAAAACCUUUCUCUUCUCCGUUUCCUUUUGUUGCUACGUUGUCAUCGUCAUCGCUCCAUGUGAGGGUGGUUGUGUUUGUGUUUUGUGAGUGUAGGUGUGUGUUGCUGCUGUGGCAAGUUGGAGAGGUGUGUGUGUCUUUUGUUGGCCAGAAAAACGAAGAGAAUCACCAUGGCAACCAACCAUGGUGGUUUUCACCGUUCUGGAGCCACUAGCCACCACCCUAGGUGGCUGUGUGUGUUGGAUUGACAUUUCUUCUGUACCAGGAUGCUUUUGAUAGUGUUUGGCCUAAAAUUAUAACUACCACCAUUAAAAAGUGGUGGCUGUCGCCUCCUACCGCCAUGGACCGCCGCCGACCACCAAUGCCCGAGGUGGCAGUGGGUGGUGUCUGACUUACUAAACAUUAAAUAACCUAAACAUCUAACCUUAGACCGAGUGGUACGUGUUUGGGUUGGAAACUCUUACUAGGCUUUAGAAAAUCCUAAGGUCAAGAAAACCCUAGUUUUGGAGUUUUGUCGGGACCCGCGUUGAAGUGUUAAUUGAACUUUAAUUAUACUCGAUAAGGCCCUACGAUUAACUUAAUGCAGUAUUGAACUUAAUGAAUUAAGUCCUUAAGGGGUUAUGUGUGGAGCACUAACCCUAGUUAUCAUUUUAUGUGGAAACCCUAAAAAUCAAGAAGCCUUAUUUUCGGCAAUGAUCAGGGCACAUAUUUGGGAUAUUCCUUGGAUUAUUAUUAUACCCGAGAAUGAAUAUGUCAAACCUUAAUCACUCCUACUUUUAUUUGAUUAAGUCCUUAAUGGGUUAAGUGUCCUUACUUAACCCUAAUCGUCAUUUUAUGUGGAACCCUAAUCACUAUUUCAUGUGAGGUAGUCACUGCUGCAAUUGACGAUGACUUGUGAUCGAGUAUUGAAUCAAGUAUCUUCCUGUAGGUGAUUGGAAGUGAGUUGAAGCUGGUAGAGUUCUUCGUUACUACGGUGGUUACCUACUAGCAUAUCGAGCUGAGUUUCACCUCACUGUGUUAGAUCUAUAUGCACAAGAAUCAUUAUUCAGUGACAUUGCUAAUAACAUAUGAUCCUAUAAGGUCACACUUUAAUCAAGUUGGUACUUAUUGAAUAUUUAUUAAGUAUUUUAUAAUUAAUAAUAAAAGUUCAACUCAUGUAUUUAAUUAAAGAAAAUUUAUUGUUUUGUGAAAAUAAUAAUAAAUGAAAGACUAACUANAUAUAUAUAUAUAUAUAUAUAUAUAUAUAUAUAUAUAUAUAUAAGUCAUGUACAAAGUUUUGGACACUUUCACCAAAGAUUGACAAACUAGCUAGUUAAUUAAGUGACUAAACAAUAAACUAGAAAAUCCAAUGGACCAUUUUAGUCCUUAAAACCAUGGGUUAUCAAGGCGAGGAGGUUGAAAGUCAACCUCCAACAUUCUUGUCCCCCAUGUUUGUUCAUUACCUUGCAUGUAAUACACACCAUGAUCAUAUUAUAUAAGGCUAGUUGUUUUAUCACUAUAUGACUAGAAGAAAAAAAUCAUUUACACUUUCAUCCAUAGAAUUGUAGGUUCUCUUGGCUUCUCCCUAUCUCUCACUUGAAGUUAGUUCUUGGUUUUUUAGAGUUCGUCUUUUGUGUCUUCCUUUUACACUUAUUAUCUAUGUGCUUAAGGCUUAAAGAGAAAAAUAUUAUACAAGAAGAAAUCUAGCAAUUUUGGUACCUUAUUCUUGUUGGUGGAUUACUUGUAGAGAAGAUCAGACUUGUUGUUCUUGCCAUCUACUUCAACACCCCAAAUCUAAGAGGGUCCAAAGUCUACGAAGGUUGUAUUUUCUAAACUCCCUAUGGUUGUUAUAAUAUCAUUCUAAGCACUUUAAAAGGAUCCUUGAUGGUUUGUUUUGUUUUCAAAUUUAUAAGAAAUUUUUAAAGCUUCCGUUGCCAGUUUUUGUGAAAAACUAUUUAUUUUAUGCAACAAACCCCUUCAGUUGUAACACUAUAAAUUUUCAAACAAAAUUUCCAUUUUUAAAACACACAAAUCUUAAAAUCACAUUUCUCAAAAAUCACAAAUGUAUCAAUUGUAAGAAUAUCCCAGAACCCUCAAACAUAAUCUCGAACAGGUGUGUACAAUCAAGUCGGCGCCUUACCGUGAUUCUGAGAAGUACCUGAAACACAUAACACACAACAUAGUAAAAACGAAGCUUAGUGAGUUCCCCAAAAUACCACAUACACAAAUAAUAAGCCACUCAUAGCUAUAGCUCGGCAUGGACCUUCCAGUCAUGCGUCUCGGUGAGGACCCUCCGGUCUCACGGCUCGGUGUGGACCCUCCGGUCAUGUGUCUCAGUGAAGACCCUCAGGUUUCACAGCUCGAGUUGGACCCUCCAGUCCUGUAUCUUAGUGAAGACCCUCCAGUCUCACAACUCGGUUUGGACCCUCCGGUCCUAACUCAGUAAGGCACAAAAUAAUAUAGCAUAUAUGACAAAGACAAAAUGCAUAAUAUCACAUAACUCAGUAUAAGCACAUAGGACCAUCCGGUCGAUAACUCAAAUAAGACCCUCUGUUCACAUAGUAUUACCACUCAGGUAAGUAUAGUGAUAAGACUCGUCUCGGAAGUAAGCAAAUAGAUCUAGUACCCCACGAACAGUUUAGACUCCGCCUACAUAAUAUAAUUAUCUCUAAUAAGCAAUUUGUAAUAACCAUUCCGAGAUGUUAAGCUAGCUCCCCCACUAAAUCUCAAAAAUGGUGAAAAUACCAUUUUACCCCUCCAUGGUCUCUAAGGUCCACAGUUGACCAAACCCUAAAACUCAACGUAAGUCAACGCUCAAGUCAACAGUCCAUGUUGACUAAACUCGUCGAAUGCAUCCAUGCGACUCGUUGAGUACCGUCGUUUUCUCUGAAGUAUCGGGAAAAUCCAACUCAACUCGUCGAGUUGUCUCAUCAACUCGCUGAGUUGUAACGCAUUUAGACUAUCAGGGAAAACCCUAGCUGACUAGUCGAGUUGUCUCAUGCACUCGUCGAGUCCCUCUAUACAAAUUCUCAUUUAGACUAUUCUAAGCAGGAAUAAGGUCCCAAACUCUAGAUCUAGCCUCCCAAGGCUGAAAUACCAUGUAAAGCUGCAAGCUUUACGUCUAUGCAUGGAAUCUAGCGCUCAAAAUGCUAAAACAAGCUCUAUAUAGGGUUUAAUGCAUAAAAUCUUGCCACUAGCUUGAUAAAGCUUGGACCUUUGGGCUCAAGGGACCUCAUAUUGUCCAUAUCUGAAGUCUCAAAUUCAUGGCAGGCUCAAACAACUCAAGUACUCAAAGAAGGAUGGAAAAAGGCCCUAAAACUCCUUAGAAAAGAGAUCUAACCAAAUAAUGAUCAAGGUGGUAACUUUUUACCUUCAAACAGAAGCUAGAAAUGAAUAAGCACCAGAUCCAAGAGCUCCCUCUCGUCCCAAGCCUUUUGUUCCUCAAUCUUUCUCCAAAAAUGCACCAAAAUACACAAUAUUAUCCUCUCCUUCUCUCACACAUAGAUAUAGCUCGAUUAGGGUUUCUCUCAGAGUUUUAGGAUGAUAAGGGAGGAUGAAAUGAAGGCUUAAGGUCCUUUAAAUAGGACACAAACCCUGAAAAUUGGGGUUUUCUCACUCUGCUCCUACUCGUCGAGUUGGGGUCCUCCAACUCGUCGAGUAGACUCUAAAAAUCACGCAACCUUUAACUCCUCUACUCGGCGAGUUGGGGCAUCCAACUCGUCGAGUUGCUCUGACAUCAUAAAUGCAAAUUUAUUAAAUGUUAUAUAUGGGAGCAGGAUGGUACAUGUAACGACCCAAUUUUCAUGACCAAAAAUUUUGUUUUAAAAACAUUACUUUAGAAAAUAUUAAAAGCUAAAAACAUUGUCGGAUCAAAUCAUAACACAAGUGAACCAUGUCUAAAAGCCAAUUCAUACAUUCAAUCAAAAUAUCAGAGUACAAAUCCCAGUGAAGCUCGUAAAUGCGGAAACCGGAGAGUGUGUGUGUGACAUGCUGCUACCGCGCCGGCUCCUUUCCCCUAGCUGAGGAGGUACCUGAAACCAAAACUGAAGACUGUAAGCACAAAGCUUAGUGAGUCCCCCCGUCGUACCACAUACCAUACAAACACGUAACAUACAUACUGUCAGGCUAUUCUGGGGUGCCUGACUACCCGGUACGGCCGUUCUGGGGUGCCGUCCUACCCGUGUCAAGCCAUUCUGGGGUGCUGACUACCCGUGUCAAGCCAUUCUGGGGUGCUGACUACCCAUGUCAAGCCAUUCUGGGGUGCUGACUACCCAUCGGUCCUAACAACCGAUCCUCGGGGACUAGUCCCCUCUUACUACCUUUAUCUCAUAUAACAUAACAAGCCAGCAUGCAAUCAUAUCAUCACGUACUGUCAGACAUAUCUGGGGUGUCCGACCUACCCUUCGGUCCUAACAACCGAACUCUACAACUAUCACAUAUACAUAUCAUGCCAGCAUAUAACAUAUCAGGUAGUAGCAAACCUAGAUGAUAUCACAAAGACAAUCAUCUAACAUACAACUCCUACUGGUGGGCCGGCAUUGUGGCCGUAGACCCACCGCUACUGGAAGGUAACUCACCUCGAAGUAGCUGCUGAUCUGAUCGGGAACUGACUGCCUACUGCUGCUGCUGCUGCUCCGGAAAUCCUCCGGCUGCAAUUCCCACAACAUACUCAAUCAAACACUGCUCACUGACCUUUGGGUAAAAUGACCAUUUUACCCCUGAUCAUGCCCUAAGUCAAAGUCAGAGUCAACUUUCAGUUGACCCGACUCGCCGAGUUGGCUUUCCAACUCGCCGAGUCCCUACCCAAACGACUGCCCUGAAACCCGAUCCUACCCGUCGAGUUAGGCGACGACUCGACGGGUUCACCUUCUUAACCAAUAUUCAAGUCCUUCAUUCUACUCGCCGAGUUGUAUGAACAACUCGCCGAGUUCAUCUUCAUCCGAA